UUUUUUUUUUUUUUUUUUUGUCACUUAUGCAACUAACCCUUAAUGCUAACAGCUGGAAAUCACUAAAGUUGGUGGCAUCUUUAGAAUUGGGAUUCAAAAGUUUUAUACCAUGGUUUAGUUAACAUUUGAUGAGACUUGAAAUAGAUUAUGACCCAAGUUUGUUAGGUAAUAUGUAGGCGUGAUUUAUUUACAAAUUUGACUUUGAUCCAUGUCGUUAGAAUUUCAUUAGCUAUUUAACAAAAUGAUGAUGUGACUAUAUCCAUAAAUACUUUAAAGAAGGAUACAAAGCCUUUAAUUUCGUUUGGAAAAGUUGUUUCAAGGUUCCCAGAUCUUUGAGGAUGGUUUAGAGCAUAUAGGGUUGAAAUUCAUCCAAUUAUUAGGUCCAUUUGGGCAGUUAUUGAAAACUUCAUAUGGUUUUUUUAAGGCAUGCACUUUGAGAUACAUUUUACACACUUUUUAUAGGUUUUGAGUAGAUAUAUAUAUAUAUAUAUAGCAUAUGAGACUUGAAAGUUUUGCAAAUGAAUUUGCUUAAUCAUGUUGUGUGCUUAUUGGAUUUCAAUAUUCCUUUUCGAAUCUAUAUAUUUCAAAGGCGACAUAAAUGACAGCUUUUGUGAAGACCAACUGACCAAGCAAAGCCCUUUUCGUGUAUUUAAUAGUUUUUGUAUAGUCAAGUUAAAAACUAAUAGCUUAGGAAACAAAAUCUACAAAAUUCUUAUUCAAUCUAUUUUGAUGGAAUUAGGGGAUGAAUACAUUUUUUUUUAUUAAUUUGUUGUUGCAAUGUUGAAUGUAUUUUGUUACAAGAAAUGAAAAUAUGGGUCAUGCCACUACAAGAAAUCGGAGUUCUCUCUAUGCACAAAAUCUCGUUGAGGAAAGAGACGUUGGGAAACAGACCUUCCGUCGACGUCGUCGGGUGUGCGUCAAGAGCAUCAAUCUAUCCCUACGUAUUGCUUCUGAUGUCGGGAAAAGUGAGACCAUCUUCGACACCGCACGCAUACACAUUGAAGAAAGUUAAACAAUUAAAUAAUAGUUUCCUUUUCCUCCACGCGGUGUAGAGAAAUGUCGAACUUUUUUAUCUUUUCUGACGCCAUGCAUCAGAACGUCGAAAAUGUAUUGGAUAUUCUUGAUGUGUGCACUCAUAGCGUCGAGGGAAAGAAAACAAUUAAAUAAUAUUUCUCGUUUCUUCUAAUGUCAAUUGCAUGGCAUCGAGAACGUGGAUAAUUAUUCUUGUUGCCAUUAGUAAUGUGUCGGUAAUAUGGGGUUUUAUUACCGACACAUUACUAAUGGUGUCGAUAAUAGGGGGUUCUUUCGACGUUUUCUUUAUGCGUCGAGAGUUCCCCUAUAAAAAACCCCCAUUUAGUUCUUUAAAAUAUAGAACUUAACGAGAAAGAAAACAAGAGAGAGAUUGAGAAGAAGAGAAGUUCAUUUGUCCGCCCACCGUGUUGUUGUCGCUCACUGCCGUUUGUCGUGUAUGCCUCCACUGCUCUUAUAUCACGUAAGUUUUGGUUAGUUUUAGUUUUGGGUUGGUUAUAAUUUAGUUUUAUCUUUCGUUUAUAUUUAGAUUUAGGAUUUAGAUUUUGAAUUAGUUUUAGGAUUUAGUUGUGGAGUCAGUGUAUGUUUUAAUAUUGAAUUUGAAUUGUUUUUGGGAUUUAAGAAUUAAUUUUAGAUUGAAUUUGAGAUAAUGAUUGAAUUUGAAUGUGUUAUAUGUUAGAAUUUACGUCCUAAAACUUACGAUUUUGUAAGCAUAUUCUAUUAAAAAAAGUCGUUAUUGAUACUAUAAACUUAAAGUCAAUAAACUAAGGUUUCGAUGCUAAUUUUGAGUAAACAUGAACAUUAAAAUCGUCCUGACUUGCUCACUUAUUUCUUGAACAGUUAUAUUUAUCAAUUUGAUAUUGAUUAUAUUUUGGUCGUACUUUAGAUUAAAUCAUGUUGGAAAUUUGUGGGAAUUGUCAAUUACUUAAUUUGAGUUAAUUAUUCAGCUGAAAAUUUGAGGGGCAUUGUUGAUUUAAUAUCAAAGGUUCGAGAAUGUAUACAUCAAAUCCUUGUGGAAGGUUGCAUAUUGUUGGCCAAAUAUCCAGACAACAUAGCUGAUUGAAUAUCAUACAAUAUCUGAUAUGUUCUCUCUCUUUCUUUUAACUUUCUUCUCUUAAUCCAAACAUGAACUUACACAUUACAUUCUCCCAAACAUGCCUUGAAGUGUCUUCUUGUCAUUAGUUUCUAUUUUUCUUGAUUUUGAUGUGUACAAUUCAUAUUCAACUUCAAAUCUUCUGGAUAAAACAAACUACAAACCAUAGAAUGGAAGCAUCUAAAAUGAAUUUGUCUUCAACAAGGCCAAUGCACAGCAACUUAAGCUUUUUGUUGGGAUCAUUCUCAUUCUAAAUUUCGCGGAAGCACUUGCUCUUUAUGGGCUUAUUGUUGGUAUUAUUCUCUCCUCUCGAGAUGGUCAACCAAGAGCUGAUUAAGUGAUUAAAUGUUUUGUGAUUGAAAUUUGUGUAUUACUGGUCUUUUUUUUUUCUUUUCUAUUAUCUCAUGAUUUUUUUGUAGUUCUAUAAUUAGAAACGGUCAUGACUAAGUUUUUCACUUUUUCAAAUAUUCUUGUGGUUUUGUGAUUUCUGUACCACAUAGAUUCUGUACUCAUAAGGAUUUGGAAUCAAUUGUCCUCUCAAUAAACAUAAAAACAUUGCUUCCUUCCCUAUUUAUCUGUGUUGAUUGUUGCUCUAGUAUUUGUACUUCUGAAACUUUUUUUUAUAUACUUUGUAGCUAAUGAUUAGAUAUAUUUGUUAUUGGACUGUAUUGGGACUAAAGUAUCCAUUCAUAUGUUGACAUUUUCUUUAAGCAGAGAUUUGGCACUUCUUUUUCCCUCUUUUCUUUUUUGUUUUCCUGCCGUUUUCUCUUCCCUUCUUUUGGAUGUUGAUUUUCUUGGUACUUCCACCUCAUUGAAUGUUCAAAUUGAUUAGAUCCGACUUUUUUUUUCUUCUGUUUCCUAGCCUCGUUUUGAUGUCUAUUGUUUAUUUCUCUGUUGCUAUUUGGCUUGCAUUUUUUAAAUUUGUAGAUUUAUUCUGUGUUUAAUUUUCCUAUUGAAUGUUAGCUAUAGCACGAUGUUUAUGGAUUUGGAGUUGGGUUGUGUUGAUGCCUGAUAAUUUCCUUUUCGACUGUUUGUUUUCAGGUUACAUAAAUUAUAUCAGGUGUCCUUGGAUCUUUAUGGUUUAACGGUGCAUUUCUGAGUUUAGAUGUGAAAAUUGAUUGGUAUGUUAGAUAGGUUUUUGUUGACCCAGUCUUUAUAGUUCUUCACAUUUAAGUCCUCGUUGUUAUAUGCCAGUUGGAGUUAGAAGUUAUUAAAGUUCUUAGUUUUAAUUAAUGUUAUAUUCUUAUUUCAUUUGUAGAUUUCAAGGAGUUGAGGAUAACAACCGUUGAGAUUUUGAUGAGUUUGUAGUUAUCUAAGAGUGUUGUGGUGCUUGCAGGAGGGUGAUGUCUAUGUUUCUUAUUACUAUAUAUAUUUUGUGUUUUAUGAUUAAAAACAAUGUUCAUAACUUCGUUCGUUUUGUAAUAUGAAUAAGAACAAUAUGUUUCUAUGUUGUAAGUAUAUUGUAAUGACGAACUAUAUGUAUAUGUUCAAUAAUAUAUAUGAAAUUUGUUAGUUAAUUGAUUGGAGGUAAGUUGAUUCAAGAAAUAUAAAUAAUUCAAUUGAUCAUGUUGUAUACCAUUGUUGGACUUCAAAACAGGUGCAAUAUAAGUAUAUGGGUAUUUCAAAUUGUACUUUUUUUCAUUUGAAAAAAAAAAGUCUUCGACAUGUAAAACGUAUCAAGAAUAAACAAAUUCUUAACGUUAAUAAACUUAUAUACUUAAUGCGUAAAAACUGUCAAACAAAAAACUCCCUUAUUCUUGACACUGGAUUACUUGACGCGUAAAAAGCGUCAAGUAAUCUUAUACACUUGACAUUUUUUACCAGUCAAGUAUAAUUGUACUUGACGCUUAAAAACUGUCAAGUAAACCUCCCUUAUUCUUGACACUGAAUUACUUGACACAUUGAAAAACGUCAAGUAUUACCAAUUUUGUAGUAGUGAUAAAUGAGAAUAUACGUUGCAAAACAUAAUUCAUUUUUAUCCAUUUUUAAGGUUACUAAAUAAGAUGUUCCCUUAAGUGUUGACUCUCUAGGUCUUGAGUAAAGGAGCCCCACUCUCUUUUUGGUUUGAGAGAAAUUAACUUUAUAGGUAGGACCUUAAACCAAUUGUUCAUUAGAGAAUCUUAGGCUUAAGGAAUAAGAUGUACUCUAAGACGUAAAAUGGUAAAAUGACCAAACCGAAAUUACAAACAACUUGUAAAGGCUAGACUUACUAAUUAUGAUUGUAACAAGUGGAUACAAAUAUAUAUCUACAGUGAGGAGAGUACAAUUAUGGGAUAUAGUGGACAAUCUCGAUUAAUUAAUGAAUGUUGAUAUACUCGAUUAAAAGAGUUUAGUUAGUUAAUUUUGGGUCGUUGGUUCAUUAGGUCAUUUUACUAGCUUGUUAUUAUGGAUGUAAACUUAGAAUAGAGGGAUCAAAAUUUUGAAUUGCUCAAAUUAGUUGAGAAAAUAAAUCAUUAAUAAUAUUCAAUAUAAUUAACGAUUUCAAGUUGAGAAAGAAAUGGUAUUUAAAUGAGAUUUAAAUAUAAAAAGUUCAAAUAGGUCGGGAUUGGGUGAAAUUUAAUUAAAUUAAAUUAAUCAAGUUGAAAAAGAGGAAUUUUGUUUUUGUUUUUUUGUUUUUUUUGUCAAAAGUUAAAAAGCCAAAAUGUUGUUUUGAAACUUGGAAGUCAUGCAUGUGUUGACUUUGAUGGUGGAAUUAUCCCUUGGUUGAUGAAUAACCUAUAUGCUUUAUGCUUAAUGGUGUUGUUCAACAAGCUUUCUACCACCUAAUCCACUAACUAAUUGCAUGUUAAAUGUUAAAUUGUAAUGCAAUUGUGUUUUGCAUUUGUAUUGGCUUUACAAUGCACACAUUAGUUUGAUAGUUUAGAUGAUGAAUCUCAUUGAAUUUUGGAGAAGAUUUGUCUCGAACUGUUUAUAAACUCAUUUCUCUCACAAACUCACAAAAUUCAACCGUUUGUGUGUGGUUGUUCAUACUUGAUUUCAUCCAAUUUCAUCCAGAAUUGAGGGAGAAUUUUAAAUCCUCAUAAUUCAUGAAAUCUAGGGUGUUUUAGUUCGAUUAUGUUAUGCUAACAUGUUAAUUUAACUUUCAGAAAUACGGUGAAGUGAGCAAAAGUGAGUUAAAACAUGUUAGUUCGAUUGAGGCCAAAUUUGACACUUCUAAGAAAGAAAAAUGCAUACAAAAGUGUUGAGGCCAAGUAUAUCAAUGAUAAUUUUGGUAUAUCCUUAAUUAUUAUUCCUAAAAUGAUCAUCAAUUGCAAUUUUGCUAUAAAAAGGUUAUGAUUUUGUUUAAAAUAAAAGAAAACGAUCAUUUUUCUUGUAAAAGGAAAGAAAGGCAAGGUCGAGGCUGGGGUCGUUCCUUGAGUUUUAAAGAGAGGAAGACUCAGAUCGAAAGAAAAUAUCAAAUCCUAAAAACAAAAAAGAAGGAAUGAUCAAAUCCUCAAUCGAAGGGAGGAAGCCGAGGCUGACCUGAAAAAUUUCACUGAAGGUAGAUCUGAAUCAGAAGAAAGUAUGAAAUCCUUGAAAGAAAGAAGUAAUUAAGGAACAAAUCUCCAACCAAAGAAGCCAGCAAGUAGAAACUUUGGAACCAAUCUCACUCACAAGGAGGAUAAAAGCGUAAAUAUUAGAACCAUAACUGAAGCUAAACAAAUAAAAGAACUUGAUCAAAUUCUUAAGGAAGAAUACUGAUGUAUUUGUUUGGUCGACACACGAGGAUUAUUCCUGAAAUUGAUACCAACAUCGCCUCAAUGUGCACAAGUAUUUAAACUAGUAAAGUAAAAGCGAAAAAUAAUGUUUAAUCAAUAGCAGAAUGAGAUAACAGCAAUUCAGAUUAAUGAUUUCUUAAAAGCUAAAUUUAUUAGAGAAGUUUAUUUACCCUCAAUGGUUGUCUGAUGUAGUGUGUUUGUAAAAAAAAGCGAAUAGUAUGUGGUGGAGGUUCAUAAACUUCAUUUAUCUUAAUAAAGCUUGUCUAAAUGACAUUUUUCCUUUUCUCAUGACAUAUUAUUUAGCAAAUGCAACAGUUGGCCACGAUAUGUUGAGUUUCAUGGAUGCAUAGAACCAGAUCAAGAUGAAUGAGGCAUACCAAGAGAAAGCUUUCCUUCAUUACAAGUAAAUGUGCAUACUACUACAUGGUCUCAUGGCCAUUUGAACUUAAGAAUGCAAAAGCUACAUAUCAAAGAUUGGUAGAUAAUAUGUUUGCUUCACUUAAUUAUUGGAAAAAACAAGAAACUAUAAGUAGAUGAUACGUUAAUAAAAAGCAUUAAAGCUAGACAACAUGAGGCAGAUCUUGAAGAAUGUCUUUUUAGAUCCUUUGCAAGUAUAUAUAAUAGGAAGCUACGUACACACCUUACCAAACGUACUUUUGGGAUAACAUUAGGGAAAUUUCUAGGCUUUAUGGUUCACCAAAAAGCCAAUUUAGAUCAAAUUCAAACGAUCAAACGAUCGUCGACAUGUCCACUCCAACCCAUUUAGAGUAACUUCAAAGUUUCAUCGAUAAGAUAUCAACUUUAAAUAGAUUUGUUAGUAGAGCAACUAACUGUUGUCUCCCUUUUUUAAAAAUUUAAAAAAGGAUCCUAAUUUGAAUUAAUAGAUAGAAAAAUAUGACAAAAUUAAAACAAUUUUCCAACGGAUGACAUAUACUUGAGUAAAGUUCCACUUCUUGUCAAGCUGAUUUUUCACACAGACGAAUUACUCCUCUAUUUACCAAUUAACAAUGUUGUCUCUAUUUCGUUGCAUGGCGAGCCUCUCUUCUCCUAAAGUACAAAUUUAGUGUUGUUGGUCCGUGGAGAUAAAAUACAUCGUGUUUGGUUAAAAUUUGGCAUCAACAGAAAUAAAAUCAUAUAAAAAUAAUUUAAUUUCUAUAUUGUCUCUGGUCCCUAAAAAUGACAUUUCUGAAGGUGUUUUGGUGAUGAUAGAGUGGAGGACAAAUGCAGAAGAGUAAAAUAAUUGAAUGGAUGGAUGAGAACAAAAUAGGUACACUCUGAUUCAACAGCUAAUUUAGACAUCACUAUUCCAGAUAUAUUUAAAGAGUUUAUAUAGUAAUUGUAUUUGAGAACAAGUAAUAUUACUUUUGGACAAAGAAGCAGCAAGCCAUAGCCAUGGGCGUCCCUUGCUUCCAGCUGCUGCAAGAAGGUAUGUCUACUCUCUUCCAAAAACUUUGCAAUCCUUUUAUUAUCAAAAAGAAAAAAGGUUUUGAUUUUUGGUUUUAUGAUUAUCUAAUUAGCUUCUUUUGAAAUAUUCUUUCUAGACAACAGGUAAAGUUGAGUUGAACUUUUAAUCUUUGACGUUUAAGUUGAUGAUACACGUUAAACCCUUCCUUUGAAUUUGAAUUUGUGCCUUAACCAAGUUUACCAUAGGAAGGAAAAAAAAGACAAGACAAACAAAUUGUAUGCUUUGCAAUUUGCACCAUUUUUAUCUUUUCUCAAAGCACAUUUGAUUUUUUAAAAUUAAUUUUCCAAAGUUUAUGAACAAUUUCAAAAACGAACCCUACAAAUCUUAACAACUUUUUAAUUAAUAAUUAUGGGUUUUGUUGUAGAAGUGUCAUUCGUCCCUCCAUUUUUUUUAGUCCAAAUAUAAUAAAAACCCUAACAACUUCCAUAGAAGAAUACACAAAAUCCAAUUACAUCUAACAUUUACUUUGUCAUCAAUCUCCUCCAAGAAUCCUACCUUUUCAAUUUUCAGAUUUAUGGGGUCUUGGGAUUAAGAGCUAAAAGAAGACAAAAAAUAAACGCAAGCAGUACAUAUAGUAACAUAAACUGAAUUUUUUUUUGCAUAUUUCAUGGUGGGAGCGAUGAGGGUGUAGCUUCAAAGUGGGAGAAAAAAGAUAAAACAUUAGAUAAAAUGAAAUGAAAAAUGAAAGGUUGAUAUUUGCAAAAGAAGAGAAGUUGCAAAGAAAGAAAUAAAAGAAAGAUGAAACAAUUUUUCUAUAAAAAGCAAUGAAAAUUAAAAUUAAAACACAUACGUGACAUCAUAAGAAUCUGCCACGAGGCAGAGAUGUUAAGGCUGGAGCACUGUAAGAGCAAGAUUGUUCAAAACAUGUCACAAUUCGUAUUGCAGAAUGCUUUAAAAUUCAUUUUUCACAUUCAUAUAAUUAAUAAUAUCUAACAAUUCAAACAUUUGGUGCACUGUAUGUUAGACUAGAAGGCAAAGCGGCAAUAAUCACAGGUGGAGCAAGAGGAAUAGGAGAGUCCAUUGCAAAACACUUCUUUAAUCCUGGAGCAAAAGUUGUAAUUGCAGACAUCCUAGACGAUUUAGGUAACUCUCUUUCCAACCAUCUCUCCUCUUCAUCUACUUCCUUCGUCCACUGCAACGUAACGAAAGAAACCGACGUCGAAAAUGUCGUUAACACCGCCGUUUCCAAAUACGGAAAGCUAGACAUCAUGUUCAACAACGCAGGCAUUCCAGGAGCUCUCAAGUUCAACAUACUCGAAAACGAAUAUUCAGACUUCCAAAACGUACUCAAUGUCAACCUAGUUGGAGCCUUUUUAGGCACAAAACAUGCAGCAAAAGCAAUGAUUCCAGCAGGUCAAGGCAGCAUAGUUAUAACUGCAAGUGUUUGUUCAAGCAUUGGUGGGAUUGGGCCAUAUGCUUACACAAGUUCAAAGCAUGGGUUGUUGGGAUUAAUGAGGAAUGCAACUAUUGAUUUGGGAAGAUAUGGAAUAAAGGUGAAUUGUGUGUCACCUCAUGUAGUCCCAACUCAAAUGACAAGAGAACAUUUUAAGUUGAAAGAUGGUGAUGAGUUUCCUGAUGUUUAUUCUCAUAAUUUCAAAUGUGGAGAUAUUUUAAGGAAAGAAGAUGUAGCUGAAGUUGGUUUGUAUUUAGCAAGUGAUGCAUCUAGAUUUGUUAGUGGACAUAACUUUGUUCUUGAUGGAGGCUUCACUGCAGGAAACCAAGGUCUUUGCUCCUAUCAACAAUUUGGUAACUGAAAUAUAAAUAAUUAUUAAACCCAAAGAACAAAAGUUGGUCCUUUUCAAAAUUCUCUAAUUCCUAUAGUUUCCUUUUUGUGUGGUUUUAUGUCCCAAGUAAGUCAUUACUACUUGUUUUAGUUGUACCUUUCAUUUCUCUAUGUUUGACAUUAUUAUAAGAAUAUCCAAUAAUUAUAAAAGCUUUGGGUUCUUGAAGUACUGUUUUUAAGUUUAUUGCAUACUCUUUUUAAUAAACGUAUUUUAAUAUUUUUAGGGCACAACUGCAUUUUGUCAUCUCCCUUUAAUUUAAAACUAAUAAUUAGAUAUAUAACCAUGAUUUUUUUAUAAAAUGAUAAAUAUAGUAUAACCUAUCAAUAUGAUAAACUCUAUUGUUGAUAUAUAAACACUUAUCAAUACGGUAAACUGAAUGGUUGAUAAACACCUAUUAAUGAAAUAGAUAUAUAAUGCUUGCUAGACUUCUGUUAGGCGUAAAGUCUAUGUUACUAAUAUAGGUUUUAAGAGUUGGAUUUAAAGUUGGAUGUUAUUCAUAAUUAUUUUAAGAAACAAUUUUUUUAUAUAUCUGCUAAUAGUUUGGUUUGGGAUGAUUGUUGUAUCUAAAGUAUAAAGUACUCAUGAAAAUAGCUCUCUUUACAAAUGAAUUGACAUACCUAUGAGUACAUUCAAGAUCAGUUUUUUCUAAUAUUUAAUUAUAGUUUUUAUCCAUAAAUAAAUUAUUAAAGAGAGAUUAAAUCUUUUAUAUAUGAAACUUUCUUUCACAUGUUUUCACAUAUUUGACUUAAUUUGAUCAAAUUAUUACUACAAAAAUUUUAGUGACGCAAGUAAUUUUUGUCGGUAAAAGAUCGUGUAUAGCAAUGCAUAGAAAAUGUGUUACAAAAUAUUAUCAUUAGCAACACAUUUUUAAUAUGCGCCACUAAAAGAAUUUGUAACAAAGCAAUAAUGCCCCUAAAUAUUAAAUAAUUUUAGCAAGAAACAUAGAUGAGAAAUUGGCAAAAGUAGUAAACUUUUGGUUUUCGUUUUUAAGAGUAGCACAUUUUUUUAAAACUCGUAAAAGCGUUUUUCUCAGUCAAUCUUGAGCGAGAUCGAUCACUAAAAUUUUCUAAAAUAUUAAAAAAAUUCAACUAUCGAUUGUUUUGGGUUUUUUCGGUUCAUCUUGUGUAAACUUUGAAUCUUAUUGAACUUAGAUUAUCUUUCCAAGAGUUCGGAAGGAUUAGUUUUAAGUGGAGUUAGGACAAGAAAGUAAGCUUGUGAAGUGAUAUUUUUAUGUAUGUGGUGGGAGGACGAAAGAAGAAAAAUUAAGAAGUAAUAAUUUUGAAAGAUAAAGAGAAAAGUUAGGUAGGAAAUAAGAGAAAAUUUGGCUAAGUAUGAAAGUUGGGUAUUUGACUAUGGUUAAGCGUUAGAGGUUUUGUUGAGGUGCCAGAAGGGAAGGAAAACCUCUAAAGAGAUUAGUGUGGGCAAAUAGGGUGCUUGCUAGGCGGCAAAAGAAGAGAAGAUAACCUCCCUCUUAAGAUGUUAUCUUUGCGUUUUGAUGUGUGGUUGAGAAGGACAGAGUGAACCUCUAAAAGUUGGCGUUUUGGUUGCGUUUAGGACAAAAGAAGGCUUGUUUAGUGGUUAGCUAGGCGUUUGGAGAUUUGCAGCAAAGCUAGAGAGGUUAGUUGGAUGUUAGGACUUGGCGAAGAGCAUGACAUGGGAGAAGGACAUGGAGGUUAGCUAUGCAAAGUGAGGUUAGAGGUCAUGCAAUGAGAGAUUAGUUGGUCAUUAGGCUAGGCAUUUGGCAUGUCCUUGACACUUUGGAGUUUUGAUUAGGUGAGGAGAGGAAAAGGUGGAUUUGUUCAAGUGGAGUCCAGGUGUCAUGUGUAUGCAUAGAUUAAAUUUCGGCUAAAGGAGGUGUCAAUAAAGUUUCAUGCAAGCUCCAUUAUUAAUAGGUUACUUCAGACGUGCAUUUCUCUCAAACCACUCGUGCAUUUUGAGUGAAAUUACUCUCAAAAUAUUCUAAAUUGAGUCUAUAUAUUUUCUAUAUUGGGGCUACCGAUUUAAUUUGAGUAACGAAAGAUUGAUUUUAAGUUGAAGAAAGUGAGGAAGGUCGGAAUUCAGGUGAUUCUGAGCAAGGUGGACUUCUAGAGAGCUGUAAAGUUCAUCCGUUGAAAUUUGAAACUGAAAUAUUGAGGUGAGAAAGACAAUUUUCAACAACUUUAUCGAAGAAAGUAUUUUCAUUUGAGUUAUGCAUUUACAGUUACUAAGCUCUAAAUUGGAAAUAAGGUUCUGGCCGAAAAUGAGUUUAUGAGCAAUAGAGGUGGUUGGCCAAGAGACAAGGUAAGAUUAGGCGAGUUGGGCAUGACGUUUUAGAUCAGAGAGAUUAUUAGAUGAGGAGGUUGGCGUUGUAUGCACGACCUAUGCGCAAGACGCACACACGACAAGAAGGCACGUUAGGAGGGCUGCACGAGAUGUCAGACACGGGGGCCAAGUGAGGCGCGGUGUGUCUGUGCGCAGGCAUGCCCCGGGCGCGUGGUAAACCUCUUGUGAGGUUAGCGCGAGCAGCCCAGCACGCACGGGCAACCCCUACGCGCCAGCCGUGUCAAAGCGAUGUUUUAAAGUUGUUUUUGAUAUUUUGAAAAUUUUUAAGUAAAUUAAAUGAAAGUUGAAAGUUGUUUCUCAUUAUUUCAGGUCAAGAGAAGAACAAACACAUUUACAGACCAAAGUGUAAGCUACUAUUUGUGAGUGAUAAAGUGAAAGUUGAUUUUUUAAUUUAAUUAUCUAUCAAAUGUUUUAAGCAUGUUUUGAUGUAUGAAUUACUUGAGUUUACUGUUUUAGCAAAAUGUUUCCAAAGCAUGAGAUUUAAAAUGUUUGACAAGUAUUUAAGUAAAGAAUAAUUUUAGAAUGUUUUAGACUAUACCAUACGAUGUAUAUAUAUAGCAACCCUUUCGGGGGAUAUGACAUGUGCACAAAGGUUCUUAUGAUAGAGGUUAUCAUUAAAUACCUAUGUAUUCUCUCAUUGAGAGAUUUCUGAGAAGAGGGUGCUACAUUUCUUGAGAUUACCCACCUCAUUGUAGCUAUAACAAGAUGAGGACUGUUAGAGGGUCCUCCUUGUGUUUCAUAUGGUAUAGCAAGUAAACUGACUUACUAUGUUGAAGACGAAGUUUAAAACUAAAUUGUUUUUUUUCUUUUCAAAUAUGCAUGUUUUAAUAAAAACCAUCACUCAUUGUGCUAUUUUAGCUCAUUCUUUCCAAAUGUUCUUCCCACUUUUCAGGUAGUGGUCGUGAUCUGCAAGCCUGACUGUUGUCUUCAAGUUUGUUGUACAAAAUUUGUGAUUAGUUUAGUUACUGAGGGUCAAUUUUAGUUCAAACCUUAUCAUGUACAUGGUUUUGCAUAAGGUUAAGUGCAGUUGUUAAAUUUUUGUUUGGUCUGUAAGUAUAGUUUGUAAUCAAUGGCAUCUAGCCUCGCCUACUUGUUAAAAAGUAUAAGAAGUUGGUGAAGUUUGUUUCUCUUAAUUUUCGUUGCAUAAGUUUUAAAUUAUUUCGAUUAGGCCUUUUGGUACACAUUUUCUAUUUGUUUCUUGGGAUUUGCUUAAGCUUUCUUCCCAUUUGAAUCAAGUGUCUUAUGUUUCACUUGCUCUUGUGGCUUGAGUAAGAAGAAUUUACAACCAUGGCUUCACUGCUGCUAGAGACAUUUCAGGGGUAGUCUUUCUUGAACUAAGUUUAAUUUUCUUCAACAAAUUUUGCAUAUGUGAUAUCAUCAUAUAAAGUUAGGAAAUGUUUGAACUUUAACCAUUUCUUUUAUGUCAAACCGUAGUCCUCUUAUAAACUGGACAAUUAGGUAUUUUUCAUUCUCCAUCAGAUUUGUUCUAGCUCCUAGUUAGUGGAACUCUUCAAUGUAUUCAACCAUAGAUCGAGUCCCUUGUUGAAAACUUUGAUAUUGGUUGUAUUGAGUUUGUUCAUAGUUAGGUGGAAGGAACCUAGCUUUCAUUAAUUUCCUCAUUUUCUCCCAAGAGAAUUUAGUUUGAGUUAAUACACAAAAGCUUAAAGUCUAUUAGAAUGGGACAUUUGUAAACAAAGGAGGUGGACUCCUUUUAUAGGCUUAGAGUCAUCCACCUUUCUACAAAAUAGCUAACGUGGGAUUCCCACAUCCCACAUCUUGCCAAAUCCGAUUGAACUAACAUAAAUUUCUUUAGUUCAUUUACAGAAAAAAAUUAAAGCAGAAUUUGAUAUCCUUUCAUUCAUCAUCUUCUUGUCGGUAAUAAGUUUAAUUUCAUCGUGGGUAGAGAAAAAUAAAAAGAAAUCAGUAUUUACAUAUACAGAACAAAACGCAAAAAUAUUUACAGCACAUAUAACAAAAAAAAAAAUGAAGUCACUAUUGUUUUUCCAUAAAUUCUGGAUUUUUCCUUGUUGGUUUUGAAUUUCUUGGAACGAGUGUUGAAUUCCUGCACAUCUUCUUCAUAUUCCCACUUCUUCUUAUUCGCAGUUUUUCAUCUUCUCUUUUAGAAUUUCUUACUUGUUCGUCAUAUCAUGUCAUUUUUUUUUUCUUUUUUUUUCACUACAAGAUCGUGUACCAAAAUCUAAACGAUCAGUCAACUAUCUGAGAUAGAUAGAGAUAAAUCACUAUCACUAUCUAUCCCACAUACAUAAGCAAUAGAUCUAAAUGAUCGUUUACGAAGAUCCAAGCUAUCGUUUGCCAAGAUCAUUUAGAUUUGGUAUAAGAUUGUGUACCAAUAUCAUGUACCAAAACCGUUUAGAUUUUGUAUAAGAUUAUGUACCAAGAUUGUUUAGAGAUAGACCACUCUCAAUGUCUAUCCCAAAUAGAUAAGUGAUAGAUUCAAAUGAUUGUUUACUAAAAUCUGAACGAUCGUGUACCAAUAUCUAAAUGACCUUUUAUACUAUAUUAUACGAUCGUUUUAACUAGAAGCUUUUCAUGAGCAUGUGUGGUCGAUUAAUCGAGAGAUAUUUUUGUUAUUUCACUUUGUGGGUUUUUUCCUUUCUCAAAAUUGUUCUAUAUACCGUAUAAAUAUUUUUUCACUUUGUUUCAUAGUAAAAAAAGUUCCUUGUUAUAAUCUAAAAUUUUACCAUAUUUUAUAAAUAUUUUAAAAAUUUUGCUACUUAUGAUCAUUUAACACAAAAAUACAUGUAAAAAAGAAUAAACUAAAUAAUUUGUUACUAAGAUCGAAAGGUAAAUGGCAUUCGAAGAAGAAGAAGAAGAAGAAGAAAGAGGUUGGGCAAAUAAGAGAUACCAAAACCGACUGGUUCGGUUUAAGAAUUCGUUCAUAUCCAACCGAACCGGUUUUUUUUUAUAUAUAUAUAAGCCUUAGGGUUUCUUUCUUCAACACUUCAGCCGCAUCGUUCCUCUUCUCUAGGGCCAUAGAGAGACCAGUGCGCCAUUGCAGCGCUUAAUAACUUCCCCUUCACUCUCUUCAUCCUUUGCUUCACUACUACGGUAAGUCGCUCUUACCAGUUCUAGUCUUUUGCUCUUUUGUUAUUCUUUUCCUUUGGAGUUUUUUCACUGUUGUAGUUUACUUUGAUGCCCAAAUUCUAUCACGUUUUCAGCUUGUGUUUCGUUUCGUUGCCAGUAGCUGGUGGGUUUUUGAGUUUUGUUGUUUUUGAUAUGUGCUGUAAUUGAUUGAAAUAUUAGAAUACUCUAGAUCUGUUAACGUUACUCUUGCUCAUUUGAGUACCAUUGUACUUGUUUAUAUCUAUUUAUGAAGUCCUGUUUUUAUUAGUCUAUUGUUGGUGAGUUGAAUAGCAAGAAGUUGAUUUUUAUCUGUCUAAUUUUUUAGUUUUUACAACUUCUAUGGAGAUGCUUGAUUUCAUUGCUAAUCCGUUAAUUUAUCUUGGUUGUUUAUUUUCCUCUCUUUCUGUUUUUACUCUCAUUAAGUUCUUCAUUAGGAAUGGGGAAUGUGGUUAGUUUUCUUUAAGGGAAGGCGAGGAUUGGCGUUGUUCAGUUUCCCUGCUUUUAUAAUUUUGUCCCUGGAAUAAUUGUAUUUGGCUUCUCUUUGCAACUUUUAUGCCGCAACCUUCUCUUGUGAUUCCAAUUUUUAGGUAAAUUUUGGAUAAUAGAUUACCUCAACUGAUUGAUCCUUCCUAUCAAUUGGUUUCUUGGGUGUUCUCUCUCUGCCUUGGUGUGACAGAUGGGAAAAUGUGGAGUUCUUGAUCGGAAAUGGUCCUAUUCUUAUGAUUUUCUCAUUUUAUCAACACAUCUAUGAUCUAUUUCUGCUGCUCCCAUUUACAUUUGAAAUGUAAGAGGUUUUAAAUUUCAAAACGUUGUGUGUAUUAUUUUAGGAAAAUGCAGCUUUUUAAUCUAAGACUAGAGAGUUAAGCCAUCUAAUUUGCGGAUGGGGAAUAUGAAAAUGAUUAGGUAUCUGGAUAUGCAUAACAUGUUUGAUCGAAUUAGUGCUCAAUUUCUUUGUGUAAAUAAAUGGUCUACAGGAAUAAUGGCUGUUGAAGUUGAUGUGGCAAGCCAGGAACUGACCCAGUCUCAUCACGAUGUGAAGCUGUUCAACCGCUGGACCUUUGAUGAUGUCCAGGUGAACGACAUCUCUCUGGUUGAUUACGUUGGGGUUGCACCUGCCAAGCAUGCCACCUAUGUCCCCCACACUGCUGGGAGGUAUUCUGUCAAGCGCUUUCGGAAAGCUCAGUGCCCAAUUGUGGAGAGGCUCACAAAUUCACUUAUGAUGCAUGGUAGAAACAACGGGAAGAAGCUUAUGGCAGUCCGGAUUAUUAAGCAUGCAAUGGAGAUCAUUCAUCUUCUAACUGAUCUCAACCCAAUUCAAGUUAUUGUUGACGCCGUUGUUAACAGUGGGCCACGUGAAGAUGCUACCCGAAUCGGUUCAGCCGGUGUUGUUAGGCGUCAGGCUGUGGAUAUAUCCCCUCUGCGUCGUGUUAACCAAGCAAUCUAUCUCCUUACGACUGGUGCUCGCGAGGCUGCUUUCAGAAAUAUCAAGACAAUUGCAGAAUGCUUAGCUGAUGAACUUAUUAAUGCAGCAAAGGGCUCUUCAAACAGUUAUGCAAUCAAGAAAAAGGAUGAGAUUGAGAGAGUUGCAAAGGCUAAUCGUUGAGGUAAUAUCUCGAGGUUUGUUUUAUGUCACACAACAAGAGUUUUAUGUACUAUUUUUUUGUCUCUGGCUACAUUCUUCUAAUGAACACUGAAGUUUAAGGUUCGGGUUUGGUUUCUUUGUUGUGACAAUUCAUAUCUACUUGUUUUAGGUUUUUGAAGUUGAACAAGCUAAUGCAUGAUGUGUUUCUUAAAGUUGGAGUAUAUUUUCUAGUAUUAGUGAAACUUAACUGUCUCAUUUGGUUUUUUAGGUAAAAUAUUUUGCUAAGUGCAAGUUUUGGGUCCAUAUUGUUGGGGGUGUGCUUCUCUUCUAAGAGUUCAAUUUCGUCAAAUAUUUUUCUUACUAAUUCUGAAGAAAUCAUCUCGUAUACUAAAUUUUGAUGAAAUUAUUCACUCAUUGCCCAUUGAGGUCGGUUUGAAAUAAUCAUUUAGUUUUGAGAAAUUGUGAUAGAUGUCUAAAAGGAAAGAAUCGUUUUGAAUUAUAUCUACUCUACUAAAUUAUUGAAAUGUCCUUGGAGGGAUCCAACGUUGAUCUAAUGAUGCAAGUUUUUCCCCCGGAAAGCACUAGAUCAUAUACCCUAUUACCAUGGAGAGUGUAGAUAGAUCAAACCCUUUUUUUCCUAAGUGUAUUUUGAAGAAAUAUAUCGUUAUUUAUCUUUUACAUGUAGGGUUUUAGUUGUUUGGAUAUCCUUCAUUGUGGAAUCAAUUUUAAAAUUAACUUGAAGUUUCUCUAGAUUAUUCAUCAAUGAUUUUGUUAUCUUUUACCACACCAUGUUCGGACCUCACCGAUCUCGUUGAGAUAUUGAAGAUGAGGGAUUUAAUUGAAGCAAAUAAGAGUUAUACGAAGUCCCCUAGGUAUUCAACUUAGAAACUCUUUUGUUACACGAAAUUCCCAACAAUUCAACUUAGAAACUCUAAUUUUUUAAUCACUAAAAUUUCCAAAUCAAUAUAAUUUCAAUCCUAGGAAUUGGGUUAGACAUAUAUUGUCCUAAGAUCUAACAUCUUAGACACAAAAAACAUUCACCUUAAGUUUUGAACACUCAAGAGAACUAAGUUUUGAACACUCAAGAGACAUGUAACUAAAAAAUGAAUUACAAAUCUAAGCUCUCUUAAAUUUGAUUAAACUAAUUCUACUUGUAUGUAAUAAUAAUAAAAAAAAAGGAUAAAAAUGAAAAGAAUAUUUAAAUUACAUCAAAAUUAUUUAACAAAAUAUAAUUAAUAAUUUGAUGCUCGUUUGAAAAGUUGGUAAAUCAAAGCCUUGCAAAGUAGUCAUGAAGUCAUGAGAUGGAGGCAACGUCAAUUUCCUAGCAGUCUUUUGGAUGGUUUGCAGCUAUCGAAAGAACUUGGGGGAUGGUUUGCAGCUAUCAAAAGAACUUAGGUCACUUGUGAAGUUUUGCUUUAAUAUCUUUACUUUCUCUGCAAAAGUUCAAAAGAUAAAUGAGGCAAAUUGGGUGGAAGCUCACCUAUUAGAAAACUAACUCUUUGGUUAUCUUCACAAAUUUUAGUUUUUGUUUUCUCAUCGAUGUUUGCGUAUUCUUCAUUUUCAUAUAUUUGAAGCAAUGAUACAACAUAUGAUCAAUAUUACUUUGGACGCUAAUUUUUUGGAAAAUAUGUCAAUUUCAAGUUCACUACUAUUUACAUCCUCUACCCCACUACCAUUAGCCUAUGCUCCUUAUUACAAGCACAUGAGUUCUUGCAAUCUAAAUCAUCACGUUCAUGCAUUGACAUAACAGUUUAAGCUUUUGUUUACAUGUAGUGGCAUUGAAAUUGAGCUUAGAUCUAAUGUACCUUCAACAUUUUAUUUGGAGUAGCUUUUUUAUCUUGCACCAUUUUUUCCAAGUCCUCACAAUUUCUCAUUAAAUUCUUUGUAGAAUUGAUCCAUGGUAAUUUCCUCUUCCUCAUAUAUGUUAACCUCAGCAAGUAGUAACAGCUCUUCAUUAGUAAGUGUUCACACUUUUGUUCCCUUGCUUUAAAGCUUCUAAUCUGUGGAAACUUGAACAAAAGUCUUUUUGCAAUACUUCAUCGGUCCACAUACUCUCAAGAGUAUGGGUGGUAGGAGGAAAUAUAAUAAGGGUUGAAGGAGUUGGAGAAAUCCGACUAAGAAAAAAUCCCGAGUAUUUUUGGGUGUGUGAGAAAGUAAGCAGAUAAGGUGAAAGAAAUAGGUGAGAAAUUUAUAUUUGACCCCUUUAAAAAGAAAUUUUUUUUUAGAAAACUUAAAAGACAAUCAUGGAAUGAAUUUCAUGGCAUAUCCCUACGAAUGUGGAAAAUUUCCCAUAUCCAUAGAACAGAAAUUAUGAGAAGGAAAAAAAAGUUGUGGGGAUCAGGGGGCAGAUCUCAAUUUCUAGGAAACCUCCGACACUCUACAUAUGUGAGGAAGCCUCCUCAGUUUUUACCUACUAAUCUCUCUCGCUGCCGGAGGUAUCCAUGGAUGGGGGAGAAGAAACGAUGGGGACUGAGAGGGAAAAAGGAUUGACAUGAAUGCCACGUAUCAUUUGACCGUUAGGAUGAUGCAGCAUUGGAGAAGGAGGAAGAACAAGGACUGGCGAUGGGCGCCGAGGAGUGACACAAAUUGGAGAGAGAUGGAACGUAUAUGAAUGAUGUAGGAGAGGAGAGGUAAUUAAGUGAGAUAGAAUGGAAAGACUUUGGGGGAAGGAGAGGGCAUAUCGUAAAUUUUGGGAACACAUAUUGAAUUCCUAAUUUUGUGAAAAAUUAAAGAAAGAUUUGGUGGCACUAAGCUUUCGAUCAUGAUGCUUUAAAUUAUUGUGUUGUUAGAAAUUGAAUUUUGUGACCUUUUCUUUUAACUUCUGGCUCCAAAUUAACUUUUACCAUAGCAAAUUGAAUGGGCUACUAACAAAUUAUCAUUGAAAAGCAUUUUUGAGUAAAUUUACAUUAACAUUUCACAAUAUAUCCCAUCAACAAUUUGUUGGGUCAAUUGAAGGUUUGGACCAUUUAGAAUAAUUAUUCACACUUUAAAGACUUUAAAGACUAAGGGGUGGUUUGACCAUCAAAUUAUGAAUGAGUGAAAUAAAUUAUUUUAGCUCACUCUACGUUUGUUCCAAGAAUUAUCACAAUCUUAAGAUUAUAAAUAUUCUAUUUUUUUCCCUUAUUUCUCUUAUUUCUCAUUCCCACUUUCAGUGUUCCUCUAUUUUAUUUUGAACUAAUUUUUUUACUUUUAUUAUUUGUUUCUAUUUUGUUACAAAAGAAGUAUAUUUCGAACAUCUAAUAUUAAUUGUUAAGCACAUUUUUUAAAUUGAAUAAAAGGGUAUUUAUAAAAAUAGCAAACUAAAUCAAAAUAUUUAUAAACUAUAGCAAAAUUUUGGAUUCUAUUAAUGAUAGUCUUCUAUUACUAUAAUAUAUAAAUGACUAUGAGCGAUAAAAUUUGCUAUAGGUCGUAAAUAUUUUGUAAAAUUUACUAUUUUUGAAAAUUCACCGUUAAUAAUUCACUUUAUAUGUAAACUCAUCUCCAAAUUUUGCCCAGUAUUGAAACGUUCGCCAUUUGUCCAAACUAAUACAUAUGAUUAAUUCCAUUGUUAACCUUACUACUACAUUUUUCUCACACCUAUUUCUCCAUUUUCACACUUAAAUAAUGAGGUUUUUUAGAAAGUAUAACACAACCCCAAAAUAUAUAUCAUAUAGAACAAUUUUGAAAAAAAAAAAAAACUACAGAUCUACAAUAAAAAAUACAAAAAAUGCUCCAAUGAACACGCGAUUAAUUUGGCACUUACACGCAUAAUAUAUUUGGGUACACGAUCUUGUACCAAUGUACCAAGAACGUUCAGAUUUGACUAUACGAUCAUUUAAAUUUGACUACUUAAUUUUAAACGAUUUUUUUUCUAAGAUUCAUUUGUUACAUCGUCUUUUAGAUUUGGCUACACGAUCGUUCUAAAUCUAAACUAUUCUUUUCAAGAUUCUUUGGUAUAAGAUCGUUUAGAUUUGACUACACAAUCAUUUACAUUUGUGACAUUCAUUUGGUACUACACGAUCGUUUAGAAUUGAAGCAAAUAAAAAAUGACAAAAGAAUAAGAGAAGAAAGAUGAUGAAAAUGAAAAAAAUGGUAGAAGAAGAAUAGAUCAACAAAAAUGAUAAAAAGGAGAAACCUCCAAUAUUUUAAAAAAAUUGUCAACUAUAUGAACUUUUUAAUAUUAAUAUUAUUAUUAUAUUUAUAAAAAUUAACGUAAAAUAAUGUUGAAAAUAUUAUGUUUUGAAAGUUAUAAAAAUAGUUUAGAAAACUUAUUUUUAAAAAUUAAAGUGACUGCAAUCCAUGAAAAAAUAGUGAAAUUAAAUAAAUAAUUUAGGUGUAAUUAGUUAGCAUUUGAUUUCAAAAUGCUAAAAAAUUAGGUUCCAUAAAGUACUUUUUACUUAAAAUACAUCAUUUUUUUCUCUAUAAGUAAAGAAAAGAUAUUAGGAAAUAAAUAUUAGGUUUGGUUCAAUCUGUUUAGCAAUGUUAAAGUGGUGAGAAGGAAAGGUAUUGUUAAUUAAGAAAAUAUAACCCUUACAUAUAAAUGCUAUCUUUUCAAUUUACAACUAAGAGAAACUAAGAGAAACUAAGAGAAACUAAGAGAAACUAAGAGAAAGUAGAUUUGAUUCUCAUGAAGUAAAUAAGAAAAAAGAAUCCAAAUCUACAAUGAGAGAAAGCAGCAUUAAAUCAUUGACCUAACUUUACAUCAAAUCACCAUUCUACCCUCCCUCCUCCGUCUUUCAUGUCACCAAUUCAAUGCCCUCACAUGCCCUCCGCACCACCUCACAUCUAUCCAUCAACCUUCACCGCCGGACCGCCUUUUCCAGUCCGUAUUAUUAGACAUAUUCCAAAGACGGUGGGACGAUUCAAACUCAUUUGAAAUUUGAGUGAACGCUUUCACGAUUAUUUCGUGGUGGUAAGGAGAAUUGAGAUGGAGGAAGCAAUUCAGAAGCUCUUGAAGGCCGUUGGGAGAGUAAAUUCUCUUCUCCACUAUCAUCUCAACCAUCGAUCCCCGAAAAUCCUCGUAUGGGUCGUCGGAAUCCUUCUCGACCGCGAUGCUGUCGCCGAUGAGAAUAGCCACCGGGCUUUGGGUUCCCGUGGAUUUGGAAGCGGAGCUGGUGUAGUCUUCGUCGAGAGAGAAGGUGCCGUUCUGAUCAGUGCUGGAGCUUGAAGAGGAGCGUCUGACGAUGGUGGUGGGGGGUUUCUUGUCAGGUUGGACGAUGUCAGAGAGUUUUGGCUUUUGACAGCCGCCACAGCCGGCGGUGGAGGAGAAAAUGGUUGUAAAAAACUUGUUCUUCCGGAUGUUAGACAUAAUUGAGAGAGCGUUUUGGUGUGUGGGUUAGGCUUUUGUAGUUGAGUGAGAUGUGGCCUUCAAAGUUGUAUACAUUCAAAUUCGUGUCGUAUAAAAAAAUUUAAAGGUUGUAGACAUUGGCGUACCCUCGACUGCACUAAAACUUUUUCCUUUUUUCUUUUUUCUUUUUUCUUUCUUUUUUUUUUAAAAAAUUAAUUGUAAUAAUCAAAGUCAAUACUCUUUUCUUUCCCUCUCUUCCUUAUCUUAACUUUGUACAUAAAAUUCAAAUAAAUGAAGUGUUUUGGACUAUGGGUAUGGAUAGAUCAUCUUAAGAUCUGAGGUAGGAGAGAUUAGGAGUGUGGGAGUGAGUUAGAGAUGAAGAAAAAAUUAUAAAACACACUACAAUAUGUUCAUUUAAAAAGUUAUAUCUAAUUUUCUUUUUCAUAAUACACAACUUAUUUUGAUGCUAGAGGUUGGGUAUUUCAUUUGGUUUACGAAUAGUUUCCUUUUGAGAUUAGAAGAAGGUAAGUGAGACCUUGUUAAAGUAGCUAGUUGGUAUUGAGGAGGAGGAGAAGAGGGGUUAAAAAAUUGGAUGGUUGGGAACUCUAUUACUAUAAUAUUGUAAGUAAAAUGGACAUUCAGCACUAUAAUUAAGAAACAAUUAAGUAAUCAAAUUUAAUAAAUGCAUAGUUGCAUCCUCUUUUUAACCUUUUUCUAUUCUACCCAUAUAAAAGAAAAAUAUUAUCAUAUAAAAGUUGGCAAAUAUUAAUUAAAAUUAUAAUGAAACCUCUUACCAGUAUCAUUACAAAUAUGAUUUUGACAUUUUUCUAAACAUAUCAUGACACCGACUCUCCACUCAACACAAAAAUUUUCAUUUAAAUUUAGGUUAGAGAUCGAUAUUAUUGUUUUAAUUUUUAUAUAAUAAUAAUAUUAAAUAUUAUUAUUAUAAUAAGUCUUAGAGAGUUAUUUCUCCCCCUUAUCUUUAAUGCUUUAGAUUAUGUUUGCCCUUAAUGUAUUAUUUUGCAUUUAACAUUUCUAUUUUUUCUUCCAAAUUUAAAUUUAUUUAGUUUAGGGUUUUUGAUGCAUAGAGAUGUGCAUGGACAUAGGCAACGUAGGAUCCAGGAUGUCAUUUCCUGCGUCCCACUCUCUUGUUUCACUCUCCAUCUCUAUCGACAUUUUCGUUGGAUCAAGUUCGACAUUUUUUGUCGAAAUUUUCUUCCGUCAAUUGUUUUUAGAAAAGCAAAUAAUUUAAAUUAUUAAUGUUGGUAAAUAUUAAUCAAAUAACUGACUCUAUUGUUAAAUUGUUCAAUAUGGUUAGUUCUACGUGAUAAUUUAAAUUUAAAGACAAAUUACUCACCCUUUCAAAAAAUGUUAAUCAAAUUAUUCACAUGUAUAAUCUAAAUUUAAAUAUUAAACUUAAACAUAUUCAUUUAUUUUGACCAAUAAACAACUGAAGUUGAAAUUUAAAUGAGUUUUCUUUAAAAAAAAAAAAAUUACAAAUUAUUUAUAUUGGAUAAGACAAAAACACUAGAAGACAAAUUAAAUUAAUUUAAUACCUUUGAUUUUUGUGUAUGAAAUAUGUAAAUAUUUGGUCAAAUAUGGACGAAUUCUCGCAUUUAAAUGUAAUAUUUAUAAAAUAAUAAUAAUAACAUAAGAUUAAAGAUUAGAAAAUGUAACAUUAAAUAGUUAUAGUAAUUAAAUAAAUAAAUAGAGGGUAAGGAAGAAUACAUUGGUAACCCAUCCCCAUUUAGGUUAGUGAGAACUUUCUUUUCCACUCCCUCCCCCUUUUCUCGCUUAAGGGGGGACCCAUCCCAUUUUCAUGAAAAAAUUGGACAUCUUAAUUCUUAAAGAUAUGAUAACCUUUUACCAAAAUAGAUUUAUUUUUUGGGACAUUUUCAUAAAUAAUAUAAUAAAAAUAUAUAUUUAUAAAAUAUAGCAAAAUUUUAUAUCUAUCACUAUUAUGCAUUAUAGACUUCACGAUGUAUUAGUAAUAAGGAAUAAAUAAAUGGAUUUUUAAUUUAAAAAUAUAAUAUAUAUUAUUAUUCAUCACUAGACCAUGUCUUGCUUGAUCAUACAGAUGGCAGUGGCAGCAGCAGCAACAACAACAACAACAUGCAUAUAAAGAUAUCAAGGUGGAAUUCUCCAAUUUUGAAUAAAAUAAUAAUAGGUUAUUUUUAGAAGAUGACGAUUUUUUUCGCUCGACCACCCCAUUUUGUUGGAGUGUAGUCGCAUGAGUUUUGGUGAACAAUUGCCUUGGAGGCUAGGAAUUCGCUAAGGUUAUGGUUUUGGAAUUCCCUACCAUUAUCACUCCCAAGAAUUGCAUUUUUUUGUAUGGAAUUGUGUUUCAAUGGUGUGAUAAAAGUUUUGAAAAAUAGAUGAAAUCUCAUAUUUAUCGGUGAUAAGGUAGACCCAGAUCAGACGGGUAUGAUCAUCAAUGAAAGUUACAAACCACCAUUUUUCCGAUGAGGUGGUGACAUUGGAAGUACCCCAAAUGUCACUAUGGAUUAGGGUAAACGAUUGUGUAGGUUUAUAUGGUUGUCAGAAAAAUGAAACUCGGUGUUGUUUUGCCCAGAUACACACAUCACAAGAUAAAGAGGAGACAUCAAGUUUAGAAAAAAGAUGGGAAACAAAUAUUGCAUAUAUAUGUAAAGUUUGGGUGGCCUAACCGAAAAUGCCACAACAUACAAUCAUGCUUAGAAGUGCUAAAGUAGGAAGACAAUGAACUAGUCCUAGACAAACUGCUACUGGAGGUAUCAUUAUCAAGAAUGUAAAGUCCUCCACUAUGAUGCCAAACAAUGUCAAUCAUCAUUUCCAAGCUCAUGUCUUGAAAACAAACAGAUUUAGGUAAGAAGAUAGCUUUACAAUGCAUCUCACUAGUGAUCCUGCUUAUACAUAGCAAAUUAUAAGACAAUUUAGGCUCAUGCAAAACAUUUUGGACAAUAAAACCAUCAAAGGGAGCUAUUUGUCCUUUGCCAGUGAUAGGGGCUAGAGAGCUGUCGACUAUCCAGAUUUUUUCAUAAUCGACACACGGGCUGGGGCAUAAGAGAUAAAAUGCUCUGAAGAAUCUGUCAAGUGAUCUGUAGCUCGUGAGUCUAAAAUCCAGAGAUUUUUCCCAUCAACGCUAAUAAGCCCACAAGACCGAGGCAUACUUGACUGAGCAAUAACACCCAAAGUAGGAGUCUUGGUCUAAUUUGAUUGAGAAGUCUGGCAGGGGUAGUCUCACUAAUGUGGACAUGUCCUAAGGUAUGUUUCUCAUUUAUGGCAAGGGUAGUUAGUGCACCCAUGAAAAUACUUUAGAAACAUGGAUAUCAGAAUCAUCAUUUCAAAAUUAGUAAACAUUUUACUAAAAAGGCUCAAAAUUAUGAAAAUACUUUGUAGAAAACACUCACUAUACUAAAUAACUUAAACUCGAAAUGUUCUUCUUCUUUUUUUCGAGUAGACACUUUGACAACACUUCAGCCCUUGAGCUUCCUCUUCAAUUUUGCUCAACCUCUAUUUAUACUACUCCUUAAACAAGCUUAGUCAUUUUUAAACUCUUCCCAGCACACCAACUCCUACCCUUAGUGAUGCACGUGUAAGCUUUAGGUUAUACUUAAUUAAUCAUGCUUAACUUAAUCUCUACACGUGGUCCAUUAAAUAAACUUAGAAGAUUUUUAGGAAGUGUCAUUACUUCUUCUCGCCUAAUCUUAUUCGUCUUGCAUAGUACCUUAAUCGCAUAGUAACACUCAAACACCUAGAAGUCCUAUCGCGUAACCUUCCCUUAACGCGUACCUAACUUAAGUGCUAACUUCAAUUCUUGUCGUGCAAUCUUGUUGCUUCGCCAAACCUCAACUUUCCUUAUUCUCUUAUCAUUCAAAACGCCCAAUUUUACACGUAACAAAAUUUUAACCUUCUAACUUAGGUACGAGUCAUACAUACAUGAAGUACUCCGAGAGGUAGAUUGGGAGAAUGCCGAAAGAGAUGGUGAAAUGAGAAGUCGACGACGAUGAACACUGAGAAGGAGAAGUCGAGACGAGAGGGAGAGGGUAACACCAAUGACGACCUGGAUGAGAAGCUAAGACGAGAGGAGAAUGAAGAUGGUAAAGUAGAGAGACAUGAAGUGAGGCGACGUGAAAGAGUGAGACUGCUUUAGAAGUGACCUAAAUUUACUUUUAAUAAAUUAAUAAUGUAUAAUAUAAUAUAAAUAUAAAUAUACAUAUAUAUAUAUAUAUAUCAUUAAUUAAGAUUGGAUUGGGUUGUACCAAAAUUUUCAACUCGCAACUCGAGACCCAACCCAACUCGAAAAAAACAAAAUUUCUAAACACAACUAAACCCCAACCCUUAUAAUAUGGAUUGUGUAGUGUAGAUUGUCAGAUUAUUUUUAUACACGUAGGUGCCUAUUUAAGUUCGGUUUGGUCAAACCAAAAACUUUAUAACCAAAAAUUAUUGACUGAACACACUAGAUCACUAUAUUUUCCACGGAAUCAUGUGGAUACUUAAUACAACUAAGCUAAUAAUCGCCACUGAAACUUCUACCUAGUACUAAAAUUUAAAAUUUAAACUCAUGAUAGCCAUACAAAUAGGUCCAAGAGUUGCAUUUUUGGAAGGAUGUGGAUGGGAAGAUUUUGGAGGAUGAACUCAGUCAUUUACUUGGAGAGAUAAUAACGAAACUCUGGCCAGAUAAAAACGUAGAUUUUAAUGGAAAAAAAGGAUAAUUAUGAUUUAAGAAUAUAAAAGAUAAAAGAAAAACAAUUUAGAUACAAAUUUUUAAAAAAUAAAGUUAAAUCACAGAAAAGGAAAAUUUGAAAAUAGAGAAAUUCAAAUCUGUGUAUGUUAAUUGGAAGGGAUGAAAAUGUUGGAAGAUAUUUCAUAAUAGGUAACUUAGAUAGAGAUUUAGGAAGAUGAGUGUUUGGAUGCACCAUUGUCUUGAAGCCAUAAGGGUUAUCAAACGGAGGCUAUAAUAUUUACUUAUUAUACAUUAUAGUAAUGUAGUUAUAUUUUGAGUAAUAUUGACUCCAAAAUGACCUGCAUCUAUAGCUUCAUUCCAUAGACUUUACCUUUCAAGAAAUUAAAUAAAAGAAGUGGAAAUUAGUAAUUAAUAAUAAAUGGGUAUAUAGUAUUUAAAUUAAAUUUAUUUAAGGUACAAUUUAGAUUAGAAGACCUCUAAUCCGUACAAAACCCCAGCAUGUUUGUGCAUUUCAGUCUGUACAAAAAAGGUAUCUCUCAUCUUUUGAAAGGCAUGCCACGUUAGCAAGCUAUCUGAGCCGGCUUGAUGGCACUUUCCAACCGCCCGGUUCACAUUCAUAGUUUUCGCAAUCCGGUCCAAACCGCCGUAUAGACUCUGGCAGAAGCGCAUCAAGUACUUCAUGUCGUACACGUUAUCGCCGAAGAAGAGCCUAACAACGCCGAGGAACUGUUCUAAAUCUUUUGGAAGUUUUUGGUGGGUUAAAAUCUUAACCAAAUACCCAAAAUCAUAGGCACUGUGAAACGUCACCCAACUGACCGAGUCGUUACAGACGAGUCCCGAUGACAUCAUCAACUCUCGGCGAAGCGGGAGGAAUCGAUCCCUUCUUCUCGAUUCCGGUCGAAGUCGAUGCCCUGACGGCGUAGAAGCUCGAUGGAGUUCGGAGCGUGGAGGUCACGCGCCACGUCAAAGUCCUUAAAGUUGAACUCCCAGAUAAAUCGGGUGUCGCCGGUGCCGAGAUCUGGCAAGUUUCCGUCAGAAUCGGAGAGAGUGAUUCCGAUCUGGAUGAGAUGGAGGAGGUCGACGUUGGAUUUGAGGAAUUGGUAGUGAUGGGAGGGGUGAUUUGGAGAUUUGGGUAUGUCUUGUUGGGGGAAAAUGACUCCGGGGAACUCCGUGUCCAUUGAAACGCAAGGGAAUUGGUCGAUGAGAUCGCGGAUCAAACGAAAUUCGGAUUCGAGAUUGGAAGCCCAAACUUCACGAAUUUGGAUGGAUUUGUGGUUGGUGUUGAGAUCGUGGAUAAGCAUGGUGUAAAAGUUAAAUAAAAUAAAAAAAAUAAAAACUAAAAUAAGAUGGGAUUGAAGUAGUGAGGGAUUUGGAUGGAAAAGAAGAAGAAAGGAGAGAUUAAUAUAGAGAAUGGAAAAGGAAAAGGAAUAUAAAAGGAAAGUGGGAGGAUCGAGAGAGUAGUAAAGUUCAGAGUAUUUGAUUCAACGCGUUUUUUUCAUUAGUCCUUGACUCACAAAGUAAGCGAGUCGACUCGGUCUAAUUUGGGUUCUGCCUAAAACGUUUUUUCUUUAAUUGAAAAUAUUUAUAAAUGAAUAGUGACGUGUAUUUCGGAGUAAGUGGAUGGGUAUCAAAUUUAGGUUGUGGGCCCUACUUUUUCUCUUACGUUUUUAUUUUCUUUUUCUUUUUUUUUUUCUUUUUCUUUAUUUGUUUUCUAAUUAAUAAUAAAUUAACCAUUUUCAACCGCUACCAUUUCCGUCUAGGUGAAUCCCAUUACCUUAUUUUAAACAUUAUAUUAAUACUUUUACUUUUACUCUUUUUUUUUAUUAUUGAAAAAAAAAACUACAAAACACAUCUACCUAUCAUUCUAUCCCAUCUAAACGAUAUUGUAUCCAUGUAUUCAAUCUAAAUCAUCUUAUAUAUUGUACCUACUCUAAAUGAUCUUAAACCAUUGUAAUCAAUCUAAAUGAUCUCACUCAAAACGAUCUUGCACCAAAUCUAAAUGAUUUAUUAGUGUGAUAGUUGUCUCUAUCUGUCUAUCUUACACAAUUGAUCAUUUAGAUAAUGUACCAAUAUCGUUUAGAUCUUAUACCGAGAAGAAAAAAAGAAGAUGAGAGAUGAAGGAAGAAAUUCUAAAAGAGAAAAUAAAGAAAUUGCAAUAAAAAAAAAUGGAAAGAGAAGUAAUAAUAUGAAGAGGAGAAUAAUAAAUGACAAAGAAGAAAAAAAGAGUGAAGUGAAGAAUGGUCUCAUAAUAUUCAAAAACAACGAAAGACAAGUACGAGAGUUAUUAACUAUCCUUCCUUCCCGCCCAUUUGAUUUAUUCAAUUUCUUAAAGUUUUCUUCAUUCUCUUCUAUCGUUUUUGUUUUUCUUUUUGUUUUCUAGAUUUUCAGGAGCUUUGCUUCUUCUAUUUCAACUACUAUUUGUCGUGAGAGGUAGAAAGAUGUUGGUCAUAGACAAAUCUCCAAUCGAUACUUGGAAAUUCCUCUCUACUCAAUUGCAGUAUCUUAAUCAAUGAUCAACUUUUUCUUUACUAUGUUUUCUAACCACAAUGUUUUUUAUGGAUAUUAUGUCACACCCCACUCCACAUGCGUCCUAACCUUGUAAUAUGGCACACGAUGUGACUUGAGUAGUCUCGACGCUUUAAGAGAAACAUCAGAACGCUCAACUUAAAUUCUUGAACUUUAAAUUAAUCGCGCCUGGUUCCAAUUUAACCAAUGAAAACUUGAUACUUUAGCAUAAAGGCGAUAGAAAAAAAUACGAUGCGAGAUACCAAUAACAUGGUCUUCUUUUAUUUCUUAGCAAAACACAUUCAAAGUAUACAUGUUACAGUACAGUUUCUUAAAUACAUAAACUAUGAAGCCGAACUUAGAACGUUUUGCUUAGCUUCAACGUGUAGCAACCCGUCUUCCUUGUUCAAACUUAACCUUAACACCCGGUGACUUAGGAGAGGGAAAAUUUAAAACAUAUAAGUCAAAACUUAGUAAGUGUGUGAUAUUUUGAAAACCUUUUUAGCAUACAACAUAUGAAAUCAUUUUCGUAAACAUGACUUUUAUUGCCUCAUUUUAUAAAACAUAAAUCAAACAUUAGUCUUUCAUAUUCCUUUCGCCAAGAACAUGAAUCAUUCCCACGCAUAGACACAACUGUGAUGUCAUUUUCAUCAAUAACAUCUCUUGGAGAAUUUUCUGGUUUAUUUCUCGUUGCUCAGACAUCUAAGAUCAAUAUGCCCCUUUUACAGAUUGGCUAACUUUAAUUCAUCAUGUCGUCCUUUUCUACAUGACUGCCUUUACUUCUUAUGUGCACAUAACAAUUAGCUUCAUUGAUAGGAAUAAGACUAAUGGUUUACAAACAAACAUAGCAAGCAAAAUAAUCGUUAAACAUAAUACAAGCUUUCUUUCGAAACCAUUUCUUUUAUAAACAUUAACCUGCGAGCAUUUAUUACAUAUCAACAAGGAAUUUAGAAGAAAGCUUUAAAAUCUUUAAACAAUUUUGGAAAAUCACUAGCUCACGACACUAAAUUCUUUCUUGAGAAGGCCCUAGCAUCCCAAAAAAAACCUUCUUCUCACCUAGUGAUUCUUCAGCAAGGACAUCACUUAAUACAUUUCCUUAUCAAAAUUAUCUCAAAGUAACCUUCUUUUCUUCUACUCCUUUCUCUGGUAUGUACUAACCCUAAUUUGGAUUACUCAUCCUUAAAUUCUUAUAAACUCACUAGUUUCUACUUAAAGUGCUACACAUGUAAGCCUGUUAACUUUUCAAACCAUCGUUAGCUUAUAACUCUUACACUUAGCCCAUUAAGUAUAGUUAGAAAUUUUCCUAGACUUUUCUAACUCUCAAUAUGACCUGGUUUCAGCUUGCGUUGAACCUCAAAUCACCCGAUUAAUAUAAUCUUGUAUGUCUUUUCCUCACCUUGUGUCGCCUUAACUCAACGUCAAGCAUCAAAACACCUAAUUUCUCAGAAACUCUUCUUCAAACUUCUUUACUUAACUUCUUAAUUUUUCCGUAUAUGACCCUUCUAUUUAAAUACGGUUGACCCUUUUAUUCAAAUAUUGGCCUGACACAUGUUGAAUGACAUAACAUAUUAUUUUUGCUUAAUUGAAUGUUAUUGGUGUAGAAUUAUAAACAAGAGAAAGAUCCGGUGGGGAUGGAAGAUUAGGAAGCCUACAAUACCUAAAACACAUAACAGAAAAUUGAAUAAAAGUCAUAAGAAAUUGAAGAAGAUGGAAAAUGUGGACGAAGAAAAUGAUUUCAGGUCCGAUCAAAUGCCAAGUUGUCUAAUGAACUAACUAGUCAUUUAACCAUCUAGUCACAUUUUGUUAGUUUAAAAUUAAGUUAAGGAUUACUUUGAAUCAAAACUAAAAUGUGUCUUAACACCAAACUUGAAGAAGUAAAAGUGCAUUUUGUCCUUGAAAGAAAAUUAUACCAAAAGAUUUACCUUGAAAAUAGGAAAUUUACAUCGUAUUAUGAAAAGAAAAAAAAUCCAUAACUUCCAUUUGUAGUCAACUUCGAGUUGAGGAAUUUAGGAAAGGUGAAAGGACUAAAUAUGAUUAUGGAAUUGAAAAGAACUACAUCAAAUCAUUUGAAUUGAUUUUGUACUCCCUUUAGUUGAGGUAUUAACAAUAUUGAAUUGAAUAACCUUUGUUUUGCAGCAAAUUUGGGGAAUAAAUGGUGACUGAAAACUCCUCAGAGUUCUGAAUUCGUGAAUGUCAUCAACAAUAAAGCUCCUCAACCUUGACCGACUACAGUGGAAGGGAAGCCAUAUAAGUAGUUUCUUACCUUCCAUUUUUCAAUUAUUUUUAUUCGUUUUUUGCAUGUAAUUUCCUUUUUCCCGAAUAACCACUCUUCGUGUGGUUUUCUUUUUCUUUCUCUUAUCUCCAUCAUCUUCCCCAAAUAACAUCGUCUUCACCAUCUUCCUCCUCGCCUCUCAUCGUCUUCCUCUUCGCUAGAUUUGGGUUUUCCUCUUUCUCUUCGUGUGGAUCUCAGUUUUCAUCAAAUCUGUGGAUUUUCGCCUUCGUCGUGGGUCUUUUUGUCUUCCUCUUUGCCGUGAAUUUCAAUCCUCCUCUUCAUCGUGAGUUUUCGUCUUCCUCCUUGUCGACUCUGUUCUUUAGAACUUAAUCUUCAUCUUGAUCUCUAUAAGAUUACUAAAAGACUCUUCUAUCUAGGUUUGAUAAAGUGAGUUGUGUAAUUUUUAAUUGAAUUAGAUGUAAAUAAAAUAACAUGAAUAAAAAAAAAAAUUUCGAAGAAAACCAGAAAACAAGAAAUAGUUAUCAAACACAUUUCCUAUUUCUAUUUUUUCUUUCAAAAAACAAGAAAAAAAAAAGUAAACAGUUAUCAAACACAUGAAUGUUUAUUGUUCUAGAAAAAGAAGAAACAGAGAAUAGAGAACAGGUAACAAGAAACGUUACCAAACGGGUCUUUAAUGUCUAUCUAAAUUUGUCCUAGUUUGUCAAUAAAAUAAGAUAGAAUUAUGUUAUAUUUGUAGAUUUUUUUAAUAAUUUUAUAAUUUGAAAGAGUUUGUAUGUUUAUAUUUCAUUUACUCAAACGAGAUUUUGUUGCUUCCUUUUUUAGUUUUGUUUUUAAUUUUAUGAUUAAUGGAAAUAUAAAUUUUAUGGGAACAUAUUAAACCUGCUGACGACUAAAAUUUAAUAACAAAUCUUAUCAAUGCAUCACUCACAAGUGGUGAAAGUUCUAUUUAUAUAAGAAAACACACUUAAGUAGUCCUAUACUACUUUUCCAAUCAAUAUUUGUGAUAUGUGAUUCUUGGAAUAAAUUCCCAUUCUUCUCUAAAAUAUAUUUCUAUCCAUUUUCAAAAUUGUGCAAAAGAAAAUAGAAUCUCUAGUUGGAGGUUGCAUCUUAUCAUUGUUUUAGUAUAUAGUUCUUUUUUUGACACUCAAAUCCAGUGAUUUGAUUUUAAAAAAAAACAAUUAUAGACUAUGAUAUAUGUGAAGAAUGAUUUAAAAUAUUCCACAAACUACUUUGAAUAUGAGAUAUUUUUUUAAAAAAAACUUAUUUUCCAUCUAUUUUGUUUAGCUUUAGGAUGCAUUUAUUUAAUUUAAAACGUGAUAGAGUUGUUUAGGUCCUUUUGGGCAAAUAGUUGUCAAACUAAUAAGGUAGAUUUUGAUGUGGAUCUAAAGUGAUAUGAUUAUUUGAAUGGGGUCCUCUCUUAUUAAUAUUGGUCUCAUGAGUAAUGGAUAUUAAGGUACGUAGUAGUGUGUGAAUAUGUCCAUCUAAUAUGGAUCUCACCCAUUCCAAUUUUGUAGGCUGUGGAUGAUUCAACGUUCAACUUUUCUUUACCAAAUAUAAAAAAUAAUCCCCACUUCAAGUUAUCUUUUCAUUUAUUGUUAGACAUGAUAAUAACCACGACAGUAAAUACUAUUUUAAAAAAACUCUUUAGUUUUUACUGUUUGACAUUCAUCGUUUUCAAAUUAUUUGCUACAGUCUUUUCAAACGAUGAAUGUAAAACCUACCUAACUCUUUAGUGAUACUCUUUAGUUUGAUAGUACGUGUUUAUGUUGACAUUCAAAUUAUUUGCUAUAGGAUUUUGAUAGUACGUGUUUAUGUUGACAUUCAAAUGAUUUGACAUUACUUUUUAGUUUAUGUUUAUUAGUUGCCUUUUUAAAAACUAUUAUUCAUCUUCAUUGUUUUGGUGAAUCAAGUUAUUAAUUAAUUUAGGAGUAUCACUCACAUGUAAAACCUACCUAACUCUAACUUUUAGAUUGAGUUUUUUUUUUUAAGAAAAAAAGUCUUCUACUUUCUUAACCAUUUAAAUAACUAUAUUAUAAUAACAUUCUUCCUUAUUAAUAUAUUUUUCACAUGCACUCUCAAAAUUUUAAUUUAUUAAAUAUUUUAUGACUUUUAUCAAAUAAGAACAUUGUUGAAUUGGUACAUUCCUUGUAUUAUAAAGGUAGAUUUUUAAAAAUAUCAAAAUAAAUUAAAAUACAAAAUUUUGGAUUCUAUCACUUUAGUAUCAAUAACUAUUAGUAAUAGAAUUUGUUAUAGGUUGUAAAUAUUUUAUAAAAUCUACCAUUUUUUUAAAUUCUUCUAUUUUAAAUGUAAAAUGAGAGAUUUGAUUCCUCCUUUCAUUUUUCAAUUUACAAAUUUUGUAAGAAAAUAUAGAUAAAAUAAAAUUAGUUGUAUAUAUUAAUUCAAUAUUAAUUUAUUUAACACUUUAACUAGUUUUCUCGAACAUCACAGAAUAUAGAAAUAUAAAAAACAGAAAACUUUUAGGAUAAUACAUAAUUGAAACUAUUUACUAAGUAUAACUAAAAAUUUACAAUGGCUAUAGAAAAAUUGAUAGAAUUUGCUAUGUUUUGUAAAUAGUUUCAAUAUUUUAUAUAUUUGAAAAUGCUCCAUAAAAAAUAUCAUAACAAUUGAUUUUUUUUAAAAAUAAAAACGAUUAGUAUUUUCAAAAAGAGUUUUAAAAAAUAAUAAUAAUAAUACAAACCAUUUACCCUUCAUAGAAAAAGAAAAACCACGGUAAAAACAAAGAGUUGAGUUGAGUUAAUAAUAAUCAUAGGAAGUUAUUAAGGAAGUAACGUUGAUGCCAAUAACCAAGUAGUAAACCUAUUCAAUUAUUGGUGAAUCAAACAUGAAAUUAUUCUUUUUUAUCCACUCAACGUAACUCUCCUAAAUUACACUUCAUUUUUGCGCUAAAUAUUUUUUUUUAUCCAUGUGGCUAUUUUUGACGAUUUUGCUAUUUUUUAAUUUAUUAAAAGUGAUGUUAAAGUUUCAAAAGUUUCAAUCAUAAUUCUAAAUUUUGAAAGAAUAUUAUUAUGCUUAUUUCUAUGUAACAUCUUGUAAAAACCUUUGGUAAAUAUAUUCUGGGUGUGACGUAAUUUCUUUUUUUUUUUUUUCUUUUUGAGGAAAAGUAGGGAUUAAAUUUUAUUUCCAUUUAGUAGGCAACAUUUGAUUGAAAUGGUUUUAAAAAUGGUGUUAGGAAUCACUCUACACAAACAAAAAGCUAAUUUUGGGAAUGCUUUUAUUUUAAUGCCAUUAUGUGGUCAUUUUUAAAGCAAAGUUUAAUAUUUUAAUAUUUGGUCUUCUUUCCUUUCCUCUCCACAUCCAUCACUUUUCUUCUCUAUUCUUCUUCUGUGGUUGAAGCCAUUGCUCUCUCUACUUUCUUCCUCCACAAAUCUUCUCUUUAUGCCCUCUCUUUGUUUAGUCUUUACUUAACCCACAACCAAUUUUGAAAAAUGGAACUAUUUGAAAGUGACUAAAGCUUUACAGAAUUUGACCCCUAAAUCAUUGCCUUCAGUUUUAUGAAACACAAAUAAUACAAUGACAUGAUAUAUAUUUCUCUCAAAUAAAACAAUCCAUAAGUAUACAGAAUGGCUUUUCAUGGAUUAUUACUUUCAAAAAGAAGCAAAUAUACUAUGAAUUAUGGAAGAUAAUGAGCUAUAUAUAUAUAUAUAUCGAGCUAGAAUAAGCCAAACAAAAGAAGAAACAAGAAAAGAAAGCACAAGAUCGAGUAAAAAGGUAAGAACAUUUGACGACUUGUUGAUGAACCUCUUCUCAUUUAGCAACAUCGGGUGACAUAUCGACAAAAUUUCGUCGAGAUACUUGAUUGGUCAAAUUAAAUAUAUCAAGAAGCGUGGUGUUGUUACAUUUAGGACAUUUAAGAUCAAACUUAGAUGACAUGAUGUACAUGAGGCAUUGAGUGCACCCUAAUAACACCAUGUCCACUCUUGAGGAAUCUUCUGUUGUUGAACUAGAUAUUGAUAAGGAUAGAUCUUGUGAUAUCGAUUCUGAUUUUGAAUGGCUGAAGCUUCGACCCAUAGUUUAGAGGUGUUGAAUGAAAUGAAGCAGAGAGGAAAGAUGAAAUGAAAUGAAGAAGGAAGAGGAAGGAAAUCAAAUGCUAUAUAUUUAUGAUGUGGUAAGAUAUUAUAUAUUAACAAAAGUGGGAAGAGAAAAGUCGGGGAGAGGUGGAGUAAACAAUUAGGAGGGUCUAAACGAUCAUUUAAUAUAAAGUUUGAAGUUUGACAAUUAGGUUUCGGGGGUAGGAAUAUCCAACUUGGUUUUGAAAAUCAUGUCAUUAACUCAUCUGAUAUGGAUACAUUUGACUUCUAAUCUCUAAGUUUAUGGCAUAUUGACUAGUCAAAUUCAUAAGUUUGUGACAAUGACUUGCUAACCCAAAUGUAUCCAACUUCAGUCACCUACCACCAAUCAUAAGAAGAAUAAAAUCCAACUCUUAAUUGCUUUAUCUGGUCUGUACUAUAUAUCCCAUCAACUUUCUCAAACUAAUCUUCAUCUCAAUAUUUACUAACUUGCUAACAUUUCUAAAUCUACUCCACACAAAAUUAAAAUUUUAAAGUUUUAUUAUGGGACUUUAAAUUAAAAAUUACAUACCAUACAUGAAUUACAUUUAAACAUUUUAGAAUUAUCAUCAACUUAUUAUUGGCUAAAUUAUAAAAAGGUCCAUAACCGAUAACGUGGUUUGGAUAAAAAAUAGGAAAAUUGCAAUUGAUAACCAUUUUAACAAUAAUAAUUAAGGAUAUAACAAAAUUUUAAAAAAUUGUAAAUAUAGCAAAACUAUCACUGAUAGACUUGUAUCGCUGAUAGAUUUCAUAUGGUUUAUCAGUGAUGGACUAAUAUUUACAACAUAGUCUAUCAGUGAUAGACUUAUAUUAUGGAUAAAAUUUGAUAAAUUUUGCUAUAUCUGCAAAUUUUUUUUAAAUUUUGUUAUAUACUCAAUUAUUUUGAUUCUAAUUGCUAAAUUUACAAUUAUCCCUAAAAAAUACCCCUCAACUUUAAUAUAUUUAAAAAAUGUCAUUAAACUUUCAAAAUGGGUUCAAAAAUGUCUUUUAUGGUUAGUUUUGGAUGGAAACUAUUGAAAAUUUUCUUAAGUAUUAUUGAGCUUAAAAAAGUUUUUUUUUUUUUAAAAAUAUGAUAUAAAUUAUAUAAAAACUAAAAUUUUAAGUUAAAACAAAAUUUUUUAUUUUCUUUUAUAUUUCUAUUGAUAUUUUUACAUAUGUAUGGAUUCAAUAUCGACAAAGGAAUAAAAAUAAAUAGACACUAUUUAUAAAUACAAUAUAAGUAAUAGAAAUGUUUACUUAUUGGAAACUAAUUAAAUAUUUAAAUUUAUUUUUUAAAUUUUAUUUAUAAUUUUUUCUAGAAGUGUCCAUACAAAGAAUUUUAAUCCAUCCUAUCGAUAUAUUAAACAUUGGUUAAAACAUAAAAUUCUACCAAUUCUCGUAAAGUUCUAAAAUAAAAUUUUCUUCUUUAACACAUAUUAAACCAAUAAUUAGUUAAAUAAAAAAGAAAUUUGACACUAAUAUAUCUAUUAGACUAUCACUGUUUGUUAAUAGUCAAAUACAUUUUUUACCGUAUAUGUUAAUUACAAAAAAAAAAAAAAAAAACUUUUGAGAUCGACUGUGUUAGGUGAUCAAUCAUGAUGUGCUAAUAGUAAAAUAAACUUAAAACAUAUAGUUUUAACUUGAAAUUUUGGUUGAUGAGAAAAUUAGUUUAAAAUCUGAAUCAAUAGAAGUAUUUUUUAAAACUUUUUUUUAGGUUCAAGGACGUUUAUGAAACUUUUUAAUAGUUCAACGGUAUUUAUCAAACAAAAUGUUAACGAUUUCUAUCUAGAACUAAUUAUAAGUGUAAAUUUAAAACCCUUUUAAAAAGUUUAAAGGACAUUUUUGAAACGUUUGAAAGUUUAUUGGUUCUUUUUACACAAAAGCUAUUUUUUGCAAUUAGAUACAAAAUUGGUAGAAGAUGUGUGAGAGAAAUUUAAAUUAAUAUUGUUCAUUUUUUCAAAAAAAAAUUAGAGAAAUAUGGUACUUUGCAAAAUAUGUACAGAAAAGUGGUACUUUUCCUAUGUGUAUAUCUCUCUUAUAAUUAUUCACUUCUAAGUCGGUUGCCACAUCUUGAAACUCUUUACCCCUUCUAUGAAGCCAACAAACAUACAUUUAAUAGCUAUUGCCUUUAAUUUCCCUUGAUUUUGAUGGACAUACCCUACACAUCCAAACACCUUGAGAUCAUUUAGAUUUGAAGAGUGUUUGGGUCAUUUCUCCUCAUGUGUUAAGAACCCUAAAGAGGUAUGAAGGCUUUUGUUCAGUGUGUACAUAGCAUAGAUAGCAACUUCAGCCCAAAACUUUUCUUCUAGGACCACAUUUACUCUUUCCAUGAUUGUUCUGUUGAGUCUUUCUUACACCCCAUUUUGUUGAGGUGUGUAUCUCACUAUUUUAUGUCUUGUGAUGCCAUUUUUCCUACAGAAAAUAUUGAAUACCUCUCCACAAAACUCCAAAACAUUGUCAGUUCUUAGGUACUUAAUUUCAUUAUUAGUUUGUUUUUCUAUCAAUAAUUUCCAUUCUUUAAUUUUUUCAAAAACUUGAUCUUUUGUUUUUAGAAAAUAAAUCCAGAUUUUUCUCGAAAAGUCAUUAGUAAAGGAUAAGAUGUACCUUGAGCCACUUAAGCUUGGACUUGAGGCUGGACCCCAUAGAUCGAAGUGGAUGUAGUCUAGGAUUCCUUUAGUUAUGUGUUGUGUUUUGGUGAAGCUUUGUUUGCUUGCUUUGCCUAGUACAUAAUGUUCAUAGAAAGACAACUUACUAAUUAUUUCUUGAGAUAGAAUGCCUUGUUUGGAUAUAGCCUCUAGCCCCUUUUUGGCUAAUGUGAGAUAGUUUUUUAUGCCAAAGGUCACUCUUAGUUACAUUUACAGCAAAACCAACAACAUUAGCUUCUUUUAACAUUUCAACUCCUUUAAUUAUAAAAAGAUCGUUCACCUUUUCUCCAACUAAUACUACUCUAGAGUCCAUAAAAACUUGAAAAACUUCUCCUUUUCCCUUGAAUUCACACCCUAAAGAGUCUAACAUUUCUAGGAAAAAUUAUUUCUUUAAGAAAAAACAAUCUUGGAUUAAAUGCCCCUUCUUAUUACAAUACUUACAUUUCUUUUUCUAUUUUGCUUUCUUUUCCUCAUUUGAAAAAGAUUUGUUGUUGUUUUUCCACUGAUUAGUUUGAGAUUUGCCUUUGACAAAUAAAUUUUCUCCAUUGUGAUGCUCUUUUUAUGAUGACUAAAUUUUCAAUUCUCUAGUUCUGAUGGCUGAUAUUAUAUCAUCUGUUUUGACUGAGUCUCUGUCAUAUUUAAGUGCAUUUUUUACCUCUUUGUAAGCUUCGGGUAGAGAAUUUAGGAAAACAUAGACCUCAUUUUCAUCACUGAGUUUUUCUUCGAGACUUUUAAAAUCUGAAACUAUUUUUUUGAACUCAUUUAAAUUGUCUGUCAAGGUUUUUGAAGAGUCCAUCUUGUAUGUGAAGAAUUUCUCCCUUAGGUACAUUUUAUUAGGGAGAUCUUUAGUGGCAUGUAAACUUUCUAAUUUCUUCCAAAUUUUAUAUAUUGUCUCUUCUUCUAGUAAUGCGUUAUAACAAUGUCACUGAAAUUUAGAAUUAGUGUACCAUAGACAUUUAACUCAAUUUCUUCUCUUUGUGAUGUUAUGAGUGUUGUUCGAAGUUAUGAAGGAUCUAAAAGGGCUUUAUGAGUCUUUUGCUAACCUAGCAAAACCUUGACUUUUGCCUUCCAUAAGGCAAAAUCUCUCUUUCCAUAGGGCAAAAUCUCUCUUUCCAUCGAAUUUCUCGAUUUCUACUCUUGUCGCUGUCAUUUUUUCAGGUUUGCUUUGUUUUUAAUCCUCUAAGAGAUUCAAUUUUUUAAAAGUCGACAUUCGCUCUAAUACCAAUUGUUGGGCUUUAUCUCAAGACACAGCUUGCAACACAAAGCUUGGAGGAGAAGCAGCCACUUCUCUUCUUUGAUGGCAACUGUACACAUGGACGAGAUAAGAUCUCUCUUAUCUUUUGUUGCUGCACUUUACGUAAGAAAAAAAAACAAAAGAGAGAGGAAAAAUGAAAAGGAAAUUAUUUAACCUUUUCUUUCUCUUCUUCUUCUUAGUUCUCUGUCUUGCAAACCGUAAGUUUCUUUACUGUACUUUAUGGUCUUUAAUUGAGUAGAUUACACACACCACAGAUGAAGAUGAAGGGAGAAAUAGAAAGGAGGCAACAAGAUUUACGUGGUUCGGCCAAAGAAUGCCUACAUCCAUGGGAAGGAUCUCUUCCCUUGCUGUUUUAUAAGAUGAGUACAAUCAUUUUUCUUCUUUUCUUUUCUUUUCUGUAUAUGUAAGGAAUAUGUAUGUAAAAACUAGCUAAUAUUUUGAAUACACCUUUAUAUUUAUAUUUAUAGGUGUUUACAAAGAAGAGAAAAAAAAAGUAAAAUAACAGAAAAUAAAACUAAUUUGUUGGAAUUCAAGUUCCAAUGGUCCAAGGAGAUUAUAUGUUCAAGUUAUUGCAACGUUGUUCCCUCUCCAACUAGUAAUUUUAAUGUAUUUUUUAUAUCAAUCACACAAUUGAAGGGAUUAUGCUAAUGAUAUAAUAUAAAUUCAGCUUCACCUAUAUAUUAACUUAAGCUUAUCAAUGUCAAAUCGAGCUAAGAAACGACGCCAAACUGAUAAAUAAUGCUCACCACUGAAAGAAGGAGGAAAGGGUGAGAUAAACUGUAGGAGAGGCACAAUGAAAAUAGUAACAAAAUAAUCAAGAAUAACUAUAAUUCUAUUAGUUUUCAUUGCUGUUGGCAACUACGUUAACAGAUACUUUUUAAGGAACAUGGAAAAAGAAAAAGAAGUACAAAUAAAGGGGACUUUGAGAGAUCUCAAAUAUCAACAUAACAGCCCUGAACGAACUGAAACUUCAUGGCGGGUCCGAAAGCAAUUCCAUUCUUUGGAUCACCAAACUUUAUAUACGCCGGGCAGUUCGCGUUUAGCCGAUAUCUGCCCGAAAUCCAGCUCCCGACUUUCCAUCUAACCUGUUGUGCAAUACGACGAUAAAGUCUACAAUAAAUAUUAAAUUACAAAGAAGAGAUGCAACUUCUUUCUUUUCUUCGAAUUUCUCUUCUUAUGUUAACUUGACGAAAGUUCAACUUUAUGUCAUCUGACCAGGUUAGAAAGAUUUAAAUCCUCCCAUAAGUAUUUGGAACGCCAAUUUUAAUAAUUUGAAUUGACUCAAAAAAUACAACAAUAGGAUACGAAGGAUUCAAACCUUCCAUUACCAGGAUUAAAAGCCUAAGUGCUUUAUGCUUUAAAAUAACAAAAUAUGUGUAUAGAAUUAAAAUUUAAAAUGAGAAGUUAAGCUAUGAAAAAGGUAUGUAAAGAAAGAUAAAGAACUUGUGAGUCAGAGAGUUGAAAAUAAACAAACCUGUCCAUUGACCUUAAUAUUGAACAGCAUGGCUCCAACAUUGUUAUCUUCAUUCAAAGCUUCAGCAAAUUCCGGUGCCACCGGCACAGCUUCGCCAUACAAAAACGGCGACCAAACAGUAACAUCAUUGUGGCCCUGGUAAGUAGGCGGCAAGAGCGUCGGGAGAGUGACUUGCUGGCCGCGGUACGCGGCGUAGACAUCCAUGACCUGAUAGUAAACACCAAUGCGGUUGUUGGGGUUGUGGAGGAGAUGGUGAUUUGCAUGGUUGUCGAGAUUGCGGCUGGUGGCACUGACGAGACAUUAAGGCCAAGAAGGGUGACGUCUUGGAGGAUGAGACGGGGCUUCGACGGUCGGAGGAUGGCCCAGAUGAGGAAGAUGACUAGGCCAAUUAGAAGCACCACGGUGAAGAUGACACAGGCUAUUCGCCGGUAGAGACGGCGGCGCUCGCAGUCGUGAUGGUGGUGGUGGUCGCAAUCCUUUACCGUCAUUGUUGCUAGAGAUAGAAGAGAAAGAGAGAGAGGGUUGAAUGGAUGGAGAUGUGUGUAAAGUCAAGAGUUUGAAAAACAUAUAUUUCUUUUGGGUCUAUAGUUUUUUUCCUUCUUUGGUUUCACAAACAAGCUUAGAUAGAUUUAUACAAGGUGAGAAUGGAAGUACAAGAUUCAAUUAUUGGAUGAUUAUAUUUUGGAAAUCACGUAAUGUAUAAUUAUUAUAUUAAAGUGAUCACAUUUUCAAAAAUGAAAAUCACUCUUAAUUUCCGUCCUUCAAUCUCCUAAAAAGUGAAAAGAAAAAACUCUUCAGUAUAUAUAUAUAUAUAUAUAGUUGGUUUAUUAUUGACAAAAUAAUCAUAUGAUAUAUUAUUACACGUGUAUAUCAAUAUAGUAUAUGCAUGCAUGUAUGCAUAUAUAAUCUACAGUAAUUGACCUUAUACCUGCAACAUACAAAAUCCAAAACAUAUAUACGGACUUCCAAUUCUAAAUCAAUAUCCCUAAUAGUUUUUCCCAUUUGAGAUGUUUUAGGUCGGGGAGUAUACCAAUCUCUAACCACUUUGGUUGAGUUUAAAAAAUGUGUUUUAUGCCAAAAAUUGAUCCUAUCUAAAUAUAUUAGAGAUUGUUUGGACUCCUAGCUUUAAGUAAAUAGAGUGAAGAUAUGACAAUCAACUUCAAUAUAUAUGUUUGAGCCUUCAUUGGUGUUUCUACCUCCUAUUAUAACCUAAAAUUAAUUACAACUAUGUCAAGUCUUUUUUAUACAACUUUUCAAAUUCCUACUCAUCCUACUGAUCUCUCCAUACAUAAUACACUUUUUACUAUAUUUUUACUUAGACUAAUCAAUAAAAUGUCCCAAGUGCGUGGCGCCUCAUAACAUAUAUACACUUAAAGUUGGUACAAUUUAGUAAUUGCCCAAUAGGAACAAUAUAUAGUAUCCUUGGUACACAUUUCCUUCAUACCUCCAAUAGAGUGAAGAAAUUGAAUCUCAAUUGAUGAGACACUGAAUUUGAAUAGAACAAAUUAAAUUGGGAUAACUUGAAAAUGGAGUCAUUGAUUUUGAAAUCAUGGACAAUAACAAUGAUAAGUGUUAGGAAGCUUAAAGAGCAAUAUAUGUGUGUAUUUGAGAAGGGUGGUUAUGAAUGAGUAGGUGAAUAUUGUUGGUUGAGAGAAAGAAAAGAGUUGGUUCAUUUCCUUGCUUUGAAGGGAAAAAAAGGAAAUCUCUUUUGUCCAAAAAUGAGUGAUGAAAUCAUGUCGGUUGCAAAAGAGGAAUUAUAUUAAUAUAAUAACAUUAAUCUCCAACCUCCCUUUUCCUUUCUAACUUCUAAAGUUCUCAUAUGACUUCACUUACAAACCUAACCAUUCAUAUGGAUUCCCAUCUUUCCUUUUCCACUUUUAUUUGUCUAUUAAAUACAAUUAAUCUUUUAGAGUAUUUAGGACUAAGAGUUGCUUAUCAUAAUAGUAAGUUAUUAGAGUUUAGUUUAUAUAGUUUGUAUUUCACACGUAUAUUAUUUUAGUUUGAAUUAUUAAUUAUUUUUAUUUGAUGAUAGCAAAUAGUAAACACUACACCAAAGAGUAAAAAAAAUAGCCAACGUAAAAUAACAAAAACGAUAACAAAUAUAGUAAAUAUAAUAAUAAAAUAAUGUUGACUAUAGCUAAUUGGAAAAUGUAUAAAAUAGAACAUACUAUAACAAUAAGUGGUUAUAUUUAUAUGGCCUACGAAGAAAUGACCCAAUUUAGAACGAUGUCAAAGGUCUCGAAAUUUCACGUCUAAUUACUGGGUGGCCUCAUUUUGAGUGAUAUUCAAGUUUUUUGCCCAUAAAAGCUGAAAAAAAUAUGCCCGAGAGUCAGUUUUUAUUUUUAUCCCAAAAUGUUGAAAAAAUGGUCAAUGUUAUAGCCUACGAAGAAAUGACCCAAUUUAGAACGAUGUCAAAGCUAACUACUGGGUGAUCUCAUUUUGAGUGAUAUUCAAGUUUUUUGCCCAUAAAGGCCGAAAAAAAUAUGCCCAUAGCCUACGAAGAAAGGACCCAAUUUAGAACAAUGUCAAAUGUCUCAAAAAUUCAUGUCUAACCAUUGGGUGGCCUCAUUUCGAGUGAUAUGCAAGUUUUUUUGCCAAUAAAGGUCGAAAAAAAUAUACCCAAGAGUCCGUUUUUAUUUUCGCCCUAAAACGUUGAAAAAUGGGGCAGUGCUAUAGCUUACAAAGAAAUGACAAAAUUUAGAACGAUGUCAAAGGUUUUCAAAAUUCACGUCUAACUACUGGAUGACCUCGUUUCGAGUGACAUUAGAGCUCUUUGCCCACAAAAACAAAAAAAAAUAUGUAUGAGGGUCCGUUAUUAUUUUCUUCCCAAAACGUUGAAAAAAGGGUCAAUGUUAUGACCUACGAAGAAAAGACCAAUUUAGAACGAAAUCGAAGGUCUCAAAAAUUCACAUCUAACUACUGGGUAGCCUCGUUUCGAGUGACAUUAGAGCUUUUUGUCCACAAAAGCGGAAACAAAUAUGCUCGAGGGUCAGUUAUUAUUUUCGUCUCAAAACAUUGAAAAAUGGCCAAUGCUAUGGCCUACGAAGAGAUUACCCAAUUUAGAACGACGUGGAAGGUCUUGAAAAUUCACAGCUAACUACUGGGUGGCCCCAUUUCGAGUGAUAUUUGAGCUUUUUGCCCAUAAAGAUUGAAAAAAAUAUGUUCGAGAGUCAGUUACUAUUUUCUUCCCAAAACGUUGAAAAAAAGGCCAAUGUUAUGGCUUACGAAGAAAUGACCCAAUUUAGAAUGACGUCGAAGGUCUCAAACAUUCACAUCUAACUAUUGGAUGGCCUCGUUCCGAGUGACAUUAGAGCUUUUUGUCCACAAAAACCGAAACAAAUAUGCCCGAAGGUCACUUAUUAUUUUCGUCCCAAAACAUUGAAAAAUGACCAAUGCUAUGACCUACGAAGAAAUGACCCAAUUUAGAACGACAUGGAAGGUUUUGAAAAUUCAGAGCUAACUACUGGGUGGCCUUGUUUCGAGUGACAUUAGAGCUUUUUGCCCCAAAAAGCUCAAAAAAAUAUGCCCGAUGGUCAGUUAUUAUUUUCGUCCCAAAACGUUGAAAAAUGGGCCAAUGCUACGGCCUACGAAGAAAUGACCCAAUUUAGAACGAUGUCAAAGGUCUCGAAAAUUCACAUCUAACUACUGAGUGGACUCGUUUCGAGUGACAUUAGAGUUUUUUGCCCACAAAAGCCGAAAAAAUAUGUCUGAGAGUCAGUUUUUAUUUUCGUCCCAAAACAUUGAAAAAAUAGCCAAUGUUAUGGCCUACGAAGAAAUGACCCAAUUUAGAACGAGAAAGUGUAAACUCGAUUUUAAGAGAGGAUAGAAACUUGCCGGAUUCAAGUUUCCUGGAUGGAAUUAGAGAGUUUUGCAAAAGUGGUUUCAUUAUGCAAGUUUGUCAAUGAAAAUAACUUUAACCUCUUGUGCUGAAAGUAUAUUAUGCAAGCAACAUGAAGAACCAAGAAGUUUCUUGGUAAGGAGUUCUUUUAUUAUUUUUAUUUAGAUAUAUCAUAUCGAUAGAAGAAAGAAAGGAAGUGAUAGAUGUUUGUCUCUGUCUAUUAGUGAUAGAAGUAUGUCUCUGUCUAUCAAUGAUAGAAGUUUGUCCCUAUCUAUCAAUGAUAGAAGUCUAUCAUUGUCUAUCAGUAAUAUACUGUGAUAGAAUUAUGAAUGUUUAUUUGUAAAUGUUGAUUUUUUUGUCUAUUUUCAUCUUGUAGGUUCAUCCUAUCAACAAUAAUGUUGAAUACAAUGUAAUGGCCAAUGAGAAACAAUUUAUAGUGAAGUUGAACUUGGGGUCUUGUAGCUGUCGAGUAUGGGAUUUUCAUGAGAUUCAUUGUUCUCAUUCUCUUGUUGUUCUUCGGAUGCUUAACCUAGAUACUUAUUCUUAUGUGUUUGAUUAUUAUCAUUUACAAACAUUAUUGUCAACAUAUUUAGGUUGUGUGUGACCAGUUGGAGUUUCAUUCAAAUUGGAGGGUUGUAAAUAACGACGUUAGACCUUUACCUCCUAUUUUUAAUUGUCCUGCUGGAAGACCUAAAAGAAAUUAAGAAUCCCAUUAAUCAGUGAGGUUAAUUGUAGCUCAACAUGAUGUAGUAAUUGCCAUGGCAAGGGUCAUAAUUCUAGGACUUGGAAACUUGGUCAAAUUAAUCAAUGAUGUAAUCAUUAUAGUGGCAUUUUUAUGUUGUAUUGGCAAAUGGAUUUAUAUUGGAAUUUAUGAGUGUUAUUUUUUCAAAUUCUUUAUAUCAAUAAAAAUUGCCUAUGUCUUUGUUUGUAUUCAUCUUUGAAUUGAAACAUGUGGUGUGUAAACUCAUUGGAACUCUCUAUAUAUUUUUUCGAGUUAAAUCCUAUAAAAUUAAAUCGAUACAACAUUGGUACCAGUUUCUUUCAUUGAUAAAAAUUUAUAUUUUUUUUUAUCAGUGUCUAUCACUAAUAGAAAAUGAUGAUAGAUCAGCUUCUAUUUAUCAAUUCUUCUAUUUUUAAUUAAGAAGGGGGCUAAUACAGUAAAAAAUUCUUUUUAAUGGCAGCUUCUAAUCCUCUCACUGACCUCUCUUUUCAAGCUAUGUCAACCUCCGUCUUUCUUUUUAGGUCAAGAAAAGUCAACCUCCGUCUCUCUUUUCAAGUCAAGUCAAUAUAUAGAAACUUUGAUACAAAUAGAUAUUAGUUUGUAUAAUUGAUAAAAUUGAUAGAAAGAUAUCAAUUUCCAUCACCCGUAGAAAGAUAUCAAUUUCCUUCAAAAGGUAGCAUAUUAUAAAAAUUGCCAUUAUACAAGAACACUCAUAUUCAUUGCAUACAAGAAUGUAGCAUAAACAAAAUUUACAAGUAUAAAAGAGUUUCAAAAUACAUUAUUCACAAAAAUAUUCAUUGUAAAGGAUCGGUUUGCGAUGGAGACGUCGGUCCUAAACUGAAGCUUCAGGCAAAUUUCAUUUACGAUGAUGUUGUUGUUGUUUUUUGGAGUUUGCCUUGUUUGCAUCUUUUUUCGAGAGGUCAUCUUCAUUGCUUUUGUUUGUAUAUAUAAAACUAAAAUCUAAACCAUUUACAAUCUUGUUGAAUCGCAUCGCACGCCUGGUUGCCCACUUGAAGCCGCUCACCUCUUAGUCACCCGUCUUUCAUUCAUCGAUUUAGCCGGUCAAAAUUCCUUCAAUCACCCAGUCACGCACACCCUUCACACAAUCACCAGACCCCUUUGUUGAAAUUCCUUCAAUCUUCUUUAGUUUAAGUUGUUGAGAGGGUAUCCUUAAACGGAAGAGCCUAAAGAAGCUACCAAAAGAAGAAGAGCUCUCCCUAAAAAGGUAGGAAAGUUUUUCAACUAUUUUCUCCCCAUUUAUUUGACAUUAUUAUUUGCCCUCAAAACCCCUUCCUCACUUUCUUUAUCUCUUGUGGUUUUUCUGGUUUUGUUUUUGCAAAGUUAAAUUUUGAGCUUUAAAAAAUUUAGGGUCUUAGAUUGUUAUGUAUUUUUUUCUUAUAUAUGGAGUCGGAUCUAGCUAGCUGGUAUUGAUUGCUUUGGGGUAUGUGUUUGGAAUAUGGGAGAGUGUGAGUGUUUAGUUUCAGAGUUGGAAAAUGAAGAGUUCUAUUUACACUCUGGUUUUUCUCCAUCCGAGAUUCCAAAGUUGGAGAAGUUAGGAUACUAUAUUUAACUACUAAAUCUUCAAGUAGGUUUUUUCUCACUUUCCAUCCGAGUGUUUAGCCAUUUUCACAAAUCUUGUUACCAUAAAAUUUUGUAUGAUUAACCGUACACUCAAUACUUUGACACAUUAAGGGCCUAUUUGGAUUCAAGAAAACUUUUUUUUGUUUCUACUUAAACAUUUUUUCUUAUAAAAUUGUUUAAAACACAUCUCAAAAUCUAUUUUUAAUGUUUACCAACUCUAAUCUUUCUUUUCAAGAUAACUUAUUUAAUAAAAUACAAAAAAUUUGACUCCAAAAUAAAAUUCACCAAAAACAACUAAAGAACCUUUAGAUUAUUAAUUAAAAGAAGUUCUUGAAUAAAAAAGAACAGAUAUAUAGUACACAAAAACAAAAAGACUCGCGAAAUUCCUCUCAGUGUAGAUGGCAUUGCCUUGAGCCACCAACCAACUGGCCGGACCGGCCACUGAGACCAGGCGGCCACGAGAAUUUAACUGACAAAUCACUGCAAACAACCCGAAUAUCGGUACCUAUCGGCCGCCACACGCCGAUCUCGACGUUGGCAUAGCCAAGAACUACGACGGUGAAAUCAAUUGUUCCACGCUCCAAGUCUCCAUGAAUGUCGUUCAGAACCGACUCGUCGACAAGCAAGUCAGCAAUGAAGGGGCUGACGAGGGUGGUGGAGUUCCUUGGGGGGAGGAGGAAGCGACGAGUUCGAGCCUGAGCAAUAAUAUUGUCUUUGUAGUAAAUUGAGGACUCAAGGUUUCGGAAUGAGAUGGCGAGCUUCUUGUUAGGAUUUGUUGAUGGAAAAUCCGACGACCCAUGAGGGAGCGGCGGCGGUGGCAGAGAAAUUAACGAAUUGAAGUGAGUCGAGUCGUAGGGCGAGGAGGAUGGGUCGGAAGAUUAAAUAUUGGAGAAUGUAGAUGAUGCAAACUAUGAAAAGAAGGAGGGUUAUGCCGGCGGCGAAGCCUCGGAUGAAGGGUGAGAAAUUGAAGCAAUGAGGAUGGGUUUGGGUUUCAGGAUGAGGCGGGGGCCAUCUGCCGUUGGUGGAGUUAGCCAUGCACGAUCUGUUGAGGGGAGAACCCACAGUUUAUCUAUGACACUCGAACACUUUAUACCCUAACGUUUGUUUAUUCUUUUCCUUUUUUUAUUUUUAGAAAACUCUUUUUGAUGGGUGCCAAUGAUUUUUUUGAAGAAUUGUAAAUAUAUAUUUGAUAUGGUAUAUAUGGAUUAAUUAUAUAGCACAUGUGUAGUAUAUUUGUUUAUUGAUAUAACUUUAUUUACAAGAGAAAUGAAAUCAUAGCAGUGAUGUAUCAUUCAAUAUAUUCAUGCACGCUAAUUCAUCACCAUCCAUUUCAUAAGGUUUAUAUGAUAUUUCCAUAGUUUAUAUAUAAGAGAGAAGAUUAUAUCUAACUCUAUAUUUAUCAUAGGUUUAUUAUAGUACUUAAAUGUUGCUAAUAUUUGUUUGUCACGUGGCAAAAAAACAAUAGGGUCAAUAGUAACAAUCAACUUGUAACAUUAGUGUACAUUUUGUCUAGUUUAAUGCAAUUGUAGCAAUUUAAUAGCAAUGUUUAAAAAAGGUCAUUGCAAUUAAGGGUUCAAAUUAAAACUUAGGAAGUUGUGAGAAUCUAACUUAAUAUUUUCACAUUUUAAUAAGGAUUGUUUUUACGUACCAUUUCCUCUCUCGACAUGGGAUGCUCAUUUUAGCCUAAUGUUUUCUCUAAAUCCUUGUCCCUAUUUUGUAACAAACACUCAUGAUUUCUAAAUUAGGAUUUCAGUGAUUUUUUAUUUGGGGCAUUCUACAAUGUAUCGGGCAGCUGAUAAAAACUGAUAAUUUAUAAAUGUUGAUUAUGUUUUAAAAUUGGGAUAGAGAAAUUGGAAGAAGGUAUCAGAGGCCUCUAUAAUCUUAAACCUUGAUUUCUCAUAUCAACUAAUCUAAUCAAACAAAAGAAGACAAAGAGUAGUACUUUCAACUCAAAUCUAAAAAACAUGAAUUCAUUGUUGAAUAUGGAUGCCUUUUGAAUUCGUAUUUGUCAUCCCUUCCAACUGCUUUUAAGGAGCACCAUAGCUACCAUCCAUCGCAACCACUUACCAAAGUCGCAGUCACCAUCAGUUGUUGAAGUUUUAACAUCGAAGCCUUUUCACUAAGGAGAAAGAAUCGUGUGCAUAUAUUGGAAAUUUUAGGUUUUUUUUUAACUAGAGAGCAUUUUGAACUUUUAUUAUGUUCCGACUCAAAAAUCAUUAUUUUGAAGAAAUCGUUCCCAAAUCUCUUUACCUUCCUAAGUAGAAAAGAACUUAGCUAAAAUGUUUCCAAUCUCAACCCUACAAAAGUAUUCGAAAUUUCUUUUAGAAAUAGCACACUCGUAGUUUUACAUUUCAAAACUAGAACACUUUUAAAAAAAUUCGUAGAUAUGUUUUUCUCGAUCAAUUUCGACCGACCUCAACACCGAGAUUCUUCACGAAUUUUUAAAAAUUGUUUCAAAGUAAUUUCUCAUUCAUCUCGACCGAGAUUGUCAACGAGAUUGUGUUUUUUGUUUUUAAAUUUCAAAAUAAAGUAUAUUCUAAAAUGAACAAAAUGCCCUUGUAAUUAAGUCCGAACGUUGGAUAUUCUCAAAACCCUCAGUCUUGCGCUCAUUUUAGUCAAGACUAAAUAAGUAAUUUGCUUCCACAAUCGAAGAAAUUUCUCUAAUUUUUGCUCCCGAAAUUUCAAGAAGUUAUCCUUAAACUUAAACUUGUGAAGGUGAAUUUUAUACUUUGAACGAUUCCAUAAUUUAGGGUUGGAUUUUAGUUUAUGUUAUAGUGUUUUGUGUGAAAUCUGAGGCGAAUGGGAAAAUAUAUAGUUGGUUUUCUAUUAUAGUUGAAUGUAGAACUAUAUUUUACGUUAGUGCAUGUAGUUUCCUUCGAUGAAUCACAACAAUAGGGACGAUUUUGGUCACUUAAGAAUACCCUUUAUAUUGAAAUUUAAAAACAAAAAACACACAAUCUUGGUGUCGAUCUCAGUCGAGAUGGACCAAGAAAUUGGUUGAAACAGUUUUUUAAAAUUUAUGAAAAAUUUUGAUGUUGAGAUCGGCUAAAAUUGAUUAAGAAAAUUAAAAUUAUCAAUUUUUUUUUAAAGUGAGCUGCUUUUGGAAUGUAAAAUCAAAAGUACGUAACUUCUCAAAAAUUUCCAAAAAUACUGGAUAAUACACUUAAUCAUUGGAGAAAUUUAGAGAAAUAGCAUAUUUAAAAAAUAACACACUUUUAAAAAACUCGUAUUUUUGUUUUUCUUCACCAAUCAUUGUCAAGAUCGACCACCCAGAUUUUCCUAAAGUGUUAAAAAAUUUCAACUUACUGAUUGUUUUGGAUUUUCUCGAUGCAUCUCGACAAUUAGACUGAAAUUCUACCAGUUUCAAAUCAUAUCCAAACUUUUUUUUAUUUUUUUAUUUUUUCAAAUCAAUUACUCAAACCUUCACAUAUCUUUUACCAAAUGAUCUUACUAAUUUUUGCUACUUAGCCAAUUUGUCCAACUAUUUCUUGUAAAUUACCAUUUUUCCUUUUCCUAAUUCCUUUCACUUUCUUUACUCAAUUCAAUUAUCUUAUGGAACGCCAAGAAUUUGGAAAAGAUGAAAAGAAGAAAGUAGUAGAAGAAACAAUACCUCAAUCCUUCCUUAUUCCUUUAUUUAUAAUUAAUUAAUUUAAGUUUAAAUACUAUUUAAAUCAUUUUUCUCUUAUUUACUAUUUCUAUAUAAAAAACAUAACUUAUUUUUAAGUGAUGAAUUUGGUACAAUUUCGUUAAUUUAAAAUUUUAAUUUCUUCUUUUACCCUUGAAUUACGUAACUUACUGUGAUUAUAUCGUUUGACCCACAUUUUCUUUUUGUGUAUUGGAUUUAGAAUAUGAUUUUUUAAAAAAAAAUUAAUAAUUUAAUCGCACCUAACGAUUUCAUAAAAAUGUUGAAAAUGGAUGUUGUAUUACAGAAAUUAUUGCAAAUUAUUUUAUGAAAACUAUGGUGAUUUGGUAAAUUAAAUAUAUGAAAUUUGUGUAUUGGAGUUAGAAUAUAAAUUUAUUAAAAGUAAUAAUAAUUUUUGCUCCUUCGUUCUGUUCCAUGUAAUUGACUUCAGUUUAUAACUCUCUUCCUAGAAACUAUUUUGUUCUUCGUAUACCGUUUCGUUUGAAUGAAAUUAUGGUACCAAUAUGAUUUAAAUCAAUUCGUAAAUAUAUGCAAUUUGUGUAUUGCAUUUAGAAUAUCAAUUAAAAAUAAAAAUAUAAUGUAUUCGCAAUUAACGACCCAACAUUAAAAAAGGUUGAAAAUUGACGUUAUUUUUGAAGAAAUUACUGGAAAUUGUUUUACGAAAACUAAGAUGAUUUGGUAAAUUAAAUAUAGGAGAAUUUUUAAAAAUAGUAGAUUUUACAAAAUAUUUACAACCUAUAGCAAAUUUUAUCACUGAUAGUCAUUGAUAUGCUAUAGUGAUAUAUAAAAGAUUAUUAGUGAUAAAAUCCAAAAUUUUGCUAUAGCUUGUAAAUAUUUUAAUUUAUAUUGCUAUUUUUAAAAAAUGUCCCUUAAAUAUAUAUAAUUUGUGUAUUAGAGUUAGAAUACAAAUUUAAAAUAAUAAUAAUAAUUUAUUGACAUGAAACGCUUGCAUAAAAAACGUUGAAAAUAUACAUCGUAUUUAAGAAAACUAAUGUAACUUGUUUUACGAAAAUAUGACAAUUUGGUAAAUUAAAUAUACAAAUAUUUGUGUAUUGGAUUUAGAAUACGAAUUUUUAAAAAUAAUAAUAAUAAAUAAUUUUCAUAAUGUUUCCCACGUAAUCAUUCACAAACAAAUAUUAUCAUAGCACUCGCUAUUAGAAUCAUUCUCUCAAACACAUAUUAUCAUAACACUACUAUUCAUAAUAUGUCCUUCAAACAUAUAUAUUAUCAUAACACUAUAAUUCAUAAUUCUUCCUCCCAAAUACAUAUUAUCAUAACGCUACCAAUAAUAAACCUUUCCUCAAACACAUUUAUCAUAACACUAGGAUUAUCAUAAUCCUUUUUCUCAUAACUCUUUUCCUCCCCAAACACACCCUUAAUAUUUUAGAGAAUCUAGUGGUCGAUCUAGCCGAGAUUCUCCCAACAGUUUUAAAAAAUGUGAUGCCCGUGGAAACCAAAACUUUUGCCAACUUCCCUGAACAUUGCCUGGUGGGGCCGUUUGCCAUGCAGGUCGAAAUCAAAUGCUUGAAAAUUAAAUGCAUGUGAGUUUAUUUGAUGUGUUCUGAUGCAUGAGUGUUGCAAAUGCAUGUGUUUGGAGGAUAUGAAUUAGAAACCUAGACUUUUUUAUGCCUGUUUUGGGUGUUGAUUUUGAAUUCGUGCGUUUACUUAAUUUGUUUGGUUUUUUCUUUAUUAAUUGUACGUCUUAAAUUUAUUUUGUAUCAAAUUUUUAAUUAUUUUUUUUUAUAAAUGUUUGUACCUCUAAUUAAAUUUCUUGACUCUAUUGAUUUUAAUGAAAAUAAUGUAAAAAUGAGAAAUUUUAAUAUUAGAUAACAAUAAUUCUGAUUACAGUCGCAUUAACAUGAAUGAUCUAAGUAGGAAUAUUACAAAUCAUUCACAAAAUAUAACAAAUCAUUUAAUUGGAUGAAGCUUACAAAAGUUCUAGUUAAGCAAUAUUAAAAAUGGUCUAAUAAGUUUUAAAAUAAGCAUAACCAAAAGGUCACGCAAAAGCGAAAAUCAACUAGAGUUACAUUUAGCCAUCUCCUAAAAUGAAUGAAAUAUUAAUUUUAAAUAAAGAAUAGCAAAGAGAUAAUUAAAAAAUGAUAUAAUAAUAAUAGUUAUAAAAAAACUCUAGAAGAAAAUAAAAUAAAAGAAUUAAAAAAAUGUGUAUUUUAAAAAAUACUAUUGUGAUUAAAUUAAAGACAAUAUGAAAAGACUCAUAAAAAAAGUUUUCAAAAUUUCAUUUUUAUUAAUUUUUCAAGGUUUGGAGUAGUAGCAAAAGAGGUGGUUGGGAGUUCGUCCACUGAGUUUGUCAUAAAUCACACCUAGUGGUCGAUCGACAAUGGUCGUUAGGGUGGUGUUUGGAAUUGGUUGAUGAAUUUUCUAGAUUGAAUUAGAAAGAAUAUAAUCCAUUGGCAUGAAUCGUGUUUACUAUUCAAUUCCAUGGAAAAGAGUGUAGGAAGCCUUAGUGAAGAUACUUGUUGAUCAAGAGUAAAGACGAUCAAUGGUCACCACUUUUAAGACGAUUGGUUGGUCGUCAACCAUCAUAGCAAUUAGUUGUCAAGGGUUAUGGCUAUUGAUCAUUGAGCAUCACUACAAUCACUUGUUAAUAGGCAUGAGAUCGAUAAUUAUUGAUAACAAUUGGUUGUCGUCGAUCAAGAUGUUCACCCUACAACCGUAACGUCCAACGUUGUAUGUCACAAGUAAUCAAGAUCGUUCAUCGACGAUUGAUAAACAACCGUCAAAACGAUCUAGAGCCGACGGUUAAAACUAUCGAUCGUUGUGACCAUUGAUCAAUCAUCGUGGUUGAUCGUGUGAAGUUGGCUAGCAAUUGUUGCCAUUUUUUCCAAGUAGAUGAGAUUGAAUGAUUAAAAAUAACACACACAUAUUCCAAACCCAUACCCAUGAGUCAAACACCCACACAUUGGGGCAAUAGGAUAGAAAGCACAUUGAUUUUCAUUUCAAAGUCGGCUUCUUUUCGUCAAUAUUAGUUUACAAAAGUUUACUCUUCUAAUCUGCCCUUCCACUUGUGUACUGAUUUCAAGCUUCUCCCAUGGCUGGUUCACCGUCAAUACAUGUGUUUUGGCACGAGGGGAUGCUCAAUCACGACACCGGCUAUGGGGUAUUCGACACCGGAGAAGAUCCAGGUUUUCUCGACGUCUUGGAUAAACAUCCAGAAAACUCUGACCGGAUUAAGAACAUGGUUUCCAUUCUCAAAAGAGGACCUCUCUCUCCUUUCAUCACUUGGCAUUCCGGACGACACGCACUCCUCUCUGAAUUGCAUUCUUUUCACCAUCAAGGUGAUUCUUAUUUUAAAUGCAUAUGCUCUUGAUAAUUGGGUUUUUGCUUUCCAUUUAUUUGAACUUAGUAGAUCUAGGAAAGCAAUUGAAUCCUCGAUGUCACCAGGAAAUCAAUUUAACCCUUCUUAGAUUAGGGAGUUGCAGGGACGGAUUUAUUAAGCUGCCAACAGACACUCGCCCCUUCACAUUAUCUGUUUUUGUAUUUUAAUAUAAAUUUUGAACUUUUUUUUUAAACAAAAUUUUGCUGUAAUGCAGUGGUUGUGCCCCACUCUUGCAACCAUUAAAUUUUGGGUUAACAUUUUUUUUAGCUGUGUUUAUUAUAUAGUGGCUGCGCUGAAUAAAAUUUUUGGAUCCCCACUGGGCAGUUGGGUUCUUGAAUACCGAAGAAAUUGAACAAUCUAACUUGCAUAUGCAGAUAAUUUCUACUGGGAAAUCAAGUAAAACCCAUCACUCAAUGCUGUGCUUAUAGUUUCGUUCGCUAAUUUUAACAGACUAUGUAAAUGAGCUCGUUGAAGCUGAUAAAAAUGGAGGAAAGGUUAUGUGUUGUGGAACUUUUCUGAAUCCGGGUUCUUGGGAUGUCUCACUUCUUGCUGCUGGCACUACUCUAUCAGCAAUGAAGCAUGUUCUUGAAGGGCAGGGUAAUAUUGCUUAUGCACUUGUUAGGCCUCCUGGUCACCACGCUCAGCCAACUCGAGCCGAUGGCUAUUGUUUCUUGAACAAUGCUGGUCUUGCUGUUCAUUUGGCUUUAAAUUCUGGCUGUGAGAAAGUUGCUGUUGUAGACAUUGAUGUUCACCAUGGAAAUGGAACUGCUGAAGGAUUUUACAUGUCCAACAAAGUUUUGACUAUUUCCCUUCAUAUGGAUCAUGGUUCCUGGGGUCCUUCCCAUCCUCAAAGUGGAUCCAUUGAUGAGCUCGGUGAAGGACAAGGUUAUGGAUACAAUUUGAAUAUACCUUUGCCAAAUGGAACAGGGAACCGUGGAUAUGAAUAUGCCAUGAAAACAUUAGUUGUCCCAGCAAUCCAGAAGUUCGAGCCACACAUGAUUGUUUUGGUUGUAGGCCAAGAUUCAAGUGCGGUAAGUCAGUUCAUUUGUCUACUUUCUUUCUUAAGAGGAAUGAUCAUAUUGUCAAAAAUUUUGUGAUUAUUUACAUUAAUUAUGGGUCUACUAAUCUAUAAGACACCUUGGUAUUUUUCAAAUCCUACUUCCAAAUAUAAGUCCUUAUUCUAGUUGUAGUAGAAUGUCUAAUUUGUUUCCUACUAGAGUUAGGUCCAGUCUUUUGUUAAUGAACUUCUGUAACUUUAUCUAUCAUGCUGAAUUGAAAUUUUGAACGAUUUCUAAUAGAUAUGAGACUUUGUUGGUGUUAUUUGUGGCUUCAAAUUUUGAACUCUAGGUUUGAUCUUUGCUGUAUUCUGUAUCUUUCUUCCUGUUGUUGUUUCUUGUAUUUGGCAGCUAUGGGACCUUACGUAAUGACCCUAAAGUCUCAAAUUUGAACUGUAUAUUAGUCCUAAUAUUUAAGACUAUCCUGCACCACGAAGAAAAAAGGCCCAAGUGUAUGUCUUGUUUUUCAUGCUCAGAAUAACUGAAUGAUGGAUAUGUAGAUGAAGAGUUGAUAAUUAGCUGUAGAGAUAGUGAAGUGCUUUUGGACUUGUAGAUAAUUUCAAAGUGCAAGCAGCAAGUAUGCUUGAUUUUGAAUAGGUUGUAGAGCAGAAAUGUGGCUGAAAUUGUUAGAUGGUUGUGGUAAUGUUAAUAUUUAUAGAUGUGGGUUGUGUUGUAAACUAGACUAUUGUUUUGCUUAGUUCUCUUGGUUCUUGCAUCCUUUGGUUUGAUAUCGUUAUUGUUGAUCUACUAUUGCUUCCUUGUCUCAUAACUAGACUAGAGAGAAUAUUUUAUCGAAAUGCUUAACCGCAAUCCUACUAAUGGUCAUGCUUUAUGAUGUGAAAUUGUUUGUUAAUUUGGUUUACAUUUAUUUGAUUGUUAUGAGCUUGCAUUUUUUUACUUUCAAAUUAGUUCGAUCCAAAUGGAAGGCAAUGCUUGACGAUGGAUGGCUACUGGAAGAUUGGGCAGAUAAUUUCGGAGCUGGCAAAGAAGUACAGCAGUGGAAGCUUGCUUAUAGUCCAAGAAGGAGGAUACCAUGUUACUUAUUCAGCUUAUUGUCUUCAUGCUACACUUGAAGGGAUACUCAACCUAUCGCCUCCUUUGAUAUCCGAUCCUCUAGACAGUUACCCAGAAGACGAGGCUUUUUCUGUGAAGGUCAUUGAUUUUAUUAAAAAGUAUGAAGAUGAAAAUGUACCAUUCUUAAAAGUGUAGCAUCCUUUUAAAUAUGUAUAUAUCUGUAUUGGUUGAUGAUUCUUCACUCCUAGUUGGAUAAAGCUUUCUAAAGUUUAGUUGACAUAAUCUUCGACUUGCUAGUCUCUAAUUAUCUUUAAAACUAUGGUUCAGCUUUCUCCAUGUACUAGAGCAUCAAAGUCACUUAGUUUCUACCAUAUAAGCAUAUGAGCAAAAUGUUUGUACUUGUUAAGAGAUCCAAUUCUCUCACCAGAAAAGUUGAUUGUUUUCUAUGAUUUAAAAAUGGAUGAAAAGAUAAGCAAAAUGGUUGAAGGCUCUGUUAGAUUUUUUUCAAAAUUUAUUUUAUAGUAUAAAUGGCUGAAGGUUUGAGAAAUGUUAGGUUAGAUGCCUUCUUUCCAAAGUUGCAAUACAUCGUGAGCAGGAUGAUUUAAAAUGGACCUUAGGAAUUUUCUUUGAUGAGUAAUAUUGUAAAUCUAGAAAGAGUAAAAUUGCAAGUUUGAAAAGGAAAAGGAUAUUGUUUGAAAUGCAAAGUUCAAAUAUGUUUUUCUUUUUUCAAAUAUGGAUUAUAAUAGUUAAGUUUUAACCAUUAUAAUUGGAGCUCAAACAUGGGUUGUGUUAUACCACUUAACAUGAUGUGUGCUCAACCUUAGGAGAUGUCACACAAGCCAAUAUGAGUUGGUAAAAGCUAUCAAAAGCUACCGAUUUGAUAUUUGUCCUAUCAGUUUUAAAUGUUGGUAGAGUUGAGUUGGUUAUUUUUGCGUACCCACCACAAUUCUUCCUUCUUCCUAAUGUAUUUAACGGCUCCACCUAUUUGCCACCAUCAACGAUUAAUACUACCACACUUUCAUAACCACCUUCGCACGAUCAACUCCGAUGCUUUAAUAGUAACAUGCAACGAAAAUUCUGACGACAACUUUGGGCUCUAGUAGCCACCUCCGAUGAGACCUCCAAUGACCAACUCCAAUAAAACCACCUUCAUGCAGCUAACUCCAAUGAUCAACUUCGAGCCCCAGCAACUACCUCCAAUGACAAUGUCGGCGACCAACUCUCUGACAACCAACAUAACUCAAAAGCAACUUCAAUGACCAUCUUCGUAGUCAACCCCCAACAACUAGGUCUAGCUUCGUCAACCACCUCAAACUACAAGUCGAUAGGAAAUGACUUUUAGGUUUAGGCUCAUAGCAAAGGUUAAGGAAAUGCGAGAACGCUUGUUCCACAUUGGAAAAUUUAACAACGCCUAGAGGGUAUAAAUACCAAGUCAUCUAGGAAAAUUUAACAACGACUACAGGGUAUAAAUACCAAGGCAUGCUAGAUGCGAGUUCAAAGUUUGUUGGUGGUGAUAAUAUAGUCAUGUCAUCACACACACGUCGUCAUCAUCCAACAUGUCCAAGUAGCUGCACAGGCAUGGAAUUUUUUUAACUUUUAAUCCGAUCUUCUUCUUUUAUACUGUCAUGAGUACUUUUUCUAAUUCUCUAGAUCAUUUGAAGGUUGUGUUAACGUUAGAGAACAACCAACACUGUAUGUACUUUCAGUCUAACAACAACGCCUUCACCUAACAACUUUGAUGACCAACUUCAGAAUCUGGAUGAUCAAUUAUGGUGAUGAUGAACUCUGACAACCAACUUUACCUCAUGUGAUUAACUCUGGGGAAGCCACCUUUAAUGAGAUCCUUAAUGAGAAUAUUAUGUUUUAUGCAAUUUAACUCAUACAUUCAACGACCAUGUUUAAUUAAUAUCAUUUUGUCUGAUUUUUUUCGACAAAUUAAACAUUUGAAUCUUUGUAUUUUGGUGUAUUAUUGUAAAAUAUAAAGAAUCAAAUGUUUGAAAAGAAAAGCCAUUAACCAUUAACCAUAAAAAUUGAAAUUAUAUUUCAGAAAUGGAUAAAAGAACCAUAUAAUAAUUGGUACUUUUAUUUUUCCCUUUAAUUAACAUUUAUAGUUGAAUUAAAAUUAAUUAAGGAUUUACCAAUAGAGGGUUUGGGAGCAGAGAAAAUGUUAAUUUCAUUCAAAUAUAUCAUACUUUUUUCAGGAGCACAUAAAAUUGUUGUCCAAUUUAGUGUUCAAAUUAUGUGGUGAAAAUAUGUUACAAUAUUUUAACCCAAAAAAAAAUCGUUUUCAUAAUACAUUUUCUUUUAAAGAAUGUGUUUCAAAUUUAAACACAUGAUUAUGAAAAUUUCAUAAGUGUUUAUAUACGUAAUUUUUCUCAAAAUUGGGUCGAAAUGUUGUAUUGAAUUAUUUUUAAUCUCAUUUUUUUGAAAAUGCAUUUUGACAAGUUAUCAAACCCCUCAAAUUUUUUUAAAUGGUUUUCCUUUUACAAAUUUGAACGCUUUAAAAGUUAAUCCAAACACACUUUAAGUAGUUUUGAAAAGUCUUUGCAUUAUACACGGACUUUAAGGAAAAGAAAUAUGUGUUAUGUAAUUGAUGUUAAAAUAGUUUGAAUCCAAAAUUUAGGUUUAGUGUAUCUUCAAAUAUAGGAAUCUGCUACGUUUUGAGAAUGAAAAAUGUAAGAAAAUAUGUAUAUGGAUUGAAAUUAGAAAUGAGCAGUAAAUAAAUAAAUAAUGAUGGAAGAGAAAAUAAGUUAUUUGUUUAGAAAAAGUGUAGCAUAUGGCAUAUACCCUAUGGGCAUGUCUCAACUUCAUGCCAUAGUACAUGAAGGUGUACGUGGAUGCCAAAGUUAUUUGAUCUAUAAACUAUUCCAUGCUUGGUUUUUUCUUUUUUUUUUCUUUAAAACUAGGGUGGGUAAGGUAUUGAUGUUUAUAGAAAAUGAAAGAAUGGAAAAUGUUUAAUUAAAGUUUGAAAUAAUUGAAUUUUAAUGGUGCAAACUAGAUGUGUAUUGGAAAGGGAAGUAAUUUCUAUAACUCUUUGGUUUCUUCCAAAGCUGAAGGGAGAAGGGAGAAGGGAGAAGGGAGAAGGGAGAAGGGAGAUGGAUGCUUUUCUUUUUCAAACACAGAAAGUAAAAUAAAGUGGAAUACUUAAAGUCAAACCAAUUAGUUAUAUCAUAAUCCAACGUUUACAUCUAAUAUAUAUAUAUGUCCAAUUAGUUAUAUCAUACCCGUAAAAUAUGAUUGGGUUGGGUUGUCAGGUUGUAUUGUUUUUUUUUUCCAUCCCCAACCUAACGAUUGUUUAGUUUUCUUUAACUUUGUGUACCUCUUAUGCGAUCAUUUAGCUUUCUACCUUCAAACGAUCGUUUACUUUUUACACAGUCGGCUAACUUUGUAUACAAUCGUUUAACUUCUGAUAAAUACUCCAACUUUACUUUUAUUAAAUAAAUAUGUAUAUUAACUCGAGUUGAUAUCAAAUAUUAGAUUAAUAUUUCUCGACCAAUUUGAUUGAUCAAAUUAGAAUCCUGACCUUAUUUGAAUUUAUGAUAUUUAAAUUUUAUUAAAUAUCAUUUCUCUAUUAAUGUCAUGUCAUUAAUUAUAUAGAAUAUUGUUAACGAUUUAUUCUCUAAAUCAAUUUAAACAAUUCAAAUUUCUCGAUCAUUCUAUUUUAAGUUUAAUUCUAUUACGAGCUAGUAGAGCGAUCUAAUGGACCUACAAAUUGUGAGCUCCAACGAUCCAAGAUUAACUAGUUAAACUCUUUAACCUAGCUAACCAACAUUUGUUAAAUAACAUGUUGUCCAGUAUAACUUGUGGUUGCAUUCUUGUCACACCCUACCUAGUGCACCUGCUAGCUCGUUCCGAAACGUGGCGUGAUAUCAGUUGAAUUUCGUUCGCCUCCGAAACAACACCUCAACUGACACAUGACAUGGAAACGUGAAAUAAUCAACAACGAAAGUCUUUAAACUUUGAAAUACUUCUAAAAAAAAUUGUAGUGUGACCCAUUUGAAAUUCCUUUUACGAAAACCAAGUGAAAAAUAUAUCAAACAUAGAAGUAUAAACUCUUAAAUAAAUACAAUAAUGCUUUAAAAUAAAACAAUUCCUUUUAUGGUUUAAAACUAAGUUGGCCUGGCAGCAAUAAGUUCAGCACACGGAAACCCACAAUCUGUACCUGGGAAAGAGGAAUUUUUUUUUUGAAAUGGUAAGUCGAAAGACUUAAUGAGCAACUGUUUUAGAAAACAAAUUUUCAUAAACAUUUUAAUAUAAAACCAAAACUUAAAUACUUUUAUAAAUGAAAAUAUUGAAAUAUUUUCUACUUUCAAAGACAGUCCUCCAUAACCACAAGCAAUAUUUACCCCUUCGUCCGAAGACGGAACAGUCGAUGAGAAGUUAUCCCCCUUCUUUAAGGUAUAAGUAUAUACCCUUUCUGAUGGCCCAUAGUUAAAAAUAGGUUUGUCAACCGUACCAUCAGUAUGGAGUUAACCACAUGUAUACAAUAGGUCUCAUGUUAUAUUCGGACAUGGAUAAAAACAUUUGAAAACAUUGAAAUAUUUCCUUGAAAGUAUUUGAAAUAUUUUCUUGAUCAUAAAAUCAUUCCAACAUGGUAUCGCUUAAAAAUAGUGCAUAAACAUUCAUCAUAAAUCAUGACUUGAAAUAAUAGUUUGGAAAUCAUGUUCAUAAAUUAUUUAAAACAUUUUGUUACUCACAAGCUAUUGUUUGUAAAACAUGAAAUCAUGUUUAAUAAAUAAUGUUUGAAACAUGAUAUUGCUCACAAUAUUUGUACAGAUACUUGGCCAAAAAUUCCUCCUAUUCCUCUUUGUCCUGAAAAAUUCAUAUUUUAUCCUUAAUUAAUUCCUUGAACAUAAAAAUAUCUAAAAUUUCCCUUAAAUUUUUCAAAAAUUUCAAGACAAUCCAAAACAACUCAAAAACAGCUAAAUGAUACACACUGACAUAGGGGGAUGAGGCUGGUUGCGUGUGCAUGGCCUAGGACCUUGCCAUGUACUAACCUCACAAUGAGGGGUGUACAUGGUGUGCUAACCUAACAAUAAGGGGUAACGCGCGUGCAAGACUGCACAUCAGUGUCCACCGCGUGUCCUUGUCCGCAUGGUGCUAUGUGCCCAACUUGCCACCUACUAACCUUCUUUUGCAAGUCAUGUGUGCAACCUGAGAGCAUGCCUUGUGACUCAAUUGUGUGUCUUAUCUCAAUCAUAAAAUAUAUUACUGAUAUGUUAAGAGAACAUAAAUGUUGGAAGCUAAACCUAUCUAUACACCUAUGGUAAGUUGGACUUUACUUUCUGCCUUUUAAGGAGAACCAUUUUAUGAUGUGCAUUUGUUUAGAACUGUUGUUGAUGCAUUACAGUAUGUCACACCUACUCAUUCUGAGAUAUCAUAUAGUGUUAAUAAAGCUUGUCAAUUUAUGCAUGCUCCAAAAAAUACACUUUGGUAGCUUGUGAAAAGAAUUAUAUAAGAUAUCUUAAAGGUGUACUAUAUCAUGGUUUAUGGCUUAGCAAGUCUGAUAAUUUGUCUUUAAUUGGUUUUAUUGAUGCGGAUUGGGCUUCUGACCAAGAUGAUAGGAAAUCUACGUUUGAUUUCUGUGUUUAUUAAAAAUAACUUAAUGUCUUGGGGUUCAAAGAAACAAUCUAUCAUUUCCAGAUCUAGUAAUGAAGUUAAAUAUCGUUGCUUGGCUCUUUUGGCAACCGAACUUGUAAGAAUUUAUUCUCUCUUGAACGACUUAUACAUUAAUAUGCUUAAUCCUCCUAUUUUAUAGUGCGAUAGUAUAAGUGCAGUGCAUCUUAGUGAAAAUCUUAUAUUACACUCCAAGACAAAGCAUGUUGAACUUGACAUCUAUUUUGUUCGAGAUCUUAUAAAAAAGAAAAUGUUAUCUAUUAGACAUCUUCCAGAAACUGAACAAAUUGCAUAUAUCCUCAUCAAACCAUUGUCUGCUCAAAAUUUCCACAAACUGAAGAAUAAACUUACUGUCAUACAUUAACAGCCAUUAGUUCGUAGAGGGUGUUAAGAUAGCCCACUUAUUUUCUUUUAUUGGCCCACAUAUUAUGACCCAGAUACAUAUUCUAGAAACAAUCUGUUAUGAGGAAUUAUACGAUGAGUGUGUGUAGGUAAGAGUUUUUAGUCUCAACAUCUCUUUAUAUAUUUGAGAUUUGUAGAAUACCAAAGAUAUCAAUUGAAGCUAGAGUUUUCUCUUGCCAAAUUCUAUUCUUCUCUCCUUUUUUUCAUUUCUUAUCUACCUUCAAUAAAUGCAAAUAUAUAAAUUAAUAAAAAAAAAACGAGGGCAUUAAAUAAAUAGUUGAAUUUGGAUUUGCCAGUCUUCCUCGUAGGUUGGAAAUCCAUUACUUAGGUAGGAAGCAAAAAUUUAAUCCUUUUUCAAGUCUGUUAGCUCUAGCCAGUCAUUUAUCCUGUGGCUCGUGAUUGAGAUGAUUAUGAGUGACCUCUCAUUUAUGUGACCUAGAUAUUGUUCGUAUACUUUUAAUUUAAUGUGCUUCAUUUAUAUAUUUUACUCAACCAUCCAUGAUAGUGAGACAAUGAUUUGGCUAUUAACUAAGACCUUACGAGCAGCUUCUUGUUUGAUGUAGUUUUCAUUAUGCCAGUUAAGUCGAGUAUAUUAUUGGAAGUUAAGACCUACUAUGAACAUUCACGUUGCAGUUGAAGCUUAUACUAAAAAGAUGUGUUCACACAACUAAAAUGUGGUAACAAAAUGACUUUUGAAAUAAACCUAAUAGUAUACAUUGAAUGACUGCUUUAAAACUCAUAUGAUUGAGGGAUGUUGAGACCUCAUGUUGUUUUGUAGGAGUUGUUUAUUAUUACUUUGUAAAGUUGCGUAGUUGGUUUGUAAUUGUAUUAUAAACUUUAUGUAAGGGAUUUGGUUUUUUCUUUUCUUCUAGUGUAUAAAAAACUUUAGCUUUCAAAAUAGUUGAUGGACAAAAAAAUAAACUUUACUUUGAUAUUCGAAACGUAUCAACAAAAGUGUUUUUCUUUAUCUUCUUUUUCAUACAAUUGAGGAGCAAAAAACGUUAAUGUACCAUUUGUUGAUGGCUAAAAACAUCAAGAAAAGGGUUUUUGGUGACAUUUUUUGAUGGCCAAAUUUUCUUGAUAUAUGUUGACUUAGUUGAUGUUUUUAAUUUGUCAUGAAUGUAGACACUUUUUCUUUUACAUUUUCUGUGGAACCAACAAAAGCUAAACUCUAAGUGUAGUGUGUAGUUUGAGCUUCAUUCGAUAUCCUCAUUGUCUCCUUGCUUAGUUAGCUAGAGGGGUUUUAUUUCUCCCAUUUACUUCCUCAUUAUUCUCUCCUUCCUCCAGAAAUUUCAUCAUCAAAUCUUAAGAAGGAUCUCUUUCUAAACCAACUCUACAGUCAGUUUUUAGCUCUAAAAUUACUGCCUUCAAAUAGCUAGAUUUUGAAACAAAAAAGAAAUCUCUGAAAUUAAAGAUGUUAAAGAAAGAGGUAUUAGAGGUGUUUGGGGAAAAGGAGGUUAAUUAGUUAUUAUAGUGGUAGGUAUAUAAUUAGAUUGUAAAAGACUGUCCAUUGUUGGAAAAUGAGCAACCAAUUGAAGAUUAGGAAAUAAUAAUAAUAAUGUUAGAAGUGAAUGAAGAGAGAAAGAGAAAGGUGAGGAUAAUUUAUUUAGAAUUAAAUUGUAUUGAUACGAGGAAUAGAAUGAUCCUCAAUUAACACAUGGGAUCCCUCCAUCCUCUCUUCCUUCCAUUCUAAUUUUCCAUAUACAUAGGUUUGAUAAGGUACAAAGUUCCAUGUGUACAUUCCAAGUAUGAAUCACAAUAAUAAAACUAAAGUAUCUCACUACAUAUUCAAACUCAAUAUUCUAUGUAUUUAUGAUGAUAUCAAUAUUACUAUAUCUACGCAAUAAACUUGGUUUAGUCAUAUACUUUUUUAAGUAUAAAAUGUCAAAGGUAACUCAACUUAUUGAAUUCAAAUAAACCAUUUAUCAUACCCAUAAUUGCUAGCAUGCAUUUACAUAUAUUUAUGAUUGAUGAUGUAUAUGCAAAACAACAAUGCUUUAAUGCUAUCAUAAAUUUUGGACCCAUCAAUUUGCAACUUACUCUAAUUAUACAAUCCAAAAAAAUCUAAAAUCUAUACUUGCAUAAUUGAAUUAAAAGAUGUGGUGAGAUAAAGAUAAGUCGAUAGUAAUUAAUAUCAAAUUUAAGUUGAAAAAAAUUGUUUGCGAUUAUAUUUUAAAAUGUUUAUAAAAACUUAAAACUUUGGUGAAAAUGACCGUAGGUGAAGAUAUUAGGUAUGUUGUACCAAUUUGGAGGAGGGGAGAGAUUUAAUGUAAGCAUCUCACGUAUGAAUACAAAAGAAAAAGAAAGAGAGGAAAAUAUUUGAGUGAAUAGAUUCUUUGAAUCUUGAUUUUGGGGUUAGUAAUGUGAGUGUCGGCGAGCUCAAGUGUGUGUACAAUGGGACAAACAUGGUUCAACUGUUAGUUUAGGUAAUGAAGCCAAAUUGAUGGGUGAAAAAGACAAAUCGAACUGAGGUAGGUUCGAAGAAAUAGGACCGACCAACAAGAAACAGACAGUCGUAAAGCUUCCUUCUCUACUUUUUACGAUUACUGCCCCAUCUACCCAUCUCGUUCCCCAUUUCUCAUUACUCCAUUUUCUUACUUGGGCUCUCUUUUUUCUUCGCCGCUUAUGCCUCCUUUCUCUUUCAUUGCUUCUCUUCUUCCUCACUGAACAAACAGAACUUCUGUUUUGAGGUGUUUCAUCUGGGUUUUGUUUGUUUUGACUUCAAUCUUUUGAAAUUGAUGAGAUCUUAUACUGCAUUGGGGUUUAUUUUUGAAGAUUUCUCUUUACUUAUAGAUUGGAAAUGGUGGAUGACAAGUUGGGGCUGUGUAUCUCUCUCAUUUUGUUGUGUCUUUCAACUGUUUGUUUUUGUACCUCUGACAUAAAUGAUGUCAAAAUUCUGAAUGAUUUCAGAGAGGGCUUGGAAAAUCCAGAGCUUCUCAAAUGGCCUGAUAAUGGGGAUGACCCAUGCGGGAUUCCUCCAUGGCCUCAUGUUUACUGUGCAGGUGAUAGAGUUUCUCAGAUUUAGGUUCAGGGUUUGGGUCUAAAAGGGCCCUUGCCUCAGAAUUUUAACCAGCUCUCUAAGCUCUCCAAUUUGGGUCUUUGAAUAUAAUCCUUUCAAUGCCGCUGUUGAUGAGCUUGCCAAGUCAGUUCAGCUCACAAAUCUUUCACUGGUGCAGAGUAAUCUGGCUGGACCUCUCCCUGAGUUCUUGGGGACAUUGUCAUCACUAACAACUUUGAAGCUUUCCUAUAACAGGUUAACAGGUCAAAUUCCUAAAAGUUUUGGUCAGUUUUUUAUGCAGAUUUUAUGGCUAAAUGAUCAAGAUAUAGGAAUGACCGGUCCGAUUGACGUAAUUUCAUCAAUGUCUUCUUUGACUCAACUAUGGCUUCAUGGAAACCAGUUCUUAGGGGUUAUCCCUCAAAAUAUUGGGGAUCUUAGUAUCUUUGUAUGAUCUUAAUCCCUCAAAAUAUUAAUUCUUCUUUUUUCUAAUUUCUUUUAACUUUUAGUUUUUUUUUAAAAAUAUUCGACUUAAAAUCAGCUUAAAAGUAAUUAUAUUCUUAAAUUUUCACACCUAUAAAUACAAAUAUAUAAAUAAUUUUAAUCUUUAAUAAUAAUCAUUUUUUAAAAGUUAAGCAAUGUCAUACUUGCUCGUCUUUGGAGAUGCAAAUACACAAGUUAAGCAAUGCAUAUAUCCAAUCAUGUUAAAUGCAAUAAUAGCAACUAAUCCUCAAUUAGGGCAUACACCUUUGAGUGCGGUAGCCACACACAUUAACCUCUCGAUAAUGAAUGUAGAGGAUGAGCUCGGCGACAAGAGUGCACUUUGGCCCUCUUCCCACCACUUGCUUAGUUAAAUAUGGUUAUUACAUAGUCAGUGCUUACAGACUCCACUUUUGCCCUUUCAUCAUGACUUUCUUAGCAUUGAAUACAUCAUUUAUUCCUACUUAAAUAAUCAACCACAUAUAUAUGCAUCACUACAAGAAAAUAAGUAUUUUUUGACGCACAAUACGGACGUCGGGAUAAAAGACGUUGAAAGAAAAAGUUUCUCUCGACGUCGUAGAAGCUCCGACAGAAAAGGAUGACAAUUCUGACCCCAUGCAUAACGAAGUUGGAAAACAUUUAAAAUUUAAAAAAAAACUUUAAAAAAUUUUAAACUUUUUCCGACACCAUUUUCCCGACACCAUUAUGCAUGGUGUCAGAAGAAGUUUAAAAAUUAAAAAAAAUCAAACUUUCCCCGACGUUGUUAUGCAUGGCGUCAGGAGCAAUUUAAAUUUUUUUAAAUGAUUAAACUUUUCUCGAUGUCGUUAUGCAUGGUGUCGAGAGAAGUUUAAAAAUUUUAAACUUUCCCCAACACGGUUAUGCAUGGCGUCGAGAAUGGAGGAUAUUUUUUUUGACGUUGUACUUUACGGCAUCGAGAAUAGGUGUAUCGCUCGACGUUCACGAACUGCAUCGGGAGAUCCCCUACAUAUUUGAGUUUGUUUUUUAUAGAACACAAUUCAAAUUGAAAGGAAAAGAGGAAGAGACUGCGAGAGAGAGAGAUCGUCGUUUGCCUGUUGUUGUCCGCUCUGUCCGUCACUGCCACUCCCUCUGUCUUUGUCUCUUAGACAACUUCUUGGUUGGAGGUAAUUCAAAGUUUAAAAUCCUAAAGAUAAACCCAUUUAAAUUUUCCAAUUUUGAUUCCGAUGCGAACUUAUGCAUUAAGAAAUUAUUUUCUGAUGUUUUUUUUCUAUUUCUCCCGACGCAUCCAUUUUCUUGUCGUGCAUAGUGAAGAUAAGGAAAAUGGGAGAAAGGAAAAAGAAAUGCAUUGCGUUCAUAAUUAACACUUUAGGCCUUUCAGCCAUGAAGGUUUGCUUACAAAACAAUACAAUAUAAGAAAUAGAAAAUGAAAAAACAACAAAGGGCUUAUGUUGUAGAGUUUGAUCUCUUUUACUCUUUGGCUUUGAUUUUUGCCUAUCGCUGAGGGGAAUCACGGAAGGGUGGUUCUCUCUUUCUUCUGUUUUAGGAUCUCACCUAAAACUCAAGGUAAGAGAAGAAUGGAUGAUAUGAGGAGCUUGCUUCCUGGCCAAUUUUUGCACACUUUCUUUAGAAGAGAGAGAGGCUCUAUUUUUAUGCAGAGAGUGGUUGUGACAAGUCGGUGUGCGCAUUUAAGAUUUAUGAAAAGUUACGGCUACCUACGUCGCCUGACUUAUUUGUCCUUUUUAUGACUUUUCCACCAAUCACUUUUGUUUGUUAGCGGCCUAAUUGCUUAGCAAUUGCUUCCUUGCCCUGGUGAGGUUGGCUAGGUCUCCUUACAUUUAUCGUACUACUCACCGAGCUUCCCUCUUCUUCGCCUAAAGUCCUGCGAUAAGAGCAUUAAAACAUAGUAAAUCAGAGAUGAAGAUAUUUUGUGUUAGGUUUUUCACAAAGUAAUCAAAUUAACUUCUUUUCUCUUUAUUUUCUUUUCUUUUCAUGCGAUAAGACUUCAUUGUUUUACUUAGAAGACUGCAAUAACUUGUAUUUCUACAAGUUAUUAAAAUGCAUGAAUGAAAGAAUGACUGAAAUGAUUGUUUGAUUGCAUGAAGAAGAAAGAAAAUUUGUGUAGAUGUUCUUUCUUGUUUGCUUGGUACUUUACUAUGAUAGUCUAUGAUACACUAUCUUGUCUUAAGCUUGCAUGACUUUAAAUAGGAAAAAGAGCAUCCACAAUUUCUAAAUACUUAGUGUGUUUACAACACAUGUUACACGUUCUAAUCAUCUUCUUAUACGUUUUUGACCUCAUUAUUCCAAUACAAAAAGCUAUAAUAACGGACAUUUCUGCGCGUUAUCAAGGAUACCUAAUCCAUUUGAGUACCUUGUUAAGGGGUUUGUGGUUAAUUAAUAACUAAACGAGGGACACCUCUUUCCUUUUGAGCCGGAUUGUUAACAUAAAAAGCCACACAAAAUCAUGUGAUUUUUUUAUGGGCUUAUUAAUCCUUUCUUCUAGAGAUCUGAUAUCUCCUUGAACCAGGUGUCAACUAAGUCCUUACUCAUUUGAAUAGGUCUGGUCUUUGUAGGAAUUUGGGCUUCCUAAAAGUUUUCAACAUAGGUUAGAUUCACUAUUUGUUUCUUUCUGGCCCAAAAGGCAUUAGGAAAAUUGGAACAAAUCUCAUAAUCAAUCCUUUUGAGGACUUAUUGUAUUUUUAUUUGGACCGAAGGCCUAUUGAUUUCUUCAUUGGUUUUUCAACCUUUGAUGUCGUCAUGAAGGAACUCAAUCUGCUUCUCUUUCCUUGAUAUGAGAUUGAGACUUCGGACAAGCUCGCUCUCAAUUGAAGAAAGAUACCAUUAAACUACGGGUUUGUAGAAUUCAAAGAUGAUUUCUUUGCCAAAUUUAUGAGAAGAUAAACCCUUAUCAAAAACUGUAAAUGGAUAAAUUAGGGUAAGAAAUGGAGUACCCAAAAUUUACUUUCUCGGUAAGGCCUUUGACGAGGAGACAUGAAUUUUUCAAGCACACUUCGUCUUUGUAAACGUGUACCUUCAAAAUUUUGUACUUUAUUUGUAGAGCAUUGUUAUUUGCACCUUUGAGGAUUUCCCUAGUGAUCUCAAAGUAUUUGGAUGGAAUUAUCCCUUCUUGGAUAGCAUUUUGAUUAGCUCCUGAGUCGAUUAGGGAUGUCCCCUCAAAUUUGUAAUCUUUAACCUUUAAAGUGACCUUGGUUAGCCAUUUUUUAUUAAAGACCUUACUAAUAAUGUUGAUGUCGUUAUUUGAAGAUUCGACAUGUUCAACAUUAUCUUUUAAAAUUAUUUGUUCUUGAAUUGCUUCAAUGAUAUUUUCAAGAUAAGAUAUUUGCUUCUUGUUAUCAUGAACUUCCUUUUUCAGGACUUUGAUUUCAUGUUGGAGGUCAGAGAAUUUAACUGGAGCAACAUGUUCUUUUGUCAACUAAUUCAUAACAAUUUGAAUCUGAAUUUCAUCGGAUCUUUGAACUUUUGAUCGAGAGUCUCUAAGUCUUCUUGUAGUCUCAAAAGUAUUUUCUUCCUUAUGGCAUCAUCUUCGACGAUAUCCAAAAGAUCUUUCUGGGUGUUGGUAAGAACAUUAAUGCAUCCAGAGCAAGGUAUUGGUUCUUCGUCUACCGACUCAUAAUCAUAUGACGAAGGUUCUUCCAAAGAAUCUUCAAAGAUAGCAUUGAGCAUGUCUUCAUCUUGACUUGACAAUGAUUGCUCUUUGUUAGAGGAUAGUUCUUCGACUUGAAUCACCUAUAAUAGAGAUUGGUUUCUUUUUCAUAAAUCUCCAUUUUGUUGAUUUUCUUGAAGACAAGACAUCGGUUAGCGUAAUGACCUUUCUUAUGACACCUAAAACAAGUAGUAUUUUCUUUAGAAAAUUUUUGCUUGUUCUUUUCCUUGAAAUGGUGUUUCCUUUUCCGGCUACCAUACUGAUUUGGUUCAUUCUAAACAUUUCUUCUAAAGAAUUUCUUUGAACGAGUCUUCUUUCUAGAUAGAGGAGUAUUGUCGAUUAUGUACUAUUUCCAAAAGAACCCAAUUCUUUGCGGUAGUCGAAGUCUCUCGCUAUUUUGGUAGCAUACCUCUAUUGUUGGAAAAUCUCAAUGCAUACCUUUUAAAUUGUGGAAUUAAUAUCUCCAUAUGAGAUACCUUCCCAAUCGAUCUUUGACACUCUACUAUUUGUAACCAUAGUGGAGUAGAACUUUUCACGAGCAUAUCUAGGUAAUACUUCCACAUAUUUGUGCUUCCAAAUUACAUCUCUGCAUGUUAUUAGAUUAUAAAGACGAAACAUGAAAAUGUCUUUAUACCAUGUGAAGUCACUCAUUUUAGGACAUUUUAUUCCUAAAAGGGCUUCCAUAUUGAUUGGUCACUAUAUAGGGUUGUCCUUCCUACAAAGUCUUAAAUAACUGCAUAAACUAAUGUGUUAGCUAAGUACGACUGGAUUGUAACAGUGUCACCAUUUGGCCCCUGCUCCUUUUUUUCAAUAACAGCUUCCUUCGUGGCUUCUCUGUUUUCAUUGGUUAGAUGUUUGUGCUACCAACUUCUGAGGUUUUUCAUGAAUCCCGUAGUUAGUGCGUCAACAAUCUCUCUUUGAUUCAUCCUUCGAAGAUAGCUUGUUGCAGCAACAAACAUUUCUUGAAAAAUUAUCAUCAUUUGCCCCUCAGAACAUCCGUCAAUGUUCCAUGUUUCGAUGUUACUCCCAUCGAAUGAAUCAAAGUAAUUAUGAGACAAAAAAUAGAAGGUAAUCACGUGAUAGUUAAUAAGAAAUGAGAUGACAAUAUCAAAAGCUACUAAGUGAAAAAAAUUAAACAAGGUAGAGAGAUAUGGGCAUGGAUGACCCCUUCUUUUUGUCGUAAAUGAAAUUUAACCCCAAAACUUAAAACUAAUGAAUUUUGGUCUUAUAUUAUCACUGCGUAAAAUUACCACUCUAACCCCAAAUGCAUUUCUAAUGUUUUUUAUCUCUUAAAUAAUAUGUUAGACAUGAAACGUAAUAAUUUGAAAAGAUAAUCAAUAAUAAAUAUUGAUUUUAUUCUUUGUAUUAAAUAAAGAAUAUGAGAAUUUUUUAAAAUAGUAAAUUUUACAAAAUAUUUACAACCUGUAGCAAAUUCUAUCAGUGAUAUUCAUUGAUAUGUUAUAUAAUAGAAAACUAUCAGUGAUAAAAUCCAAAAUUUUGCUAUAGCUUGUAAAUAUUUUAAUUUAUUUUGUUAUUUUAAAAAAAACCCUAAAGAAUAAAUUAAUUAUAAAAUAAUAUAAUUAAUAAGAGUAUUGAAUUCAUGCACAUUUUUUUUAUAUUGUUACUUCUCCUUACUCAUAUUCUAGAAAUUCGUUAUUUAUUCAUUUCCAUUUUCCUCUUUUAGAAUUUCUUCCUUUGUUGUCAUCUUUCAUAGUAUUUUUUUCGUCUUUUUUCACUACACGAUCAUGUACCAAAAAUAUAAACAAUCAUUCUUCUAUCUUAAUUGUGUAAUAAUAUAUGAACGAUCGUAUACUAAACUUUUUAGAAUUGUGUAUUAAUAUAUGAACGAUCGUAUACUAAACUUUUUACGUGCAUGUAUGGCCGAUUAAUAACUACAUGUAAAUUUGGGAUGUAUUUUGAGUCAAUAACUAGUUUUUCAUGUUAAGGGUAUUGUGGGCAUUUCAUAUAUUUAUUUGUGAUGAAACUAAUUAUUUCCCUAAUUUUGUCUUUUCUCCAAAAUCCUACUACGCUUCACUCAAUUUUCUUUUAUACUAAAUGGGGAAUUGAUCAUAAAAAUCGAAACGGUUCUUAGAACGAUGAGCAGCAUUCCUUCCCACACAGCCACUCCUUCUCAACUCCAACUACCUCCUUUUACACCUUCUUCAAUCCCACUUUCAAAUCCAACAAAACUCAACUUCCCUCGCUCUCCCAACUCCCCUCAUCGCAAUAUCUCCUCCAAAUUCAACCCCAAUUCUGUUGACCCCAUUGUUCUAUGGACCUCUUCUCUUGCUCGCUACUGCCGCAACGGCCAAUUAUCCGAAGCCGCUGCAGAGUUUACCCGCAUGCGACUCGCCGGAGUUGAGCCCAACCAUAUCACAUUUAUUACGCUUCUCUCCGCCUGUGCUGAUUUUCCGUCAGAAAGCUUCUUCUUCGCCUCUUCACUUCAUGGCUACGCUUGUAAAUAUGGUCUGGAUACUGGGCAUGUAAUGGUGGGGACUGCUCUCAUUGAUAUGUAUUCCAAAUGUGCUCAAUUGGGUCAUGCUAGGAAGGUUUUUUAUAACCUGGGUGUGAAAAACUCUGUCUCUUGGAACACUAUGCUCAAUGGUUUUAUGAGGAAUGGAGAGAUUGAGUUGGCCAUUCAACUGUUUGAUGAAAUGCCUACAAGAGAUGCGAUUUCUUGGACGGCUUUAAUUAACGGUCUUUUGAAACAUGGUUACUCGGAACAAGCAUUGGAGUGCUUCCAUCAGAUGCAACGCUCGGGUGUCGCUGCUGAUUAUGUGUCUAUAAUUGCUGUUCUUGCUGCCUGUGCUGAUUUGGGUGCUCUUACUUUGGGGUUGUGGGUUCAUCGUUUUGUUAUGCCGCAGGAGUUUAAGGAUAAUAUUAAGAUUAGUAAUUCCUUGAUAGAUAUGUAUUCUAGAUGUGGAUGUAUUGAGUUUGCCCGCCAAGUGUUUGUGAAAAUGGCCAAACGAACUUUGGUAUCUUGGAACUCUAUCAUUGUGGGGUUUGCAGUUAACGGAUUUGCAGAUGAAUCUUUAGAGUUUUUUUAUGCGAUGCAGAAGGAAGGAUUCAAGCCAGAUGGAGUAAGCUACACGGGGGCUCUUACCGCGUGUAGCCAUGCUGGCUUAGUGAAUAAGGGCCUGGAAUUGUUUGAUAACAUGAAGAGUGUACACAAAAUUACUCCUAGGAUUGAGCAUUAUGGAUGUAUUGUCGAUCUCUACGGUCGUGCUGGAAGGUUAGAGGAUGCACUGAAUAUGAUUGAGGAAAUGCCGAUGAAGCCGAAUGAAGUUGUGUUGGGGUCGUUGCUUGCUGCUUGCAGGACUCAUGGUGAUGUGAACCUGGCUGAAAGGUUAAUGAAACAUCUCUUUAAGUUAGAUCCAGAAGGCGAUGCAUAUUAUGUGCUCCUUUCAAACAUAUAUGCAGCAAUUGGGAAGUGGGAUGGUGCUAACAAUGUUAGGAGAACGAUGAAAGCCCGAGGUGUGCAAAAAAAACCGGGUUAUAGUUCUGUUGAAAUUGAUGGUAAGGUUCAUGAAUUUGUUGCAGGUGACAAUUACCAUGCUGAUGCAGACAAUAUUUACUCAAUGUUAGAUUUGUUGUGUCAUGAACUAAAGGUGUGUGGAUAUGUUCCUGGUAGUGAUACCAUUCUGAAUACCAAAGAAUCUAAUAAGGACGAUUGAAGCUUCUUUUGUGCUGUUAAAACCCUUAUUUGAUUCGUCCGUCUAUGGCUUAGAUCAACAGCAGUUUGAGAGUUUGUGAAAUAGACAAGGUAAAUGGAUGCUUAAGUUAAGCGGGCUGCAAGAUAUAUAAUUUAAUUUGCAUUUGUCGUCACAUUUGAAAAUGGAAGCAAAACACUUAGUUCAAGGUACAAAUAAAAGGCCACAUCAUGUUUUCUUCUUUCAACAAAAAAAUCCAUUAGCUAUAUAGUUUUUUUAUCUCCAUUCAUGAGCGGAAUAACUAACACACCACUUGAUUACAUACGUAAAGUUGGAUGGUUUCUAGGACUAAUUGAUGUUGGACACCAUUUUUUUAAAAAAAUUGGAUCAAUGGAGACUUAUGGAACCCACCAUCAAACAUAACUUACACCAUAGUCUAUACACUCAUUGUUGUUUCAUAAACCGUUUUUGAACCCUAUCAGCAACGUCGGCCUUCCCAUGAAUCCUACAAGCACUCAACAUGGCACCCCACAAACCCUUAUCAGGCUCGACCUCCAUCUCCAUUAUCAACUUCUCUUCUUCUUCCACUUGCCCCAAUCUCCCAAUCAAAACCGAUCGCAACACCUCAUUCCUAUCGUGCAUUCCAUCAAACACCUUCCAUGCAGCCCCUAAUCCCCGCAUUUUCCAUACAUGGUAAUCAAAGCAUUCAAACUAGGCAAAAUUUGUAGAGCAACCAUUAAUCAGAACAGCCCCGUGAACCUGGUGGCCAAGGCGCAAGCCAGUAGAGAAGCCGUGAACUAUUAUUUUUUUUUUAAAAAAAUCAUAUUCUAAAUUCAAUACACAAAUUUCGUCUACUUAAUUUAUCAAAUUGUUAUAGUUUUUGUAAAACAAUUUAUCUGAAUUUCUUUAAACACAACGUCCAUUUUCAACCUUAUUUAAGUAAUCAUUAUGUUUGAAUAAGUUUGAUUUUAUGAAUCUAACAUGUAACUCGUCAACAUGUAAAUACGUGCAAAUAACAAUUGUUUUAUACGAAUUACUGUAAAAAAAAUUUCAUUCAAACCAAACGAUAUCAUUGAGCAAAAUAGUUUCUUGCAAGGGAGUUAUAAACUGAAGUCAACUACAGGGAACAUAAUGCGGGAGGAAAAAAAAUACGGGUCAAGUAGAGGGACAAAUAGUCAUGGAUUAUCUAGUAGAACACUGUCAUGUCGGCCAAGAACACUAUCAUGUCAUGUCGGCCAAGAACACUGUCAUGUCAUGUCGGCCAAGUUGCCUGCCACUAUCUGCAUACAAUGCCCUUGUCCAAUCUAUUCAGCUUAGGAAUAACCUACAACUCACUCAUGACUUUAUGUUGGAUUGCAGCUUCAUCCUCCCUAGCUAACUUCGACCAAUCCGCAAUGGCCCUCAGUUGGUCAUUCGCACAUUCCAUGGCAUUGCGAAUGACGAUGUCCACAGUCUCCACCUUUUGCGCUCCCCGCUUCCUCUUCGAUCCGCUUGAACUCGCCCUACAGUCGCUCGAUCUACUAGGUCGUGCACUAAUCAUGUCCUUAGGCGACAUGUUCAGUCCCUAGUUGUACAUAGUAGGGAUCUCCAUAUCGAUUCUAUCUUUUGGUGACAAUCCCUUGUACCCGCACGACACAUUGGACCCAACAUUGGUGAAUGUCUCACACGUGCUCCCCUUAAGUGAUCUUUUCCGAACACAUACGAGAGUUCGUCGUAAUAGGGGAAAAGCCUAUUAAGGAGGCCCUUCGCUACCGUAUGAGUUUGUGAAAAAAAUAAAAAAUAAUUUUCAGUUUUCGAUUCCAUUAGAAGGAUGUAAAAAGUUCACAUUUACUUAUUUUCCUACCCUGACCCAACUGUCGAACAUGUCCUUCUCAACAUUUAUACACUUAGCAUCUCAUUCCAUUCGAACCCACUACAUACUGGGCCCUGCAUUUCAGCACUUGCCUGGAUUGUUCUCUUCAAAGACUUGAUCUGACUUUCGAUAAUAAUGGUCGUUUUGACAUUGCAUCUUGGCAUCUUGUUGUAUGCAAUAUAUCUCUUCAACAACCGGGACUUAGUGUUAGUAAAUGGUGAAUGAAAAUCAUAUUCAGUCUAGGCGAUAUAUCCUGAGUAAGUUCAUUGCAUGCGAGUUGCUCACUAUGUCUUUCCAUAUCGGGUGAAAGCUAAGUCCUCAUUGAUUACAAAUUUUCCUCAUACUUGCCAAAGUACAAGCGAAACAGUAGGUUUACCUGGGUGAUCUAGGGUCGAACACAUGAAAUUGAUUUAAGAUAUUAGUUCUAGGGAUUACUUAUCAUCUAGGCAAUAUAAAAGAAUUAAAUAAUAAUGAAUGGUACAAAAGAAAUGUAGAGACAAACUAUCACUAAAUGUCUACGUCUAUAGAUGCUAUAAGGGGGGAAAUGGAUGAAGAAAUAGAAAUGUGAACUAACUUGUAUGCAAGAAAGAGGGAAGGAAUGUCUAUGAAUUGGAAUGUGAUUAAGUAAUGAAACAAUCACGAUAAAAUAUCUCUCUCUUAACCAACUUAUAAUUAAGGCGUGCUUCUCUCAGAGUCAUUAAGCAUCACACAUGGUCACCUCCCAGGUUCCAUAUGAUUAAGUGUGCGUAAGACAGAUAUAUCUAGAAGAUUUCACAGAUAAAACUUAUAGAACUUCUCGUUUAAGGAAAACAACCUCUCGGAGCCUAAUGUCUGCAGUUGUUGGCCUUUCGAGAUAUUAUAAACUGUGUUUUUCUAAAUGAUUUUAUCACGUGAUGUAAUUUUCUUAUUUAAUAUUUCACAUAUUAAUGGAAGACAUUUUAAAAAAGAAUAGUAUAUAUAUAUUUAUUAUAUGUAGGGAGGGAGGUGAAUAUGUUUGAAAAUAAUAUAAUUGAAUUGAUAUGGGAGAGGGUGCUCCCAAAUGUAGAAGUAAAGAAAAAGAAGAAAUAUAGUUAUAAAUUUGGAAAAGAAAUUAAAAGGAAAUGUAUGAGUCAGUCAUUUGUCCAUCACAUCAUCAUCACCCCAAACCAAAUUGAUCCCUAUCCUUACGUAUUUAUAUUCACCAUAAUUAUCCAUUUUCUUAACCUUUCACAACUCACACCAUUCAUUAUUUUUAAUUAUUACUCUUUUAUUCUUUCACUCCUUCUUCAAAUACUAAUCAAUAUUGGAUCUCCAUUACUAUUUUUAUUUUUAUUUUUUACCAAAUGGUUACUGAUAAAAUGGGUGAAUCAAUAUUUCCAUUACAUCUUUAAAAAAUUCAUAAAACAUAAAAUUGAAACUAAUAUAAGUAGCAGACCUAUUUACUUAUUUGAAAAUAAUAAAAUAUUUAUUUAAUAGUUUAAAUUUAUUUAUAACUUUUUCAAAAAGAUUUAUCGACUAUAACGGUGUGUUAAUAGUUAAAUAAAAUUUUUUAUUUGACAAUUAACUAUAUGUUAAAUAAAUUUUCUAAGGCUGUCAACAUUAUUUGUCCAUCUUGUGAGAUCCUUUGCUUUGCUCCUAAAAGAUUUGUCAAAAGAGCAACGGAGGAAAAUGUGAUUUGUGGUCUCCUAUUUUUACAUAAUAUGCACCAACUGGGGUUGAGAUAAAGAUUUUUGAGUCCAUAUUGAAUCAACUCACUGGUAAAGAAUUCGACCAUAGAAAAAAUUUGCAUUUUUUUGGAACCUUAUAUUUCCAUAUGUUCAUGAAAGGGAUGGACUCAUCCAAGGCAAAAGAAGAGAAGGUAGAGGCAAGGAUGACAGAUUGAACAGAGAAAGAACCAUUUCUCUAUUUGGAAGCGCUUCUUUUUUUCUUAAGGACCUUUUGUUGUGUAAAUCCCACCUAUUGUGUUCAAAAUUCUACAUGUAUUUGAGGAAACCAUUUUGUUGUGUUGAGAGAGCAUAUAAUUUGGAAAAAGAUCUGUAAAGGGGACUAUAUGAGCUCCAGUUAUACUGUGCCAAAAAGAUAACAUCUUGUCAUUGUUGAUUUUCCAACUCAAACGAGAUUUAAACUAGUCUACACCUUUGCAUAUGAAAAUCUCAAAGGAGCAUUAAGAAUGUUGUACUUAGCAAUAGUGAGCAAAUCAUCUAGAGAAGUAGUUGAAUAUUUAGCAUAAAUGAUGGACCUCUAGAGAGCUACAAGUUCAUUGUGAUAUACCUCCAAAGCCACUUUGUAAGCAUAGAAAGUUUGUAGCAGAGACCAAAAAGAUACCAAAACCUCCAAUGUCUAGAGGGGACAUUGACCAUUUGACCAGAUUUAAUUUGUUUUUGUGGUUGUCUGUAAUGCAAGUAUUUCCAAAGUUGCCUCUCCAAAAGAAAAUUCCUCUAAUACUUUUCGAUAACUUUACAUGUGUGUAACGGGAGUUUAAAAACAGAUAGUUGAUAGAUGUGGAGACUAGAUAAUGAAGACUUGAUUCUGUUCUCCCACCUUUAGAUAUGUGAGAGUAUUUCUAGUUGUUCAAGCUUUUUCUGAAUCUUCUUGUUAUGUUGUCCCAAAAAUAUUUGGAGCUUGGUUUACCCCUAACAGCAUACCCAAAUAUAUUAUGGAUAAGAAUUCAAUCUUAUGCUAAAAUAUUGAAACCUGUGUGUUGAAGUCAAUAUUUAAAUUGGUUUUUCUUAUAUAAGUAUUAAGUGGCAAAAACUAAUGCAUGUAUGACUCAGUUCACAUGAAUGUGUACUAUUAUUCAAAUAUAUUAAAGCUUGACAUUCAAUCCUCUAUCUCAUAUAUUGUUCAUAAUAUUUUAAUUAAGAUUUGAGUCUCCAUCCUCUAUCUCAUAUAUGGUGUAUAAUUUAGUGAAAGUAAACAUUUAGUCCAGUUUAUAAUGAUUAAUUAGUUCAUAAUAAUUCAGUUUAUGGACUUUAAUAUGUAAUGAUUUAUUUAUUGUAUUUUAAAACUUUUUUUUAUCAAUUUAACUCCCAACAUUCAAACAUUUGAUGUAAAUUAUUUCAUCAAUUUAUGAGUAUUUUUUGUGGUGUAUUUACUUGUGUUAUACAUAUGUACUGAAACAUGACAUCUACAUUCAAAUAUGCAAACAAGAAGUGCAAAUCAAUAUUAACAAUAGAGUUUAAUUUGCUCAAUGCGAUCAUGUUUGAAAACUACGUCAUAUCAUCACGGUUAAGAUAAAAAUAAAUGUAUGGACAAAGAUGAUUAAAAGCAAUUCAAUAUCAUUUGCAACAGUCUAUUAUUAUUAUUAUGAUUCAUUUAUCAAUGUAGUAAAAGUAAUUUUUUAAAUAAAAAUAAAAAAUAUAAAAAAGAAAGUGGGAAAGAAGAAUAAAAAUGGAAUAUUAAACAUAAGUAAAGAAGCAGAAAAGGGGGAAUCUGAAGUGAUUAGAAAGAGAGAUUUUGGGUAUCAUUGUUUGAUAAUGAAAUUGAAUCCAAAACAAAGAUCGUACGGCUACUAAUAACUGUAAUCCCGUAGAAGGAAGAAGGAAGAAGGAAGAAGGAAGAAGAAAGAAGAAAGAUUGAAGUCACAUCCCCCCCAGGCCCCCAUACAUAACAACACCCAAUACAAAUUAAAUUAAAACUCAAUUAAUUAACUGAUAUAUAUAUAUAUGCAAAACAGCUAAGCUAAAGCUAAAGCUAAAGGCUAUAUAUAAAUAUACUCACCGGCGCUUUCAUUCUGAUGUGAUUAUAUUGUCCAAUCCUAUAAAUAUAAUUAACAAACUCUCUCUUCCAUUCAUUAAUACUUGCUUGAUACCAAUUUAAUUAACACAACACUUAUCCAUAUCUUCCUCCAAUUAAUUUCCAGCUACAUUCUACAUUUUGUUUUUGGAGUCCUUUGAAAAGAAUGAGAUUAAGUAGGAGUUGAAAUUGGAUUUGUGAUCAUUAUCUUCUUCAUUCUAUAGUGUAAAUUGUUAUGUGAAAACCAAAAUUUAGUACGAAAAAAUCAAGUGAUUUGUAAUUUAAGAGAACAUCUGACUUGCAAUUUGUAAAAGGUAGAGUGAAAAAAAAAAUCAUAUUAUGAAAAAUAAUAUAAAGUCAAAAUGAACAACAGCAAAUAAACAAUAUGAGUAACAGGACUAAAGAAGAGAACAUAACUUAAUAUCGUUAGGGACCCAGUUGAAUACAGUUGCACCUACAUCUAGAGGUUUUCAAACUCGAUUGAGGAGAACAUACAUUAAAUUUAAAAAGGAUUUAUAAGUAGAUGAUUUUUUACCAAAAUUAAUAUCCUCAAAGAUAUUUUGCAAACUAUACUGAACAAUCCAAAUUUUUGUUAAGAAAUCUCCCUAUGGAUUGAUUGCUUCCUAAUUCAAUCACAUAUCAUAUUCUACAGGCUCCAUCUGAGUGUGUGACACUUCUAAAUUACUCUUCUUGCUAGGCUCCCCUAACACGUGAUCUUUUCACUUUGGCCCACUAUUCAGUCAAUAACACAGUGCUCUCAACACUGCACACAACACAUACAAUAAAUAUAUCCAGCACUCAUCACCAACUAGCAGAACAAGAUUAGGCGAGAUCAGUUACAGAAACCACGUAUAAAUAAUGACACCUAUGCGCUGUAAUUAAGGACAAAAUCAAGAGAAUUUACAAUCAUUAUUUAAAAUACUUAAAUUUAAAAAUAAAAAUUCAAUAGAUGUUUUUAUAUAUAAUAGUAAAGUGUAGCCAUGUUUUGUAGACGUCCAUAUAUUAAUUGAGAUAAGACAUAGAGAUGAGUAAGAAAAAGAAAUAAUAAAAGGUUUCGGAGUGUCACUAUCAUAUAUGCUUGUGUCAUAUUGAGUCAUUAAUCAUAAUUUCUCCACAAAUGGCUGCAUGAGCAAUCAUUGACUCUUCUCUCUGUGUGUGUGUGUAUAUAAAUAUUAGUUUUGCAUUAUAUGGUUAUUCCCCAUUACCACAAAAUGGCAUCACCUUCUCCCUCUUCUUUCCUUUCCCUUCUACUUCUCUUUUUCUUCCUCGCUCAUAUCCUCUUUUCUUCUGGUUCUUUUCAUUCUCCUUUUCAUAUUUUCAUCUUUUUAGUACUUUUACCUCAUUAUAUUAUAUUCAUAUUCAUCUACCCUUUUUUCUCAAUAUAGAUUAUAACUAUUGCUGCUGGAGAGUUGGGCGAUGCCGUUAUGUUUCCGGUAAGCUGUCGGUCUCUCGAGCUCUUCACAUGAGCCGGAAGGUAAGAUCUCAGGCUAGAGAAAGAUGUUGAAAUUUUCAUAUUAGGUAUAGAAUUAAGUUUAUAGCUUCUUCUUAUUGUAAAAAUAAACUACGCUCUUUCGAGGAACUAUUGUCAAUCUUAUUUUGUCGAUCCUAAAAUUGGAAAUCUUUCUGUGAAUAUUUUCGAGUAUAUGUUUCUUUUCUCACUAUUCUAUAUACUUUAGGGAAUGCUUGUUCUACUUUAUGAGAACUUGUCUUUUGUAUUUUUGUAUUAUCAAUACUUUUUAUCUUCACACUAGUUUUUUCAAUUUAAAAUUAUUAUUUAAUGUGUGGAUCUCACAAUAUUCUUGUAAGAUAUCGACCUGACAAGUACUAAUUGAAAUAGUACCAUGCAACAUAUAUAUAUAUGAAAAAAAAUCACAUUUAUCCGUCCUCUCACUCAUCACUCAAAAAAUAAAAUAAAAAUAUUUUAAAGAAAUAGUAAGAAAAAUUUAUGUAUGACAAAUUAUUAUUAGUCCAGGAAACGAGUGGUGUGGAUAGUGUCAGAAGAUAGAUUGUUUAUUGUUUUUGAACGUUAGUUUCUUAGUUACAGAUGCUUGUAGAGAUGAAGAAGGAGAUGGAAGAGGGAGAAAAGGGCGGGAAGAGGUGGGGGACGGUGGCGGAGUGGGAGCAGUUGCGGAGGGUGCCGUCGGGACCUGACCCAUUGCACCAUAAUGGCGGAAGCCCAAAGAAGCCUAGAACUCCUUGAACUAGAAAUCCACGAGGAGGAAGAUUUUGAAAGUAGGGGUUUUUGGCCGAUCCCAUCAACAAAACUAAAACCCACAGUUCUCCUUCUUUUUUUUUUUUUUUUGGGUUUUUUUUUUAAAUUAUUAUUUAGUCUUUUAGUCUUUUUUCUUUUUUAUGAAUUUUGAAUUUUUAUAUCAUAUGAAUGCAUGAUUAUGUUCCCUGUUCAUAUAUGUUAAAUGAAAAUUGUAGGCCUGAACCUUUGUGGUCAAAUAUCUUUAAUUAGUGUUCUCCUAUUUUAAAUUAGUUAAUAGACAUUCAUGCAAAACAUUAUAAUAUGUCACUGAUAAUUUAUUUGAAAACUUAGGUUAAAAUGUUAAAUAGAAAUACAAUUCAAACAUCAUAUAAGUUUGGGAACUAGUUAAGGUCUUAAAUUGAAAUCAAAGUUUUAAGACUCUCUCGACAAGUAUAUUUAUGAUCUAAAAUUUGGGAACGAGUGUAAAUGCAUAUAUGUUUUCUUUUUAAUAUACAAUAAUAUUGUUUAUAUAUAUAUAUAUAUGGUAUGGUAGAUCAUAAGAGGUUUAUUUAGUUUUAGGGUUGAUAUGUGAUGGUCAAUUAUGAAUAGAUCAAUUUUACGUUCAAUUGCUUACUUUUUGGCCUUCAUUGGAACUAUCAACAAUCAAUUAUUAGAUCACUGUAUAAGAAUUAAUUUCACAAAAUAAUUAUAACUAAAUCUCUUUUAAGAAUAUUACUAAUAGUAGUCGUUUCUCAUGAUGAAUAUUAAUUGUGUGAAAUAAAAAAUGUAUGUGUUUUUAAUAAUAAUAAUAAUAUAUUAUUUAUUAGGUUUUUUUUUUAAAUUAUAAUAAACCGACGUAAUAUUUAUAUUGUAUAUGCCCACCAUGUAAAAUACCAAAGUUACCCUAGUCAACACAUAAAAUCAGUCACGUGCGCGCAAUACAUGAUCUAGAGGGCAUACCAUGUUCUGAGAUACUUCGAGAUGAAAAAAUUUUAUCCUUAAUUCAUUUGAUCUCGGGUAUACAAUGCCUCGAGAUGUCUUGGAAUAAAAAAUUUAUUCUUUUAGUUAUUCGAUCUCAAGUCUUAAUUGCAUUGUGAUGUCGGGAAUCAAUAAAUCACAAAGAAGAUAUAAAUUGCAAUGACAUAUAUGAAAUUUAUGAGAAAAUGAUUAUACGAUGUGGACUUUCUUAUUUAGUUAAGAACGUAAAUAUUUAACACUUUUAUUAUAUUUAUGUAAAUUUAUCUGUUUAUUAUUAUUAAGGAUCGGAUAACCGUUUUUUUUUCUUCAUUUUAAGAUCUAUGCUUGUGUUCUUCCAAUUUCUUUCACUUUUUUCAAGAAAACAUUUCAAAUUUUUUAUUAGUCUAAGAUAAAAAACAAGUUGGCAAAACCAUUUUUUCUAGUUUUCAAAACUAGAUUUUAGUUUUUAUGAAAGGUUUAGUCCAAGGAAUUGUGAAGUAAGAUCUGUCAAUUCCACUCCUUUUGUGUGGUUAAAAAAGUUUGUUAAUUCCAUUGCUAAAAAGAUAUUAAGGAGUGUUUGAUCAAUAAAUUUAAAAUUAAGGAUACGACAUUUGAAGCUAAAUCCAUCUUUCGACACUUAGAAUAAAAUUAUAUAUUUUUUUAUCAAUGUCGUAGGUUUUAGAAAAAAAAUUUACUUCAACCUCUUAUCACUAAUCAUUUAUGACUAUUGGCAACAAAUGUUGGCCAACUUUACAUUCAACCACUAAUAACCAAUUGUAACUGAUCAACGGUCACAGUGACCAAUCAUCUUGAUCGUCUGCUUUGAAUAAUCUUGAUCACCAGCUCUGAAUCGUCUUAAAAGUUGAUUUUCGAGUCUUGAUCGUUUUGACUAUUUGUUUAUCGAUUGUCUUGACUAUCGAUUAUUGAUUGUCUUGAUCGUUGGUGACCUACAACUUUGGACAUCACUAUCGUCAAGUGAACAUCUUGAUCAUCAGCAACCAAUUGUUAUCGUUAAUGAUUGAUCGUGGUGCCCAUUAACAAGCGAUCGUGGUGAUGGUCAAUGAUCAUUAGCCAAGACCCUUGGCGACCGACUGUCAUGACGGUCGGCAACCAACCAAUCAUCUUAAUCAUUGCCGAUCAUUGACCAUCUUCACCAUUGAUCCAUGUUCGUCUUCACCGAGGCUUCCUACACUUUUUUCCAUGAGUUCGUACAACAAACCCUAUUCAAGCCCAUGAAUUACCUGUUUUUUUUUCCUUAAUUCCAUCUAAAAAAAUUUAUUAGCUAACUAUGGACAACACUUUUGAUGACCAUUAUAUUGUCAGUCGACCAUUGGGUGCCAUUUCCAACAACUCUACAGGCAAACUUCCAAUCACCAACACUGACAAUCACCGUCAACCUUGAAAAACUAAUAAAAAAAAUUUUAAAAAAACUUUUUUUUCUUAGUCAUUCCAAAUACGCAUUUGACUUAAUCAUAAUAAUAUUUUUUUUAAAUACAUUUUAUCAUUUUUUUUUGAGUUUUUUAAUAAUAAUAAUUCUCAUUCUUACAUUUUUUUUUCUUUCCGAGUUUUUUCUAACAAUAAUAAUAAUUAGAUCGCUUUUUAAUUAUCUCUUUUAUUUUUAAAAUUCAACUUUCCUACAUUUUAGGAAAUUUUUUUUAUUUUGUUAUAUUUUUCUUAGGUGAAAAUUGUUGACUUGUCUAUUGGAUCUCAAGUAUAAAUUAAAUGUCAAUAUAUUGGUAAUAUAAUGAAAAUCGUAAAUGUAACCAUUAACCAUAACCAUGACUAAAUAUAACUCUAUUAAAAAAUUGAUACAUGAUAAAAUUUAGGAUGUACAAUUUAAAAAAAAAAAAAACUAAAUAGGCUAACUAAACCCCUAAAUUCAAAACCACCACCUCAAACACAUGCAUUAGAAACCCAAAUUUAUCCAAAUCAUACAGCUCAAACACGUGCAUUUGUAAUUCUCAAGCUUUAAAACCAAAUCAGAUAAGUCCAUGUACAUUUAAUUUUCAAGUAUUUGAUUUUGAACGUGAGCACAAACACCCACAUAAUUUUAUAUCUUGUCGUCUUUGAAUCCAAAAUUUCACAUUUAAAUUGCAUAACUUCUUGGACCUUCACUAACUAUUCCACUUCUUGUUCCAAAAGAAAAACUAGAGGUCCGUGUGUAAUCUACUUUUGGAGUGAUUGAGGGUUUGUUAAUUUGUUUUUUUUCCUUAUUAAAAAGAAAAUGUAAGGGUGGAGAGUGAUAUCUAUAUAUAUAUAUGUAUAUAUAAUUGUCAAUUAAAUAUUGUGUUGAAUUGAAAAAUCAAAGUAAGAAAGUAUUAAAUUAAAAAAAUGAAGUGGUCAAGUAUUCAAUAAAUCGACCUAAAUCUUAACGAGUCUUCAACACUCGAUAAAAGAACCAUCUUUUAAUAAUAAUUUUAAGAACUACAAUAUUUUAAUAAAUAGUUUCUAAAGAGGUUAAUUUUCAUAAAUACAACAAACAACCAAAAUAUUUAUGGUCCGUGUAACAAAAUGAAAACUUCAUUAUUUUACUCAAAAGAACAAAGCAAAGCGGAGAUACAUAGGCCUAAGUAUGCCCAAAAAGGGAAUAAAAUGAGCGUCCACGAAUUAGACAGGUUGAUUAAGAUUGAGAAAGGGUUGCUCUCGUUCAACGGUUCUCUACCUGACUUCCUAUAUGCUCCCAUUAAAGCAUUGAAGUGGGAAAAAUUCUUCACGGACGAGACAAAGGUCAAGUUCGAUGUAGUAGAUCUAUUUUAUGCGACAAAGUUUCAUCCAAAGGAAUCAUACGCGAUAGUGGAUGACGAGAGAGUUCCUUUCACUAAAGAAAAGAGCUCAAUGAGUUGUAUGGUUUACCUAAUGAUCUGGACACAUACCCUGGCCAUAGGCUCAUCGCCUAACCCACAGAAAAAGAUGCAAGUAGAACUAUAAAAUUAAUUGCAUGGCUAGUGGCAACUUGGAAGCAGACACCAACUGCGCGGCUGCAACUUUAUCCACAUCAAUUGACAACUAAGGCAAACGUCUGGUUGUUCUUUAUUAAAAAGAAGAUCCUCUCAACGCACCAUAAUAGCACCGUAUCCAUUGAAUAUGCGUUGCUCUUGUACUACAUUAUGACGAAGGAACCAUUCAAUUUGGGGUGUGUGAUGAAUGUGGCAUUCGUACGUGAUGAAUGACGCAUUCCUAACUUGGACAAGGAACUCGAAAGGCGCUAAACCAUUCCCAUCUAUGGUGGAGAAGUUGUGUCUAAAAUAUUUGCCUACCCUCAUGAGAUACCCACAAACUAAUAUGGCGGGAGACAAAUGUGUUUUGGUAAGAUUAAAUCGUGUAAUGAUUAUCCAUUAGAACAAGGAAGAAGAACGCCGCCUAAAGACACAACCGCUAAAAAAAAAGAGAAUGGUCAAGAGGAUGACAACUCUCCACUUCCUUUGCCGCUCAAAAUAAAACCAACAACUGCAAGUGUAUCGGUUGAUCCAUCCAUAGAGGACCAACCCAAUAAGGAACCUACGCGUAAGAAAAGAAGAAAACUAACUACUAAGCGGAUCCUUAUUGACAAUUCCCCUGCCAAAUUCCCUCACCUUGAUGACUCCUUACCCUCCACCUCUCUACCAACUAAACAACCCUCAUCUCUCCCUCGCGAAGCCAGCAAAGACCCUCUCGCACUUCCAACUGAAGACAUUUUUUACCCACCUCCACCAACUGACCCCUUCUUGCCUAAAUCACCCAUUUUCUCCCAAUCAGCGCAGCCCUUGCUUGACUAUUUCUUCCAAAAUCCAACUCCCUCAUCCCUCUUCUACUAUGAACACCUCACUUACUCACACCGGUCUCCAUCCCAAUCCCAUCAUAGCCAACCUCACUCCCCCAAAUACAAAACCCCACAAGGUUCUCCCCUAAAUACAGUUGACGCCUGUGGCAUAGGAAUUUGCGCUGUCCUAUCUCAGCAAAGCCAUCCGAUUGAAUAUCUUAUGAGAAGCUGAGUUCAUCUAGAAAACUAUGGAGCACAUACGAGCAAGAAUUAUACGCCUUGGUCCAAGCUCUAAAGCAGUGGGAACACUAUUUGCUCUCCAAGAAAUUUGUUCUCUUAACCGAUCACUUUUCUUUAAAAUACCUUCAGUCACAAAAGAGCAUCAGCAGAAUGCACGCACGUUGGAUCACCUACUUACAAAGGUUUGACUUUGUUAUUAAACUCCAAGCUGAAAAGAGAAUAAAGUGGCCAAUGCCCACAGUAGAAAAGGCUCCCUGCUCACACUCCUCUCUUCAGAACUAAUUGCCUUUAAACAUCUACCUGAGUUAUAUAAUGAAAGCAUUGACUUUGCAGUCAUAUGGUACAGAUGUACUAAUUACUUGAGGGCUGAUGAUUAUCAUAUUGUGAAAGGAUUCCACUUCAAAGGAGAACAAUUGUGCAUCCCUCACACUUCUCUAUGGGAAGCCUUGAUAAAGGAAGCCCACUCUAGUGGGCUAGCUGGUCAUUUUGGACAGGAUAAGACAUUUGAGACAAUUUCUAUAAGAUACUACUGGCCCCAAUUGAGAAAAGAUUCCAAUAACUUUGUGAAGAGAUGUUUCACUUGUCAAAGAGCUAAAGGCUCACGCACUAAUGCAAGGCUAUAUACCCCAUUACCUAUUCCACACUCAAUUUGGGAGGAUCUCUCAAUUAACUUGGUAAUUGGACUCCCUAAGACUGAGAGAAACUAUGAUUCAGUCAUGAUGGUAGUAGACUGAUUUAGCAAAAUGGCUCAUUUUAUCUCUUGCAAGAAAAAAAACGAUGUCAUAUAUAUAGCUAACCUCUUUUUUAAAGAAGUCAUUCGAUUACAUGACCAGAGAUGUCAAGUUUCUAAGUCACUUCUGGAAAACCUUGUGGAAGAAGUUUGACACAAAACUGAAAUACAACACUACAACUCACCCCCAAAUCGGCGAACAGACCGAAGUAACCAAUAGAACACUAGGUAAUUUGAUAUGUUGCCUUAGCGAUACUAAACCUAAAUAGUGGGAUUUAUCUCUUGCACAAGCAGAGUUUGCUUUCAACAAUAUGAAGAAUCGGUCGACUGGCAAAUGUCCAUUUUAUUGGCUUUUUGGCCCUUAAUCUCAAAUUAAUUUAAUUUAUGUUUUGAUGAUAACAAAUUUGAUUUUUUUUUAUUGACAAUUUUACUAAUUUGAAUAGACUAUAUUGUAGAGCUUGGAAAAAUGAUUCUAACGCCUCUUGAAUCACCCAAAUCGAAGUUCCAACGAAGAAAAUAUUGCUAAAAGAAGCUUAACCGAAAAAUACCCGAGAUGGUGACGUGACAACCAAGCAUUCAAUUUGAACGAAUUAGAGAAAGUCACUUGGAGCAAUGGAGGAGUAACAAAUGUGGCUUUUGGUUAUGUUUUAUUGGCUUUUAUAAAGAAAAUGAAUUUUAAAAAAAAUGACUUUAAUAUUAUUAUUUUUUUCUUGUGCCUAACGACUAGUUUUUUUAAAAGAUUAUGUAGUUGCUUUGUUGGUUCUUUUUUUAAACAAGUAUUUUGAAAAGACAUAUUAUUAUUUGUAUUGUGUCUAACGUCUAAUUGAGUUUAAAUCUCAACUAUUCAUUUUUCUUUUACUUACAUCUAAUGACCCAAAAUAAUUUUUAAUUUAUCUUUCCUCUCUUUUUAAAUACUUCAUUUUUCCCAAAUUUUAAAGAGACAAUAUUAUUAAAACUUUACAAUCCUCAAAAGGUGCAAAAAGCCAACAUUGUUAUUCUCUUAAAGCUUCCAAUUUUUUAUUUUUUUCAUCUUAUUUUUUAGAGCUUCUUAUUGUAUUGUGAAGAUUAAAUUUGUGAGUUUCAAAUUGUAUACUCACUCUUUUAGAGAGUUUUCUUUUGUGUGAUUUAAAACUUCAACAUAUUGUAACGGUUAGAUCAUAACCUGUGGAAAGGAUCGAGUUUGCUCUUGAACCCAAAAAAGGAGCAAGAAUCGAUUCGGCUCAAAUCCGUGGAAAGAGUCAAAAGAAGAUUUUCAAUCAAAAUCCCAAGAGGUGCUUGGGAAAGUGGAUGUAGGUUAAGUUUAACCGAAUCACUAUAAAAUUAUGUGUUUGCUUCUCUAACUAUUUUCUAAUUAUUUUUUAAUUUAAUUUAAUUUACAUAUUCUUAUUGGUUCAGUUUCAUUGCAUACUUCCAUUCAUAUCUUUUUAUCAAUCUUGUUAUUUAACAAAGUUUACAAAGUUCUUUAUUUAAUUUUAAAAAUAUCUAAUUAGUUGAAUUUACUUUUUAUUUGUCAAAAAGUUUAUUUAAACCCUAUUCACCCCCAAUAGGGUAGCCAUACCGAUCCAACACAUUUGAAAUUGUAUAUACCAAACAGUCAAGGUUAACAUUUGACCUUGCCUCACUUCCUACUACCAUAGAAAUCAACAAAGAAGCAUAAAUCAUGGUAGAAAGUAUUGAGAAACUUCACCAAAGAGGUUCAUGAUCACCUCAUUCAAUCAACUAACUCCUAUAAGAAGAAAACAUACAAGAAAAAGAAACAAGUUAUUUUUUCUAAAGGCGAUUUAGUGAUGGUACACUUAAGAAAGAGCAGAUUUUCCACUGGAACGUAUAACAAACUGAAGGAUAAACAAAUCGAUCCAUUUCACAUCCUAGAGAAAUAUGGAGACAAUGCUUUUAGAAUUGAACUCCCAUCAGACAUACAUAUUCACCCAGUGUUCAAUAUUGCUGAUUUGAAGUCCUACUAUGCACUAGACGAUUUCCAGCUUGCCAACUAAUGCACUCGUGGACGAGUCCAAUUUUAGGGAGGAUGAAAUGCUGUAAAUAGAGAAAUUAGAUAGCUAAAUGAUGUAAUAGAGCAUAUAGCUAGCUUAACUACUUAGAAGCUAAAACAGUUUAACUACUUAAAUUAUUGAAUGGUAGUUUGGAAAUAAUAACAAAUUUAAGAUAGAGGGUAUUUUAAAAAUUGAAAAUUUUGUCAUAUUUGCAAAAUUCUAAAACAAUGUGUUAUAUUUGAUGUAUCAUAUUCUCAAAAGAUUAUGCACUGCAAUUUUCCAAAAAAUAAUUACCAAAUAUUUGAUGAAAACAUAAAAUAACUUAUUUGAAAGACUUUAACUCCCUUUCUGUGUAUUCUUAAUACAAGAUACCAAUCCUAUUUAUAUAGGAUUGUCUAGAUCCAUAUAUAACUUCACAUAACAAUGAAUUUCCCACUUAAUUCACCAAUGUAUCUAAUUUUAAACAAUCUUGCCAACUAUUCAUCAAUUAAUAUAUAACUUUCGUAUCUCUUAAUUUUGGAGUUAACUUAUUUAACAUAAAACAUGCCUUAACUUUUCAACACUAACAACGCAAUAUUUGCAAAAUUUUGUACAAAUCUCAAUUGAGUAAGACAUUUAAGCACAACCAGAUACAUAAUGUUUAAAAGUCUCACACCCUGAAGUGCUUAACAAUGUGAGGGUACAAUAAUAUGAAGAAGGAACAUACGAAAUGAAAAAAAAAUUGGUUUGAAGAAAGAGAAUAGUUGUGAAUUAUAUUUAAUCAAGUAAAGUAGGGUGUAGGCCUAAUUUCUUCCUUGUGUUACCAACAAAGAGAUCUCUAGAUUUGAUAAAAGCAGGCAAAAUUCCUGAGAUAGUUGUGAUAGAAAACUGAGCCACAGCUUGUUUCCUCCCUAAAGAAACCAUGGCUGUGGUUGGAGUUCGAGCUACGUAUCUCUCCAUUUUACCUUCUUUUCCAACCAUUAACAUUUUCAAGUUCUUUGCAGCCACCUUUGCUUGUCUCUUUGCUGAUUCCCCUUGCUUACUUUCCUACAAAUGUUCACAUUCAUUACCACAUUAUUCAAUAUUGUUGGAACAGAACCAAACUUAUCUCUAAUCUUUUCAGAGUAAAAUCAAAAUUAAAGAGAUAUCAAUAUUUUUUUGUUCAAACAUAUUUAGAGAUUAGUUGUCCUAACUUGGUUGCUACCUCAUUGUUGUAAUAAUCAUAUGGUACCACAUAGUAAAUUACCUAUUAAUAGUAUCUCUUGCAUGGGGUCUUUCUUGAGUGCAAACAUGAAAAUAAAAUAUAAUUAUUAGAAUUGCAUUAUCUUUUCCAAUCUAUUCAACAUUUUAAUACAACUAUUGGGACGAGAUUUGAACCUUAUCGACCUCUAUAAAAGUUCAUACCAAUUAAUCCACAUUGACCCAACCUCUCUCUAUACAUAGUAAAUUAGUUUGAUAUAUCUUGAAUCACACACAUUUCAUACUUAUGUUUAGAUUUUAUUUUAAUGUAUGGAUCACAAAAUUUUCUGCAUAAUAAAUUAAAAAAAAAAAAACUAAAACUGGAUAAUUCUAAAACAAUAUUCUAACCUACUCAUAUAUUUUUUUAGAUUUUUCUUCCAGAGUACAAGUACUUGAGUAAAAGAGAUGAAUGGAAAAGUUGCUGUUAUUCAUCUAAUUAACAUCCUCUCUAAGCAUAUAAAAGACAAAUAAAAAUAUUAAAAGACCAGUAAUUAAAUUGUGAUAUGGACUACUAAGUGAAGAAAUACAAUCCACAAUUUUGUUAAAAAAAGGUUGCAAUCGAUCUAGAUGCCAAUUACUAUAGAAGAAUUAAAAAGCAGAAACUUACUCUAAUGUCAGUGAUGUCUCCAAUGGCAAAGAUAUUAUGCUGGCCUUUAACUCUCAAAUAUGCAUCCACCAUCAAUCUUCCAUUCGUAUCUAAACUCUUUUUCAAUAUGCUUUUUUGAAGCCAAGACGAUGCUACUGCUUUUCCAGUGCAUACAAAAUGGCAAUCGGCUAUAAUAAUCUCACCCUUUGAACUUCUAAAGCUCUUGUUUCCAUCCCACAUGUCGUUUACAUCAAUUGUUUGUUCCAAUUUUACAUUCACCCUUUUGGAAAUCAGCCAUCUCAAAGCCUUCUCUGAUGCCUUUGGACCCAUGAAUUCCAACACCCUUGGUCCAUCGUGGACUAGAGUGAUCGCUUUGUCCGGAAACUCUGUUGUGAUCUCUCCGGCCAGUUCGAUGCCCGUUGGUCCACCUCCGAUAAUUAAUAUGGACUCCGCUCUUCUGAUUCUUUCAUUUUCUGCAUUGCUUUCGUCAUAUCAUCAAAGGUACGUUGAUUUUUUGUUGGAAGAAAAAUGAUUAAAUACAGCUGAUCCAGUAGGGGUGAGUAGUGAUGAUAGGAGAUGUAAUGUUGUGGAAUCAACAUAGCUACAGCUCUGAAUUGAAUACUUAAUUUUUAAGCUCUCCAAACAUUCAUUUAGAAUAUGUUGUUAAGAUAAAAUACUAUACUUCUAGUUUUUAAAUUUUAAAUCAAUUUAGUUUAGUUUUUAUAAGUUUUAAAAUAGACUAUUAAAUUAUAAAUUUAUUGUUCAUACAUUUUGCCAUUUGUAUAAAAAAUUAUUCAAAACAACUCUAAACUUUAAAAGUUUAAAAAAUGAACCGUUAAUUUUGAUGUGUUUAUGAAAUUUUAAAGUCAAUAGGGUCAACUUAUUUGGCUAAUUUUCAUGAAUGUAGUUUACGACUCAUAUAACAAAACACAAAAAGACUUUGAUAUUUCAAACGAUUCGUCACUUCUUUUUCUUUUUCUUCUUCUUUAUGAUUUAUUUAUCCUCCCUUCAACAUUUAUUUAUUUCUCUUAUAUAUUUUUUUUUCUAUUUUUACUCUUAUAUAUAUAUAUAUAUUUUUUUUUCUUUCUUCGUCUUCUCUUUCUUUCGGCUCAUCCUUUAGAAUAUCAAUAUCGUUUAAAUAUCAUUUUGAUAUGAUCUAAACGAUUGAUUACCUAGCUAACACGAUCAACACAAUUGUUUAGAUUUGUAGUUUUUUUUGCAUCUUUUAAAAUGAAUUACAUGAUCGUGUGGAAUAUGAUCUAAACGAUCUUUUACCAUAGUCAACACGAUCGUUUAGAUUUGAGAUUAAACCAUUUUUCAUUAUUUAAAAAGAAUUACACGAUCACGUGGAUAUGAUCUAAACAAUCUCGUAUUAUUUCCUAAAUGAUCGUUUAGAAAAAGAAUUACACAUGUGUGUGUAGUCCAUCAAACAUGCAUGUGUUGAUUGAGACAUUUUUUAUAUUUUUCAAAAAAAUUUUAUACUAUUUAGUUUGUUAUUUUUUAAAAAAGAGAAAAACUCUAUUUGUAUCUUAGUGGGCUGCAUUUUCUUUUUAAUUUCAAAUGUUUUUAGUUUUGUGGUGUGCAUGAUUGAUGUUGGUUGGUCAGCACCCCCUAAACAUUUAUACUCCUAUUAUUACAAAAUUUAACUAAACAUAAUUCAUUAGUGGAUGAUCAAUGUGUAAAUUUUAUCAUCUUUCAUAUAGAUGUAAAUUUUAUGUUCAAAAAUUAAAAGAAAAAAAUGGAUAGAAAACAAAGUGGUUGUGUUUACUAAUUUUAGAAAACUAAAAAUUAAUUAUUGAAUAGAGCCUAAACAUUUGGUUUUUGGCAUUUGCUCUUUCUAAAUCAUACUUCCUCACCAUGAAUUGCAUCAUACUCGUUUUCAUCCUUCCAAUUAUAAAACUUUUAGUUCCUAAUCAAAUCAAAUAAUGUUUUUGAAAUUAUUAUUUCUUUCCAUUUUCAAAACUUUUAUUUCUGAAAUUAAUGUUUAUUACAAACACACAAACAAACUUAUACAUUCAUAUGGUAUAUGAAUUUAAUUUUUUAAAGCUAGAAAAAAAGUUAAUUCAUUUGAAAACUAUACUUUAAUUUUUAUAUUUUUUAAAAUUAAAAUUAUAUUUUUUUUUCAAUUUUUUAACAAAAUGUUAAAGAAAUCAAAACAAUAUUAUUAUUUUUUCUUUUCACAAAAGUGUCUCAUUUUACAAUUUUGUUUGAGUUUUAUGUGUUUUAAGAACUUAUACAUGUUUUUUCAAUCAGUUUUUAUCUUAUACUUUUUAAAGUGUAAUGGUCAACCACAACUCAAAUCUCCAAAUAUCCUAAUGAAGAUAUGUUAUUGUUCACUUUGGUGUAUACACGCUCGUGACUUUACUUUUGGUUCAACCAAAAAGAUCUUAUACCAAUGAAAAUAAUUGUUCACAAUUAUAUAUGAGUGAUCACUCUCUUCCCUAACCAACAUAACCAACAUGAAAUUGGCUUACAUCCCAAACAAUCCUCCCCCGUACAAAUUCAUUUGAACAAAUCCGUUUCAUUCCUACCAACCGAGGACAUUGCUCUAAAUCCCUAGACACAUCUAGUUCAUCUUGGGUUAUUGCUCACCUAAUUAAGCACAAGCACAUAUAACACUUGUUCUUAUCACUUGAUAGAUCAUGAAUAACAACAAACUUUCACAUAUUUCUACGAUAGUAUGAUAUUAUCCAUUUUAAGUAUACACUCUCAUGACUUGACUUUACUUUUGGUGAUCAUAAUUUUCAAAAGCUUAAUAUUUAAUUUUAAAAUUCAAGCAAGUAUCGAAAAGGCAUGAUAGAGACAUUGAGAAGAAACAAAGAUAAAUUCCAAGAAACGAAAACAAAAUGGUGAUCCUAAUUGAAAGAAGAAAAAAAAAGGUAAACAAAUUGUGUGUUAAUAAUAAGAAUUGACUUUUGAUAAACUUAAGUUAAAAAGAAAAACGAAAAGAAAAGAAAAAAUAGUUUUCUUUAGAAACCUAAGAAGAUUAUAAUAUAUAAUUUAAAAUAAGAAUAUAUAAUGGAGAAGAUGAAAAAUUACCAGCUGUGUAUUGAUGAAGACGGUGAGUCCUUGUUAUUGGAAGGGAAGGAUCAUGGUGGCCUGUGGCGACAACAACAAAAUCAAAGUCCACAUUUCGUCCAUCUGCAACUAACACUUGGGAUUCGGUUACACCGACGGCAGGGGAAGUUAUCAAACGUCCAUUACUAAAGUAAUGAGAAUGAUUAAUCAACAUUCUUUCUGCAAAACAAGGCUCCACCAUUGAUCUCAAGCUUCCAUAAGGAAUCUCCAAAUACUCUUUUCUGUACCCAAACACAAAAAAUUCAAUACUGUAUCAACACUCAGUGUAGAAACACACAAGAUUUGCUUACGGAUCAAUGAGAGUGAUGUGAGCAAAGAAUUGGAGGGAUUUGGCCACUAGAGACCCGGCGAUGCCACCACCGACCACCGCCACCCGACGUAGGUUGCCACCUCCAUGUACGUCCAUCGAGUCUGUGUGGAUAGAAAGUCUCCGAUGAGAAUUUUUUCUCUUGGAAGGGUUGAAGUUUAAAGAAGGGACUUUCGAAGGGGACGACUAGCUAGGGAAGUUUGGUCAAUGGGGUUUCUAUUAUUUAAUUUAAACAAUAGGGGUAUUAACUUGCAAGUUGGUGUAAUAUUAAUUCAUUUUCUUUCGAUGUCUCCCUUCCUCUCAAAUCUCUCUUCCACAAGUUAUAUUAAUAUUAUAUGUUUUAUAUACACAUUCAUUUCCUACUUUAAAAAAAUGUUGGAUAAACACGUUUAAUUUGGACUAAUUAUCUCACUCUUACGUGAACAUGUUAGAAUACUAAUCAACAAUAUUAAUCAAACUAUUGACACAACAAAUUUAAUAUGAAAAAACCCCAUUAACAUGAGGAGUAAAAAAUCAUGGACCGAACUCAAAAUCUCUACUAUAAUCAUUAAUUAGUACAACAAAG
RNAcentral lists this long non-coding RNA (93287 nucleotides) under Cucumis sativus (cucumber). RNAcentral's name for it is "long non-coding RNA (CSAT_LNC000149)". Lineage: Eukaryota; Viridiplantae; Streptophyta; Magnoliopsida; Cucurbitales; Cucurbitaceae. The record is from RNAcentral.